Molecule: long non-coding RNA, 102231 nt
Filed under: Ananas comosus (pineapple)
Lineage: Eukaryota; Viridiplantae; Streptophyta; Magnoliopsida; Poales; Bromeliaceae
Description: long non-coding RNA (ACOM_LNC022763)
Rfam family: tRNA (bases 90928-90999)
Source: RNAcentral
UCCUCUCUCUCUCUCUCUCUCUCUCUCUCUCUCUCUCUCNAGAGAUGUGAGGUUGAAAUGAUGGUGGUAGGUGGUGGUAAGUGGUGGUAGGUGGAAUAAUGUUUAAUCCAAUGGCUAUUAAUAAUUAAAAAGUAGAUCCAGUGGCUUAAAACCUAAUAGCACCAUGAUGGUGAUACUUGUAAAAGUAUCAUAGCUCAACUCUAUAUAUAUAUAUAUUAUAAAAUUCUAAAUUUUGGAUAUCGAAAUUUUAAUUUAUUUCCAAAUUUUCAACUUCAAAAUUUAAAAUUUUAAAUCCUAAACUAUAGAAAUUUUUAGCUAUUUUUCUAAAUUGCUUUGUUUCAUUGCCUACCUACUAUUAAACCAAUUAGAAUACUUCUUCAUUUUUUCUCAUUUAUCUUUUGUAAAUUCAAAUUUUAAAACAAAUUAUAUCUAAAUUUAAAAAUGUAUUACAAAAUUAAAUAUAUGUUCAUAAAUCUUAAAAAAUAUGAUAAAGUCGGUCAAUUAAGAACCUACCAAUGAAGUAACUUCGACAAAAAUUAUCAGAAUAGUUGUAUCUUUUAUACAAACUGGCUUAAAAAUAAACAUAUUAUAAAUAUUUCUUUUGUGUUUAAGAAACUUUUAAAAAUUUACAAAAUGUGAAGAACCUAAAUCUGUAUGUAUAUACUAUCGUAUCCGCGGCAAAGCGCGGGUACAUCGCUAGUAUAUCCAGAAAGUACAAGCAUGAAAACUUGGAUCGCUAGAGAAGUUGACUUAAGAUUUAUCUACAAUCCUAUUUCCAAUCCCUGAUCAUGCUUACCACAAUUACCUAGAGAUCAGAGUAUGUUGUUACUCCACUAUAAAGGCAUAUAUACUAUCAAUAAGAUGCUAUUCAGAUGAAUGAACCACCAAAUAAAUAACACAGUAGCUGCACAUGUCAGUGUGAGAAACUAAGCAUGCAAUAUAAAUAAAAUGAUCUUACUAUUCAAACAUUCCAUUAAUCCUAAAUCCGAAAUAUAAUUAAAAGAAAAUUGGAAGUUGGCUGUGGUGGGGCCAACUGGUCAAAACCUUCUCUUUUCCACUUUUUCUUUCUUUUAAGCUCCAUAUUAAAAUAUAAUUCCUUGUUUCUAGGACCCUGUUAUUUGUUUUCUAUUUUGAUUCGGUCCAUACAGAAAAGCUAAUCGUGAGCACAUUAUAUGUUUAUUAUUUUUUUGGUUUUGUGGGCAAGGAAAAAUAGAUUAGAAAUAUAUGGGUUUGGUUUUUUUUUUUGUUAUUUAUCUCUUGUUUUAUGUUGUUUGUCGAGUUAUUAGGCGUGUUAUAGAAGAGAAAAAUAAUUUUAUAUAUAUCAAUGGGCUAUAUUUAUAUGCUUAUUACGUUUAUUACAUGACAUAUUGUUUAUGCCUAAAUGAAUAGAAAAAAAAAAAAAAGCAUAGAAACUAAGACGGUGGUGCCAUAAACAUAACUCAGCAUCCUAUAAUUUUUUUGAUCGCAAAUGUAAAAGCCAUAUCAAGGGUGUUCUGAUAUCAGAUAUUUCUAGCUCCGGAGGGAAUAAUGUUUAGGCAUUGCUUAUUUGUCAAAGGAACAGAGAGAGAAAAAAGAAAAAAGACAUUUUGAGCUAGAGAAACUGAUAGGAAAAUGCAUGGUGCGGAUAUUUUACUUCUCAAGGAUGAACUCUCGGAUUUCUAUUCCUGUAUGUCGGGCACCGCCCUGCUUUCGCACUAGGAUUUCGUCGCCAACUUUUAGCGACGUCACAGGAAUAACCAUGCUUGUGUUGUUGCCUUCUGCUGACAAAUAAAAUAGCCAGACAAAUUGGAGCGCAGAGCUAAAGAGAAUUCGUUGAGAUGUCAAGAAAAGUGAAAUUUAAGAAGAAAUCACCUUCGCUGGGACAAACAAGACCGACGGUUUCUGCAUUCUGUAGAAAAAUGCUGUAGGUCUCUUCUCCUAAAUUUUCCUGCAGAUGCAUAGUAUUUUUGAUGAAAUCAGAUGCAAACUAUUUACAAAAUUAUCAGUAUUAGCUGCAAAAUACGAAACUGCAGUGUUCUCCUAGCAAGUAAAAGCAGCCGAGCUUCAUAAAGAAAAAACUGACAUUGUCACAGCAUUUCUGAAAAGAACAUCAUAUAAACCCACCCCUUUCUUACCGUGCUCAUACAUGCUGUUAAGUAUAUAAUAGCAUUAAAUUUGUUAUGGCCAAAGGAUGUUUCUGUAAACAUGUUGAAUAAUCUUCACUGAAGAUAAAAAAUGAGGGGGACAAGCAGUAAAAAACCUUAGCCUCUACAAGGACGAGGGGUCUCGAUUCUAUUUUCACACGGCCCACAAUAGCUGUUCGCCACAAACCACUUUGAUCGACCACCGUCACUUCUUUACCAGCACGCAGCUCAGAGAGGUAGCAGGUCUUCCCCCCAGGUACUGCAAGGUAGGCGUGCACAGGCCCCUACAGAUUGGGAAUAAAAUAUAGUAAAAGGUAUAGAUAGUCCCUCUACAAUUCCCAAUUUUCUGUUUGGUCAGUGAACUUUUUGUGUAAGCAUUUAAUUCCUAAACUUUCUCACAUAUAGCAAUUCCAUCUGUGAAGCCAAACACUCACUGCAUUAAUCCUGAAUGGCCUGCUUGCAAUGUAGUUUGUCUCUAAACAUUCUGAGUGAACCAAGAACAAACCUCUGGCAAAUGAACCAACCUAAAACACGCGCAAGCAUUACCAUGUAUAUAUAUGCAUUUUUAGAGGGAGAGAGGAAAAAAAAAUCAAACAUACAUUGAUACAUAGCAUGAAAUUCAGGUAAAGAUGCUAUGAAAUGCAAAUUAAUGAAAUUAAGUGCAAUCUGCAAACGGAAAAGCAUAUAUAAAAGAGAAGGAAAACAUAAGCUUCGAUACUUAAAUACAUGUAUUGAUAGAGAUAAACGCAAACCAGAAGGCCUUCGCCAGGUCGCAUGACACUGCAAAGGUCCACACAAACACGAUCACCCAUUCCGACCACUUCAACGUUUGUUAUUGUGGCUUUAGUCAAAGCUAACCGACUACUGACUUCAUUCCUCCUAUUAAAAUACUCCUGAUUACAUCAACCAAAAGAAAAAGAUAGUUCACUAAACCCACGAAAGAGUACUUAACAAGUAUGAAUGAUGACAGAUGAGUGCUUUUUCAAUAGGAGAUUAUACAAUGAGUAAUCAACUGAAUGAGGCUUAUUUAUUGCCAUCUGAAGUAGGAAAAGAAAAUCACAAGUCGAGGAAAAUAAAAGAUCUCCAAACUACGUGAGAAGAGGAAUUACCUUUAGUUUAAGGAUCUCUCCGGUGUCUUCAACUUUUAGCACUACUCCAUCAAGACCUUGCUCCAAGGCCUACAAAUAUAAAAUAUAAGUUUUAGAAAAUACUUUCUCUAAGAACAAGUUUGAGUAAGAACCACUCAUAAAACGUAUGAGAAAAUUUUCCCUUAUAUACCUCGAGAAACACUUGUGCUUCUGUUGAAGUUGUUGCAACAGCCAAUACAGUCCUCUUAAAGCCGUGGAAUGCUGCAACUAUGUUCUCUGCAGGUAUCACCUAUACAGUGUUAAAAGAGUAUGUCAUACUUGUUUCUUAAAUACCAUGCAGAUAGUUUCAUUUUUUAUCAAUAAAAGUCAACAGUUUGAUGGAAGUAAUUAAAAAGUGUGAUAUCAGAUCUUAGCCACACUAUCAUAUUAAGGUUGUAGAGUCCCAACCAAUAAAAGAAAACAAAAAAUCCUUGGUAAGCGAUAACAAUAUAACAAGCUGUAUAAAUGAGCCUGAAUCAAGUAUAACAUAUUCUAUAUGUAGGUACUUGGUUCAUACCUCGGCUAAUCGAAUCUGGUUUUCUUUUUCUUUUUCUGUUUUUUUUUUUUCUUUUUCGGUGUCAUGUCUCAUUUGAGGCCUAGGAUGCCUCACCCACGUAGCUUAAUUCAUACCUCCAAUGAAUGAAACAGGUAGCGUUCUACCUAUUUCUCUAAAAAACAUAUUCUAUAUGUAUAAAAUGUGACUGAGGAAACUCACAAUUGCAGUGGAAUGACGAUUAAUAUAAAUUUGCUAUUAAGCAUUAAGAAUGCCGUCGAGGGUCUAAAUUAAAUCAACAGGGCAAACAUAUCACAGAUUUAGUUGCAAACAGAUAUGUCGUUCCCUCGUAUAAAUGAUGAAAUGAUGUUUUACUCAUGAGAUCAGCAAUGUGUUUCAAACCUGCCAUUCACCCUGAAAAUUGAUAACCAAGUUAUCGACUUCCAUGUCAUCUGGUCGUAUAAGUUCUAAUUCUCGUGGAGAUGAAACACCAUAAAACAUUCCGACAUUUAGACCUUGUUCAUCAAGAAGCUUUGCACCAUCAACAAAUAGAGGAUGUAUUAAAGCAGUUGCUGCACAAACCACAAACACCUGAAUGUUACAAGUAUAUGGCACUGAAUUUAAUCCCGUAAAAACAAGUUUCUCGAACAAAGAUAACUUCCUAAUAAGAUUACGUUCGUGAGAACAACAUGGCGGUAAGUAUGGUUAAUUUAGCUAAUAUUGCUCCUCUUUAUGAUAUUAACACAGUGUAAUACGCUACGUCCUCGCCACUCGCUUUGAACCAACGCAAAAGGAAACAAGGUGGAGAGCAAAAUAAGACUAGAAGAAUAAAACAGAAACAGGAUCUUAGGGGCAUACAUGCCCAAUCCUGCACAAGUUCUUUGGAAAAAGGUUCCGAGCCGAAGACGAAAAUUCUCCAACCUCUCUAAACAGCCGCAGUCAUCACUUGCCUACUCUCCGUCCAUACCCAGACAAGCUUCGAACCCUCAUUCUUGUUCCCCAACAUAGAGGAAGACAUUUUAAUGCAAGAGGUCACAGGCACAAGAGCUGCAUUAGCUACAUGAUGAUGCAAACAGAAUAAGACACAAGGUCAAAUUGGAGCUACAAUUCCACCCAAAAAAACAAUCUUUUUCGAAGCUAUAGAUAAGGAACAAGUAAAUGAUAACAUGGUAAUCAAUAAUUUGUGCAAAUUUUGGCUUAAAAUUGCGCAAAAAAUAAAUUCGAUUAGCUACAUGAAAGAUACUAAGCAAAACAAAAGAAGGAAAAGAGGUUAAAUUACAGCUAAAUCCUACUAAAGGAGCAACCUUUAUCGAAGAUGAAGAGAAGAAACAAGGAAAUGGCAACAUGGUAAUCAUUAUUUAGUAAAGAUAUUGCAAAGGAGCGGAGAUUGAUUGGAAAGGAACCAAAUUUGACUCAAAACCAUAAACUCGCACUCAAAAAAGGAGCUAGCGAGAGAAGCGAAAACGGCAUUAUAUAAAACCAAAAAAAAGGGGGAAAAAUCGAAAUAGUGGAGAUUGGUGGAGACCGAGAGAGAGAGAGAGAGAGAGAGAGAGAGAGAGAGAGCGCCAUGAGAGGGGCUUAGAGAGGAGGAGGAAGAGAAGAGUAGGUACAUCUCCGGCGAGGAGGGAUCGGGGGCGUUGUCGUUCCGGCGCUUUGACCCGGCGCGAUGGCGAUGGAUCGGAGUGCCAUCGCAAAACCCCGAUUCUUUUUUUUAAAAAAAAAAUUAUUUUUAUUUUUGGAUAUGGGACUGCAUAAAAUGUAUGAUAACUAAUUCAUCGUAAACGAAGCAGGCAGAGCAAGUGACAAAAAGUUUGGUGAUUGAUAUCCGAGAUUCAAAUUCGAAUCCUAAUUAAUUUAUAUUUUUAACUAAAUUUAUUUUUAAAUGAAAUAAACGAAACAGGUAGCGUGCUACCUAUCUCUCAAAAAAUUAAUUCAUUUUUUUGUAAGUUUAAAAUAAAGCAUUAACUAUUCAAACAAUAUUUCUGUAAACAAAAAUUAGUUUAAAAAUUUUAUAUAAAAAGCUUUUAGAUAACACAUUUCUCCAUUAUUUGUAAAAUAAUAUACUUUAUCUUAUGAAUUGUACUAACUAAUACGGAAACAAAUCAUAGAAUAACACAACAAAAAUUUCUACAGAAACUACGAAAACAAGUUUCGAUAUCUUUAAAAAAAAAACACGGAGCUGCUUGAUAGAGACCCAAACAAAGCCCUAAUUAACCCUCUACUUAAUAAAGCACAUAAUUAAUAUGCUCACUCACUCAAAACUCUCACUUCUUAAUGGAAAACUUAUAGAGCAUAUAAUGCUUAUAAACAUCAUUAGGCCCAUAAACUUCAUUCGGAAAGUUCGGGUGGUGAAUUGCAUCAGGAAAAUCCUGCGUCUCGAGGCAUAAAGCGGAAUGUUGCUCGUAAUAGUGCCCUUCUUUUCCUAGCACAUGAUGUAUAAAAUUCGCGGUAUAGAACUGCACCCCAGGUUGGUUCGACCACAAUUCGAGAACACGGCCCGACCGGGGCUCCUCCACGACCGCCACCUUCUUCACCCCCUGCCCGUCCGCGGGCCCAUCGAGUACGUAGUUGAUGUCGUACCCGCCCGGCACGUUAUCGAUCCCACUACCGACCGUCCUUGGUUCGCGGAAGUCGUAUGGGGUGCCCUCAACUGGGGCGAUUUCUCCGGUCGGGAUUAGGUUUCUGUCGACUGGAGUUAUGUGUGAACCAAAGAUUUGGACCAGGUUUUUGAGAAUCGUGCCACUCGCGUGCCCCCCGAGGUUCCAGUAGCUGUGCUGGGCCAAAUUGAUCGGGGUCGGUUUGUUUCGGGGCUCGGCUCGCAUCAUCACGCUGAACGUAUAGUCCUCAUCGAUCUUGUAUGUCACAAACACGUCGAGAUCGCCCGGAAAUCCUGCAUGAAAUGAAAAUAACAAACAUUCAUAUAUCUGUUAUCAAAUUUACUUUUUUGUUACAAAACUUUUUUUUUCAUAUAUACAUGCUAGCAAAUUAAAUAAACACACCUUGUUCACCAUCAAAGCUAUGGUAGUGAAAUGUGAUGUAGGGGAAUUCACCCUCCACUCUCUCUCUAACAUCCCAAAUGACUUGGUUGAAUCCUCUGUGACCACCUAAUCAAAAUUUUCACAAAUUUUAAAAAUAUAAAAACAAAGAUAAAAAAUUAAUAAUUCAUAUAUAAUGCUAUUUAUGGAUGGAGAAACCUCACCAUGAAGUGAAUUUUUCCCAUCAUUUGGGUACAAAUGAUAUGUUUUUCCACCUAGAGUGAAACGCGCUCCGCCGAUCCGAUUCGCGACGCGACCAACCAAUGCUCCAAAAUAAGUUGUCUCAUUCUAAAAUAAUAAAAAAAAAUCGUAUAAGGAACAAGAGCAUUUCGAAAUAUACAUAAAGUGAAAAAAAAAAAAAAAAAGAAAGAAAAAAGAGAACGGUAUGCAUCUUACAACAUAGGAGCCGAUCCUAUCGUACCCGAGAACCACAUCAUCCAAUUUCCCUGCAAAAAAAAAAAAAAAAAAAAAAAAAAAAAGAAAUAAGAAUGAAAAUUGGAAACAAUAUGUGAAAAAAGGAAUGAAAAUAAAUAAUUAAUCCAACCUUUAUUAUCAGGGAGAAUAACGGAGAGAAUAGUUGCACCCCAGCUACUAACUUUCACAGAGAACUCCCCCCUCCUCAACUCGUAUAUCCCCACCACCCUCUUAUUCUCUCCACAGCAUAACCCGGAUAAUAAACCCAAAACCAAAAGAGAGAGGGAGAUAAAUAGUAGUGAAUUAUUAUUAUUCCUCGCCAUGGUUAAUGAUGAAUGUGAAUAGAUAGAGAGAAUAAACAAAAAAGAAUGGAUGAAUGAGGCUUGUGGAGUUUAUUAUUAUUAUUAUUAUUAUUAUUAUUAUUAUUAUCUUUAUUUAUAGAGGUGCAUGAUUUUUGUACGUGUAAUCCCUUGGAAUUGGAAUAACUAAUUCACCGGAUAUCACUCUCUCCUAUUCCUGCUUUUAUUCCCGGAUACGAGAAACUAACCUUAUCCUCCACGAUGCAUGCAAUAUAAUUGACGUGUCAUACAUACGUAUAUAAUUAUAUUAUAAGAUAAGAUUAUAAGAUAUUAUAAAAUGAUUAAAAAAAAAAGUUAAAGGAAAUGUAGGAUGGCUUUUUGUGUGAAUUUAAACUUGAGGUUCGUGUUUCGGACUUUGAGUUUUAAUAUAUGUAGAUAGAUGCUAGAAAAGAUCCUGUGAUUUUGUUACUGUUAUUAUUAUUAUUAUUAUUAUUAUCUUUUAUUAAAUUCCUUUAUUUUUUACUUCCCUUGUGCUGAGCUAAACUAAUAUUUCAAAAUAUUAUUCUGGUAUGGUCUUGGUUGCAUGAGAUGUGAUAAUGGCACUUCCGAAAGUUCCUCAAAGUCCAAGCCCGAUCUUUCUUCAACGUUACAAAAUACAAUAUAGUCACCACCGAAGCCAAUGGGUUUAUGAAAAAAAGAAAAAGAAAAAGAAAAAAAAGAGCGGCUCCCGCGAGUGAAGCUCCGAUCGAACAACGUCUCCCCCAAAAAUCUCUCCUUUACCCUCUCUCUCUCUCUCUCUCUCUCUCUCUCUCUCUCCCCCAAUAAGACACCCUUCGUCCCCAAAUCUAAACCUAGAGCUAGAGAGAGAGAGAGAGAGAGAGAGAGAGAGAGGAGGGAGAGAUGGAUGCGGCGAUGGAUCUGAUGCGGCGAAUCUCGCCGAAGCAGAGCGAGACGGCGUUGUCGGCGCUGUUGUCGCUAUUGCCCCACCAUUCCGCCGAUCUCCUCUCCCAAGUCGACCAACCCCUCCAGGUUCCCCCUCUUUUUUCCGGAUUCAAAAUUUCAAAAUUUUCAAAAUUCGGGUUUUGCUCAUCAUGCAUUUGCGCCUUCGAUCUCGCGAUCCCGAUACCAAAGUUGCCACCUUUGAUCUGUUUCCGAAAUACUAUCCUACCAGGUUCCCCCUUUGUUUUUUUUUACGAACUCAAAUUUCAAAUUUUGAAAUUUGCGUUUUGAUCGCGGUCCUUAUCUCCAAAGUUGCCACCUUUGAUCGGUUCCCAAAUGGCUCCCCGCUUCUUCGUGAAUGUCCUUUAUCCUACCUGUUGUGUUUGUUCUAGGGUUAUAAGUUCAAUCCUUUUGGGAGCAACUUCCUCAGCAAGUUCCCAUUUGGGCACUUUCCCCUUUUUGAGACGAUUCUAUUUGCGUGUGUUUGGUUAUUGGGCACUGUUGAUGGAUUUAAUUAUCAUAAGGAGGCUUUUUUACCUUUAAAAGAAGAAAAUUUUCUACUUCUUACUUUGAUGCUAGAAUCAUUUAAUGGUCCCUGAUUCUAAUAUUAGGUUAACCCCAGUAUCAAUGUGUAAAUUCUAUUCAUAGCAUAUAGGGAUAUCCAUGAGCUGAUGUUCUGUCUCCAAAAAAGGAGAGCAAAAAACAAAUGAGUUUGCUUUCACUUCAUGUUUUGAUAACAAUGUAUCGCGCCCAUAGAAGCCAUAUAUUUACUUGCCCUAUUUGCACGAUUGCUAUAUGUAAGCAAAGAUGCUUCCUUUCUUCUGUUCUGUUUGCUUGCGACCACAACAAUUAUCUGAAUUCCCAGUUUUCCAUUGAGGGUGCAGGUUUGUAUGGAUGAGGAGUCGAUGAAGGAGUUCAUACUUUGUGAAUACAAUAGGGAUGCUGAUUCCUAUAGGUAAGCAACUAGAAAUAAUCCUCGGAGCGUAUGAUUGUGGGAGCGGGUCCAGAUAAUUAUUUCGGAAUUUCCCGCAAUUUUGACCUUUGAUGUGCGUAGCAGUAAUUUCUAUUUUGUUUUGUGUUUAUUUCCUUCGCUUCCAUUAACAGAUCGCCAUGGACGAACAAAUAUUACCCGCCUUUAGAGGAUGGGCCACUCCCUUCUAUUGAGUUGAGGAAACUCGAAGUUGAAGCAAAUGAAGUUUUUGCUGUUUAUCUUGACCAGUGAGGUUCUUUACUUUAUUCGUAUUCAACAUAAUUACGAUUCAUUCCCGAGUUAUUUAUUACUCUUCUUUCUUCCCUUAAUAGUGAGAAAGGAAAGGGAAAAUAGCUUUGAUUUGCUAUUCAGUUGUCUAAAUUUUGGUUCGGCAUUAGGAUAGUGAAUUUCUACAUCAGUUCUCAGUUACUGAGCAAUACCUUUCUCUUUAUGUAUAGGUAUUAUGAAGGAGGUGUCUCGUCGGUGUACUUGUGGGAAGAUGAUAACCAGGGCUUUGUGGCAUGCUUCUUAAUAAAGAAAGGUCUAAGCUUCAGUGCCAAUGCAAUCUCUUUCCUUUUGGUGAUCUAUUGACUUGUCUUAUAUUGACAUGCCGAUUUUCCGGAAAUUAGAUGGGUCGAAGACGGGGCAUGGCAGAAGAGGAUACUUGCAAGAGGGUUCGUGGGAUGCUAUUCAUGUAAUUGAGGUAAAGCACUAUUUACUGCUGCAUCAAUUCUUACAACUACUAGAAUCACUAGAGAGGACUUGUUUACUAUCACCUAUGUUGAGGCAUGCAAACAGAUUUAGAAUUAAUUCAAAACUUUCCAGGUGCAAAACGAAUAAAAUGACCGCUGUGUGAACAAGCCUGUACCGUCUACCAUAUAACUGUCUUCUAGUAUAAUCUGUUCUGGGCACUAACAACUGUCUUUUUUUUUUCUUCUUUUUUUUUUUUCUCUUAAGGGUGGUGCUAAUAACUGUUAGAUAUGUAUUUACAGGUUGGACCAGAGGAAGAAGGAACAGCUCGUUACUGCUUAACCAGUACCAUCAUGCUAUCAUUGACAACGGAAAACAAGCCAUCAGGAACUUUUAAUCUCUCGGGAUCGAUCAGGAGACAGGUAUUUGAGUUAUUUAUAUAUGUAACGAUGUUUCCUGCAAGAGGUGACUUUUCGUGUCUCUUGUUUUCCAAAACAUGGUGUAGAUUAAUGUGCCAGCUAGAGUGUGCAUUACUACCUAGAUAGAAUGAUUUACCAAUAAAUUAAAUGGGAGUAGCUUCGUGCCAGUUUGCUUUGCUAGUGCAUGACUCGCUUGCAUUUGAAGUAAAGAAAGUUUUAUUUUCAAAGCGAGGAAUAAUUGCUUGAAAGAUUUUGGCCUAGUCUUUCGCACUUGCUUUUAUGGGAUUUUGUUAGCACCUUGAUAUCUCCGAAAGCUUGUAAGGAAUUUGCCUGUUCAUUGCCUUUUUGUGAACUUCUUUAUAAUCAUUUUAUCAAAAUGCCUACAUGUCUUUUUACCAGAUAUCUUCAACCAAAACUCUACUAGUUGACUCGGAUUCUAUUGGUAUUUCAGAUGAAUCUUAAUCUUUCAGUGGCAGAGGGUCAUCUGUGUAACAUGGGGAGAAUGAUAGAAGAAAUGGAGGGUAAGCUGAGGAACUCACUUGACCAGGUAAAUAUUUUGCUCUAGUGUGACAGGAAUGAUCACUUCCAUUUACUCUUUGUGAUCUCUAAUCUCCCGUAAAGCAUCUGUCGUAGAUUUCUUAAAUCUCAUUGUAUUUUUGAUAGGUAUAUUUUGGGAAGACAAGAGAGAUGGUGUGCACUCUCCGGCCGCCACCCGAGGGAGUUCAGAUGAGGCUGCCCGAAAGCCGGUCAAUAUAACAUGCUGCAAUCAUUUUCCACCAAAAUUGAGAUGUUCUGUAAUAUAUUGAGAAAUUUGUGCUCUUUCUUUUUCUUUAAUUCUUUUUUCCGCCUCUUUUUUGAGUUUGAGCCAUAGCAGUGUUAAAAUCUCAGUGCAGAAAUGAGGGAAAAAAAUGAUUCUGUUGCCGGUUCGUUCGCCGAAGCUUUGUUUAUACAACAAAGUAACACUGAGUUGGAAAGUGACAAAGGAAUCCAUUUGAUAAUACUUAAGAUAUUAUAUUAGUUGUGGCUUCUACUACAUUGCAUAGUUUAUUUUCUGGUUUGUAGAUCAAUUAAUUUAUAUUGUAAGAUUGACAAUUGUCCAUGGCAAAAUUUUACUGGGGAAGGUUUUAUUCCAAAUGGACUAACUAUGUUCCAUCUAUUAUUCAUCAAAUUUGGAAUUAUGUCCUUGAUUUAAUACUGCUAUUUUAUAAUAUUUGAUUGGCCCAUUACUGAUUUUACAUGAUAGAUGUUUACAAAGUCACUAUACAGAUAAGAGAUGAACAUGGUCUAGCUUCUAGAAAAUAGUAAGUAAUAUUUCAUGAACAAUCAAGUACAUGAUUAUUCUGUUAAGUAAUACUUCUUGUGUUUUUAUAACCAAAGAAACAGCAUUCUAACAUACAAGAAAAUAAUUAGUGCGAAAAGGAAUCACUGAUAAAAAGAGAUUUCUAAAACUGGAAAUAGUAACAAAUGCUUAAUUCUUCCAUGCCUCAUGUGCCAAAACAUACUCAACCUCACUUCAGGAGAAUGCUAUACAGUAGUUAGUGACACAGAAAAUCUCAGCUUAUAAAUCUAAGUUCAUAAAUUCGCAAAAAGGAUAUACACACAUUGAAACAGUAUGACUUUGACAAAUAUUGUUUUUUUUAUACGAAAUGCGCAUCCUCUCUAUGCCUGAUUCAUCUACCAAUACUCAUAAUUAGUGUCAAAAAAGCACAAAAUGAAUCUUAUCAACUCAAACACACAACUUUCACCAGCACUCGUGUUCUUUCUCAGUAGAAGGGAUCUACAAGGCAUCAGAAUCAUGGAACUUCACAAGUGUGAACUAUAAUACAAGUCGCGAUCUCAAGCCACAUCCCUUUAGUCCCAUGGAACAUUAAUUCUCUCUAUCUCAAUGCUGAAUCUGAGUUGCUGAAGCGAAAAAGUCGGGGCUCGGAAGGGACCAAGUCAAAUUGCUAGAGGAGAAAACUUGUCAAUGCCGAUAGUUUUCCUACGUAAUUAGCGACAAUAUCAUUCCCACCGUUCUCAUUCAAUCGCUAUUGUAGCUGGUGAAUUUGUCAAUUUUACUGAUAAUUGUUAACAAUAUUUUGGAAAGGGCAUGAACAUAAAUCUAACAGGAGAAACAGUGCAGUAAUAUUACGAUGGAUCACGAAUAUACAAUUGGUUGAUUUACUUUCAUAAAGAGAGUUCCAUCUUAUUAUCUCAAAUGCUUUGUGACUUUAGACAAUUAUAGGCAUCAAAUGAUUGAAACCAAAAAGUGAAAAACUUUAAUAAAUGGGUUGAACAUGUCUAAUGUAGCAUAAGGAAUAAUGCAAACUUUAAGUAGUAGUAAAAGGGGAACAAAAAAGCACUUCUAUUAUAGAAGCAGAAUAACAUAAUUGGCUCACAUUGUCGGCCCAUGCGCGCACUAUAGAACUAAAACCAGCACAAGUUCAUGUUAGCAACUCAAAGUGUGUGGACAAUAAAGCUUGCCCACUGUUAUUGUAGUUGUUUACGAACAUUUUUUCAUGAUGUACGGGAGCGUUGUUUAUGUAUGAUUCAACAUAGAACGCAGGAAAAGAAAAGGUUUAUAGAGGAAUUCGCUACUUUUUCUUUUCCCCCUUUAUGUGACAGAUAUAUGAACAAAUUCAAACUUCAUACUGCAGGAUAGAAAGAUAUAUAAGAAUUUGUGAUUCACAUCUUAAUGGCGGCAAAAAUCGCUUCUAACACCAAAAAGGCGAGAUUUUGAUUCAGGGAUUGAAGCAAUUGGGAGCCAAACUUAAAGCUAGAUUUUAUCAAUACAAUUUCACACAGAUUUUAAAACGAUAGUUUAGAAACUUUUAUAUGGAAACAAGUUGUUUCAUUUUUAUUGUACUUAAAAACUUUGGGCCGUAAUUGGACCCCAAAGUGAAGUACAAAGUCCAAACCAAAAUAUGGGCCUGUAGUAAAUAACUCACUGGGCUCGACUCAAAUCCAAGAGCAAUAUACUCGGAUCGGACCAUUCAUCGGACUAAUCCAACAUCGCCCGGAGUCUCCCACUAUCAGUAACUUCUUCCAGUACCUACGCUAAUAUAUUAUCUAACAAGUCGGAGUCAGGGGCUCCAGCUGUUUUUUCUAAAUUGUACAUGUGAGGAUCGAACCUCUGACCUCUUUAAUUAACAAUAUUCUAAGUAACAGUGUAGUACUUGUUAACACUAGCUCAACUUUUAGCAAGGGAAAUAACUAACAUAGAGCAUUGUUCCAAGUUGAUCCUCCUACGUACCAUUUCAAAGUUAUGUAAAACGGCUACUAGAAGACAAGUUUCCCCAACAUGCUCUCGUGUAUGGGAAUAUCACUUUUUUAGAGAAAGGGAGGGCUUUUGAACAUUCCUCCAAGUCUCAUAAGGACACAAUUGCUGGUCUCUUUUGGAUUAAUCGACAAAAUAUUCCAGCUACCAUUUCAAAGCGUAAAAGUCAUUAAUUAGAAACAAAGGAGAAUAAAUCAGGGUUUAGCUAUUCUCUGCUUUUAGCGUAAUUACUCUGUGAACUCGCAUGGGUCGAUCCUGUCGCUUCCAAUAAACGGGCCUUCUAAGAAGAGAUUAGAGAACUGAUACGACUACCACGUUGAUAUAGCUCUCUAGAUUGUUGAUGCAUCGGCAAAUCACAUAAUUUUUAUAUUAUAUGUAUCAAUGCGUCAACAAUAUGAGGCACAAAGGUUGACAAAGGGGACAAGUUCCACCGAGUAAUUUUUGUUUUACUAGAGAGGAGUGCACCGGGCCUACGUAUUUAUGGUGGACCAGGCGCGCAGAGCGAUGGUCGGCUGUGGAACGCGGCCAACCCACUGUUCACGACGCGGUUUGAGUCCAACACGAUCCCUCUCAGGUAGAAACUGUUGAGCAGACCUGGUCCACCACGUCAUCCCUAGACCAGUCCAAUGAUCCGUCCUUCGUUCAUCCAUCAAUCCUUUCGAUCGCCAUGGCACAUGGGCAUGUGUUCUAUACACAUAAAGCGAAAAAAAGAAAAAAGAAAAAAAAAACACUACCAUGCAUAAUUUCCAACGAAUGCGUGCCCACCACAUAAGUUUUUUCCAGGGCAAUUAUUCUCUCGCGACCGAGAUGGAGAUUGCAAGCUAAUCACGGGGGACUAUCCACAGCUGAUGUGGUGGACCAGGUCCAGGGAAAACUCUGAUUCUGUCAGGCUACAGCUGUCCAUUCAUUCUCGCAUCUCAUGUUACUCCCACCUAAUUUUAUCUCUUAAAAAAAAAAAAACCACAUAAACCAUGGCGAGAGAUAAAAAAUAUAUAUAUUAAUUCGUCAAAUUCUGAUCUAUAUUUUUUGAUCCAUACAAAUAUAAUAAAUUACAAAUAUUUUUUAUGUAAAAAAUUUUAAUAUUUUUAAAUACGCCUCUCUAGUUUGUUAUCGUUAGAGAAUUAUUUAUAUUUUUAAUUUGCCAUCAUAAAGAUGUCUCUCUAAAAAUCAUAACAGUAUAAUAUAUAAAAAAUAAAAAUAUUAAAAACUAAUUAGAGUUAAAUAUUUAAUAUAUAAUUAAUUAAUUUUUUUCAACAGAUUCUAGCAAUAAAGAUAUAUUUAAAAAUAUUAUAAUUUUUACAAAGUUAAUAUAUAUAUAUNNNNNNNNNNNNNNNUUAAUAUAUAUAUAUAUAUAUAUAUAUAUAUAUUAAAUUUACAAAAAUUAUAUUUAUAAUUUAUUAUGUUUGCAGUGGUCAAUAUGCAAUUAACCCAUAUUUUUUAGCUGGAGCAAAUUAUAGCCUUUGAAAGCCUUUGAAGUGAUACCCUUUUCCCCUACUCCAUAUUAUAUCUAUAUAUAUAUAAAUACCCCAGCAGGAGCGUUUUGGAACUCCCUCUUUUCUCAUGAAAUUCUCCGCCCUAAUUAAAUUUCUCCUUUUACUUCACAACUAAGAGAAAGGGGUCGAUAUACACACAGCUAGCUUCUACGUACUAAGUUCUCAAAUAUAUCAAUCAUAUGAUGGAGAACAGCAAAGAGGUACUACUAAGCUCGAUCCGAUCCCCCCUUUUUCUCUAGCUUUCUCUUCUUCUUCUUUUUUUUUUCUAAAUUUAAAUCUUUUUUUUCUUUUCUUUCUUUCUUUCUUUUUUUUACUUAGAAAUUGAUAUCUAAACUUCAAGAAAUUAAAAAAAAAAUAAUUAUAUAGAUAUAUUUUGGAUUAAGAAAAUAAUAUUAUUGUUGUUUUGGUGGUGGUGGUGGUGGUGGUGCAGGAGAAUGGGGCGUGGAUGUCGGUGCCGGCGUUCGGGGAGUGGGACAUGAAGAACGGGCCGCCGGACUACUCGAUGGACUUCUCGAAGAUUCGGGAGAUGCGGAAGCAGAACAAGAAGGAGCUCUCCCGCUCCAGCAUCGGCAACGACGACGACCUCCUCUCCCGCCAAAACCAGCCCCACCCGCCUCCGCCCCUCCAGCCAACCCACGCCCGCCACGUCGACGCCGCCGCCCACGACCACGACCACGACCACUCCCCCACGGUAAUCACUCUUUUUUGCAAUUUGUUUUUUUAUUACUUUACUUAUUUUAUUAAAAAAAAGAAAAUAAUUGAGAGAAAAAAAAAGAAGAAAUGGUCGUGAAAUUAAUUAAUUAAUUAAUUAAUUAAUGGCGAGUGUCUUCGUCACGCGGGUGCUUUGAUUGGUCGGCUCGGCUGUGUGUCCCCACUCGCUGGCGGUUUUCGACCGUGUUGAUCGGAUCAGGACGGCGCGCGUGUCGCUUUUGUGGAGUGGAAUCUUGGGUCGGACGGAUAUGAUUGUGAGGAGAAGCUAAAACGCGCCUCUUCACAUCUCUCUUUGCAGUAAAGAGAGAGGGAAAAAAAAAAAAAAACUAUAUAUCUCGUUUGUUUACAAACUAUUCUAAUGCGAGAAUUAAAAAAAAAAAAAAAGUGUACAAUCCAAAUGACAUUUAAAUGUUUUUUUUUUAACUUAAAUAUUUAAUUUGAGGUAUGAUUAUUUAUUUAUGUUACAAUUCGCCAAGCAGAAAAGUUUAUAGAGCUUUUAUCGUGACAAAAUUUUAAGAAGUUGCUCAUUCAUUUUAUGUGUUUUUUUUUUUUUUUCAGCGAAUGAUAGCAUACUACUAUUUUGUUUAUUUUUUAAAAGUAAAUUUAAUUAAAAAUAUAAAAUAAUUAAAUUUUAAAUAUGAAAUCUCGAGUAUUAAUUAUAAAUUUUUUUGUCACUUGCGCUAAGAACAGUUUGUCGGUAUAUAUAAAGUUUUUCAUUGCACACAGAAUUGUAGAGAAUCUGCGGCCCCCCUGAAAGGCUGGAUCACGGCCAUGUGUUGCGAGCUACGUCAGCCCAAAUCUAGUGUUUUUUUUUUUUNGUUUUUAGGGAUAGAUAGCACGUUACCCGCUUCGUUUAUUUCAUUUAGAAAUAAACUUAACUAAAAAUGUAAAUCAACUAGGAUUCGAACUUGGGUCUCGAAUACCAACCACCAAGUCCUUUGCCACUUGUUCUGGGGACGGUCGGUAAAUCUAGUGCUUUUCGAAACUUCAAAAGUGUCACUCAUUGACAGCCUAGUAGAGCCAGCUCCUAACUGUUGCUAACGGCGAUGCCAUUAGGAAUGAAUAAACGAUAACGACGCAUCUUAAUAGUUUAUCUACAUUAAAUUAGUCCACUUAAACAUAUCAUGGCUUCGUUGGCAUAGCUAGUGGGGUUUAAUUGCUUACAUUACUAACAGAUGUGAUCUGAUUCAUUGGAGGUUUCGUAUUAUUAGCUUAAUUUAAUGAGCAUGUUGACGCGCUUGUUUUUUGUCUGAGUCGUCUAGUGCUGUAACAUUUGGAAGUUGCAUAGAAAGAUUAGUAAGCAUCACUUUCCCUUGAUUAGUAUGAAAAAGUAUUAUUAUAUUUAUUUAAUGCGUAUCUUAAAUAUUAAUUAAUCAAUCAGGUGGGACAUAAUAUGAUGAAAUCCAUGGAAUUAUUGUCCUUUGUGGAAAGUCUAAUUAAUUCCUCUACGUGGUAUCCAUGUUGUUUCUGCUACUUCUCAUCUCAGGAAGCAAGAGAUGGAGUCCUUGUCCUCUAGGCUCUAGGCCUGUUUGGUCUGACCGAAACUUUUCCAGUAAAAUUGUUGUUUGAGUAUAUACGUGUUUAGAACUAAAAACUUAUUUCAGCUGGGUAAAACUGUUGGAUUAACUGGGCCAGCAUCCUACUCUGUAGUAGGAGAUCAUGUUGGGCCGAUUCAUGUUCGAAAUGACGUGAGGUUAAGUGGGCCGAGUCAUAUUUGAAGUGGCGUGAGGUUGGUUUGGCCAAGUCACAAUCGAGACCUGUGGGCGCUGUAUCUGUACGGUUUAAGUGAAUUGGUUGCGUAUUUCUAAUAGCUCGAGCUUUUGGGAUUAAUUGUUAACGCCAACGAUCCAACAGAAGUCUCUGCGUAUUUUGUUUAUUGUGUGACUCUUUCGUGAAGUUGGUCAACUUUGAGUAGUAAAAUUUUCUUUAAUUAUUGGGGUUUUGUGCUAAUCUAUUCUUGUUUGCUUUUCUGUUUCUUUGAUGCAGGGGAGAAAGAAGUUUAUGAGUUACUUCCAAUGUUGUAUAAGAGCUUGAAGCAUAGUUUCCAUGAAAAGAAAAAAAAAAGGAAAAAAAAACCAUGAUGAGAUUAGUUUUGGGCUCCUUUAUUUGUGUUCUAAAACGGUUUAUUAAUGGCUCGAAUGUUUUAUGUAUAUUGGGAUUUUUCUUCAUAAUCUAAUUUACGAGAGCAUUUUGUUUAUUAUUCAGUAAGAACCCAAAAAAAAAAAAAAAAUCAAAAGUGGUCCUAUGUGAUUUUUGUUGAUUUUGUCACUUGGCCAAAUAAGUGGGUCCUUUGUAUUUAAUUUAUGUUGUCCCUUGGCUCACAAUUGCCUAGCGUGCACGGAACAAACUCUUCACUGAGACUAAUCAGAAACAAGUUGGAUGACAAAUUUGUUUACUAAUUUUUUUUCAUAAAUAAAGGAAAAAUAUUGCCUACAUACAUAAUACUCUGACUUUCUUAUGUUAAUAAGUCUUGUUCUUAUACAUAAAAAAAAAGUCAACCCACAAUCGUGGAAAAAAUGUUAGCUUUGAUUUCAACUUUCAAAUAGAUUUUAUGAUAUGAGAUUGACACCAAGUUUCUUUUUUCUCUUUUUGUCACCUUUGACUGUGAGAUGCAGAGCAAUUCUCCGUGCAGUUCGUUAAAAAAGGGAUUAGGAAUUUAGAACUCGUUUUUUGUUUCAUCAAUGAUUCAUGAACCAAAGGAUUAAUCAGAAAGAUUUUUCUCCAACUCUUCUUCAUUUUUCUUUUUCUUUUUUUGUUCUCUGAUGAUUCUGCAGUAAAAUUUGGACAGUAAAUUAAAGUCACACUCUCAUAAACAGAAGCAAUUUUUGGCCUACUUUUUUUAUGGCAGAUUGAGAACCUGUCAGAAGGUCUUACUUUUCACUGCAGACACCUGAUUCAUUGUCUGAAAUGAACAGCAAACAAAAAUUGUCCCAAUUCCCAGCCAGCUGGCUUGGAAAAUCAUGGUCAAUGAUAGUUUAGAUCAGAAAAGAGAGGAAACCGCGAAUUAGUCGAUACAGAAACGAUUAAAAUCUCAUAACAUGUAUUAAUCAGAGAAAACAAUUUGGAAUAUCAAAUCAGAAACCAGAAAGAAAAAAAGUCGCUCUAGCGUUGAUUGCUCGCUUGCCGACUACCGAUAAGUUCACUGAGUUUUAGCAUUCAAUGCUUCUCUAGAUCAUACAAUCAUACCCUAACAAAAGCAUAGUCACUAAUUUAAACUGUUUCAGCAUGUCCUUGUCAAUUCUGUUGUGAAAAUCUUCAAUAAGUCUCUUAUUAAAUGGUAAUAUCACAGGGUCCUUUCAUCUUUUUGUGACUAUGCAAGCCAAAUUCAAAAAUUCCAAUGUCAUUUCCGAGCAAAUCAUUGAGAUUCCAUUCAAAUGGACAACUGUUGAUAGUGAAAAAUGAACGCAUUCAACUUUCAAUAGAUUUAGGCAAAAAUAAAUUAAGUAUCAAGGUUUGGGCCAGGCAAGGUACCUGUCUGCGGACCCAAAACGCAAUUUGAAGAGAGGCUUGGUGUGCUGGUCCUUGUUUCGGCCUGGGACCAUAAACAUGAGGUACAAAAUAUGCCACUGGUGGAUCUGAAGUGUGCAUGAAGACAUAGACAUCAAUCACUUCAGCAAUGUCCUCAAGGAAAUGAAAGUUGGUUUGCAUUCAGAAGCAUCGAGAAAAGGACGAUCCAAAAAGGCUAGUAAAACAAGCAACCCAAUCUGAUUUCAGUUCCUAAAUAUGAUGGUUAUCCAGUUUGUAAGUUUCCGCUACCCUCUAAUUCCAACAGGUUCUUUCUAACAUACAAAUGUUGCUAACUCCAGAAUUUGAAGUGCAUGAUGCCUCUCAUUCGCAUUGCUUGAAAGAUUUGCUUUCUACCUUCAUGCUAACUAAAAUACAAUACAAAAUAGAACUCAAUGCUCAAUGAAAAGUUGACGAAUUUCAGUCUUUCCUACUUUACAUCAUUUGGAAAAACUUUUCUUUAUAGAACUUGAAUCUUUCCUGCUUGACAAAGGCCAUUAAGAUUUAACCACUAGAAACAAGUCAUGAUGUUGCGUCAAGGCGACUAUACUUUCCCUCCGAUUUCAGUGGAUUUCACGGAAUAAAUAGUAAAAUAAACAUCCCGCAACCUCUGUGAGCAUAAGUUUAUAUUAAUAUCAAAGAAGCUUGAGCUAGCGAAGUCCAUCAUCCUCGUCAAACAACUGAAGUUCAGAGAUAUCAGGGACAGAACCAACGCCUUUCAAUAAUUUUGUCAGCCCAUCCAAAACUGAAUAGAUCAACUCGGCCUGCGGAUGCUCUCUCCCUCUUGCAAUGAAUACAUGCACCUCCUUCAUCACUUCAAUCCAACUGUACCCAGGCUCUUUCACUGCUCCAAUAUGAUCCAUUCCCUUUCUCACCUUCUCGACAUCAACCCACAUACCCUCGGAAGCAAAUAUGUUCGAUAACAAAACGUAAGGCCCGCUAUCUGUGGGGUCUGCUGCCAAAGCCAUUUCAGCGGCAUAUUUUCCUAUUUCAAUGUUACCAAACACUCGGCAUGCACUAAGCAAGCUCCUCCAUACCACUGCAGCUGGUUCAAUCGGCAUCUGUUCUAUGAACUCCUUCGCCACCCUCAACUUACCUGAACGACCAAAAAGGCUAACUACAGAAGCAUAAUGUUCCAUUCCUGGUUCAAUUCCGUAUUUUUCUUUCAUAGAAUUGAAAUGGUAAAGUCCUUCCUCGAUGAGCCCGGCAUGGGCACACGCUGAUAAAAGACCAACAAACGUCACAUAGUUUGGUUCUACUUGCUCCUGUCUCAUGAUCUGGAAAACUUUAAGAGCUUCUUCGGCAAGCCCAUGUUGUGCACAUCUUGAAAUCAUGGAGUUCCAACACACGACAUCUUUCCCACAAGUUGACUCAAACAAAAGCCAAGCUUCUUUGAUGCAACCACACUUUGCAUACAUGUCUACGAGAGCAUUUGAAACAUGAGGGUCGGAAUCUACGCCUACUUUUAUGAUCUGGCCAUGAAACUGUAAGCCAUGGAACAUGCUUGCCAGGUUACUCGCAACAGUUAUCAGGGCAACGAAAGUGAACUCAUUAGACAUCAUUCCAGAAAUUUGUAGCUGGUGGAAGAGUCUAAGGGCCUGUUCACCUUGCUCAUUUUGGGUGUACCCAAAAAUCAUCGCAUUCCAUACAACAAUAUCUCUCUCACUCAUUUCAUCAAACACAGCUCUUGCAUCCUCAACACAUGAACACUUUGAGUAAACAUCAACUAACGCACUACCGGCAUAAAGGUCCAGUGAUAUUCCUUCUUUAAUAAUAAGGCCGUGAAUCUGCUUGCUUAAGUCCACAGCUGAUGCUGAUGCCGACACACCGAGAAGGCUAACAAAAGUCAACAGGGUUGGGGGCAACGAGCGACAUCGCAUGAUAUUGAAUAGAACAAAUGCUUCUACAAGCUCCUCAUGACUAGCAUAUCCUUCAAUCAUAGCAUUGUAAGAAAUCACAUUAUCUUCUGCAAGGACAUCAAAUAGAACCCUCGCCUCAGUUAAAGAGCUACAUUUGGCGUACAUAUCGAUAAGGCCAUUCUUCACAUACUCGUCGAACUCCAAGUUAGCUUUAAUUGCAUAACCAUGUAUUUGUCUCCCUUGUUGUAAAGCCAUCAGAGAGCCACACGAGCUUAAUACGCUUGUACAAGCAAAACCAUCGGGCCGCCACCCCAACCGACUCAUUUCGAGGAACAAGGCCAUCGCUUCAUUAUCACAAGAAUUUUGCAUGUACCCCGCGAUCAUCGUAGUCCAUGAGACAAGGUUCCUAACAACAAUUGAAUCAAAUAACUUGCGUGCAAUCGUUAAUUUUGAGCACUUGGAAUAUAAAUCUAUUAGCACGUUGUUCACGGAAACAUCCAUUUCAGUAGCAACUCUAUACGCAAAACCAUGGAUUUGCCGCCCGCCCUCGAGAAAACCUAAUGCAGAGCAAGCGCUAAUGGCGCUUGAAAGGACAAAUCUAUCGGGCCGAACUCCUUCGUCCUUCAUCAAAUUAAAUAGUUUCAAGGACACAUCGCUCUCCCCGAUUUGUGAAUAACCUGUGAUUACCGCCGUCCAAGUCACCGAAUUCCUAACCGGGAGCUCACCAAAUAUCAACAUAGCCUCAUCCAUACAUCCAAACUUAGAGUAGAAGUUGAUCAACGCUGUACCAACAUAGACAUCGAUAUCAAACCCCAAUUUUAUCACAAGAUCCUGGACUUGGCUAGCAAAAUUAGCGACCUUUGAUUGAACACAGGCGCGGAUCACACUAGCGAGAACGAACUCAUUCGGGCUCUCCGAAGUGGAACUCCGGAAGCGGGAAAAGAGCAAAAAGGCCUCUUCCUCGCGACCCUGCUGCGCGUACAUGGAGAUCAUGGAUGACCAAGAGAUCAAGUUUCUGUGAGGCAUUCGAUCGAACACUUGGCGUGCCGAUCGGAUACCGCCGGAUUUGGAGUACCCGUUCAGGAGGAGGUUGUUUAGGAAGAGAUCGGCACGGAGGCCGGAGACGAUGGAUUGGGCGUGGAUGGGGUGGAGGUGGAGGUGGUGGGUUUGAUUGGAGAUGCAUGUUUGUAGGAGAUGGGCGAGGGUCCGGGGUUUCGAGUACAGGGUUUGAAGUGGGGGUUUAAAUUUCAUACAGGCCCAACGGCUAGUUAGCUCAUUGAGAGUUUGAGGUUAUUUUUGAGGACCCUUCACACAAAAAUUUGGCGCCCGGUGCAAGCAAAUCACACUGCUUAAAUAUUCAAGGGUUGUGACUCCACAAAGGUUCCUUAUAAUAAUGCACAUAUUAAUAUGUAAUAACCAUCUAUAAUUAUUAGAGCAAUACUUCAAUACACCAUAUAAAUUUUGACUAUUUAUUUUUCUUAAUAAAUGAUUGAGAUGUAAAUUUUGACUAUAGACGUGAUUUUCUAUUGAGGCAUAGAUACCAUUCACCAACUAUCUAUUUAAAGGGUAUUUUGGUCUUUACGAAAUAUUUUGGUCCAAAAAGGGGCGGUCGGAGAAUAACAGCUGUGUUAUGUGUAGUGCGGAGCUCGAUAUAGUUGAUCACCUGCUAGUGGGGUGUGUUGUUAGUAAAUUUCUUCUUCUCCCGCACUUUGGAGAAUCCCAGUUCUUCUCCAUUAUUGAGGAUAUCUCCUUCGUCUAGGGGCGGCUACUGGAAUGGCGUCCGCAGACCGACAUUUUGAAGGUUCAGAUAUUGAUGGCGGUCACUUGGUGGAUGCUCUAGCACGAAAGAAACAAUAUUAUUUUUAAAAAUCUACCGAUUGACGUUACCUUUACAGCCCAUCGUAUUAGAGUGUUGGCAAAGAAGCAGACUAAGUUCUGUCGAGCUAGGUGUUUGUUUGGUCGUUAGUGUUCGUGUGUCAUUUUCUCUCUUUAGUUACCUUCUUUCUUUUUUUAUUUUUUCAGCCUUUUUGAGGCUCUAGUUAUCUCACUCUAUGUAGCUAAAUUUAUAUAUUUAAAAUAAAAUAGGUAUCGUGCUACCUUCCUUUCUCAAAAAAGAAAAAAAAAAGAAUACUAUAUUCUUUUCAAAUACCUAUAACAAUAGUUGAAAUUCAAAUUACAUAAAAAACUUAAGUAUAAACCAAAUUCAAUUUUUUUAAAAUAUAAGACACAAAUUUAAAAUAAAUUUAAAUUCAAAAUUUCAAUUUAAAUCAAAAAAUAAAAGUUGGCUUUAAGAUUAAAAGUAUAAUUUAGAUUCAAAAUUUAAAAGUUUAAUAUCAAUUUCAAAAUUAAAAUUUUACAUUACAAUACCAACUUCAAAAAUUAAAUUUAAAUUCAAUAUUUUUUUUUUAGUUUGAUACUUAACAAAUUAGGUAUUAUCUAAUUUAGUAAGUAACAAAAAUAAAUAAAACAUUUAAUAUUUAUAGGACGUUAACAAAUUUAGUAUAUAUUACUAAUUUUUUUUCCAAUAUUAUAAAUUAAUAGUAGCAUGCUGUGCUGAGAUGCUCUGAGCAUAACUUUUAUCUCAUACUCCUUGUUGAUUGAAAUCUCAAGGUGUAUAUGACUUGCAAAAUGUUAGACCCCAAAAAAAAAAAAAAAAAAAAAAAAAAGAGUCUGACCAAGCAUAUGUACUGGGGAAUCACUAGAUUAAAAUGAGAGUUAAGGAAACCAAAGAGAUAAUUAGAGUGGUAAAUUCUAUCUGAGCAAUUGAGGUCAACUCGACCAAUCAAUUAAACUAGAUUGAAGAGUAAAUGGAUCGGAUUUAGAGGAACAAGUUUACUUAACCGGUUAGCGAAUAAGCUCAAUCGAAGGUUGAACUUGAAUCGAUUUUUUUUUUUUUUUUUNUUGUGAGAGAGAGAGAUAGGUAGCACGCUACUCGCUUCGUUUAUUUCAUUAGAAAUAAACUUAGCUGGAAAUGUGAAUCAAUUAGAAUUCGAACUUGGGUCUCAGGUACCAAACACCAAACUUGAAUCGAAUUUGAAUCUAAAGAUCCUCGAAUAGUCCAACAUUUCUGCUCUUUCUUCUUCUUUCUACCUCUUAUUUUCCUCAACUAAUCUUUCAAUUACAUAAAUGUUUCAAUCAAUGUUUAACUUGGACUGAGUCUGGUCCAAACUUCAACAUUGUUAGUUUCGCCCCUGCUUAUUAAAAAGCAGCUUUUAAUUAAUACUUUUGUUUCGUUUUUUUUCUUUCGAAAACUCACUCAAUUUUUCAAAGUAUCAGCAACGUAAAAAGUUGGCCGUGUUCUUAGAUCCUUUAAACUAUAAUAAUAUUUAUCACUAUUGACUAGAAUAAUUAGAUAUUACAUCUUUCUCGCCAGGUAAUGAGACUUAGCUAGGUUUACACCGUUUUGUACACAAAUUAAUAAGUGUGACAAGCGAAUAUCUUUGAGAAAAAAAAGAUACAAAAAAUAAAAUGUGCGACACACGUGUGAAAGCAUCAAAAGCAUGUGCUCUGAAAUCUGAGCAGCCCCGUAAUCAUUCAUAAUAAUAUAAAUAGUACCUUUGAUUGUAAUAAAUUUCAUUAAAAAUUAUCGUGUUAGAAUUUUAGAAACCUUGAGGUCAAAAUCUCACCUCCACCUCUAGACCAAAUGGAUCAGUUCAUAGUUAGAUGGACUCUGAUUUUAUUUCUAUGGCAAAAUUUACAACCAUUUAUAAUCAUUUGUGUUGUAUUAUAAUUAAGGCUUAAUUGUAUAUAUAUAGUUUUCUGUAAACAUAUUGAAUAGCAGAUAUAUUCAUAUAAAAUUUUAAUUUUUUAUUUUUACUCUUGCAAAAGUUCUAUCGUUUUUAAAUAUUUUUUCUGUUGUUAGGAUUCAUCGGAAAAAUAUAGUUUACCAUGAGUGAAAUACUUCAUUCUGAUUAGUGAAUGAGUUAAAUUAACUUUUUUAUCCCCCUAAUAUUAUUGGAUAAAAUAUUUUUUGGGAGCACAUUUUCAUAUAAUUCUAACGUUUAGGUUUUUUGAAGGGAUAUAUUUGUGAGGGCAAACAUGUUAUUUUAUUUAAUUGUUGUUAAAAAAUAAAUAGUGCUAUAUCAGUAACAAACUAGAGGGACAAAUAUGAAUAUUACUGAAUUUUUGUAGGAAUAAAAAUAAAAUUUUAAACUUUGUAAGAAUAUAUAUUUGCUAUUCGAUAUGUUAACAGAGUGUUGUAUACAAUUAUUUCUACAAUUAAAUUCAAUCAAAAUUAUUUAAUAAAGAAGUAAAAUCAAUAAAUUUAUCUAUCAACAAUAUUUUUUUGUUUUUUUUCACUUGGAUCAGAGCGUGUUCUCCACUAGCCAACCCAACCCUUUAAUCUUUUCUCUUUUUUUUUUUAAAAAAAAAAGAAAAUUCCAUCCUAUUCAAUUAACACGUCGUAUAAUAUUCCGCAUGCGGUUGGUCGUGACCCACAAGUGCCAGCUUAGUUUUUGCAAUUAUUUGCCUUUCUUUAAUUGGUGGGCUCACAAUCGUGGUUCAUACCCUGUCACGGUCCAUGGUAUACACUUAUAAUUGAACACCGCCAUAAAUAAACCGUCCAUGAGAUGGGAUGAACGGCUGUAAUAUGAAGGCGCGCGUUUUACGGAUGAACCGAGUUUAGCAAGAAAUUUGUACGGUCUUUGGAUGUGCGCCGGUCUAGUCGCCCCCUCCCAUUCCCACACCCGAAAUCAGCUGCAUCGUGUCGAACAGGCUACAGCAGAAUGAAUCUACAGGCUUACGUGGCACGAUACCAUUGAUUGCAAUCGGCCACGUCAUCUAUUUAUUUCCCCCAGUUGCCCAUCGAAGCGCAUACUACGAAACGCAUAGAAACUCCAAUGCGAGUUCCCAAGUUGAUCCCUCGCGUCCAUCUAGCUCAGGCAAUCGGUUAGCUCAGAUGGACGGUUGAUUUAACGCCGCAUAAGAAACUCUCUAUGCGGUUUAUCCGUUUAUCAGGAGCGGUAGUUGGAGUCAUGUGGUCAAACGUGGCAGAUGUUUUCUCUCUCCUUAGACCGAGAACCCACCAACCACAGAACUUCAGUGACGAAAUCACCCUCCACUUUAUAGAUAAGUACGGAAUGAUCCCCUCUCUACCUUUAAAGAAUUUGCAAUUAUAAUAAGGGUAAAGUUGUCAAUUUAGAACAUAAUGGCAAUUUUGAAGCCAUCCGAAAUAAAAAAAAAAAAAUCCGCGUCGCCGCUUAGUCCCAAGUCCACAGAGGCUAACGUGCGCUGCUCGCGCCUUAUAAUGCGCCGCGAACGCGAGCUCCUCCUCAAAUCCCUAGCGCACUCCUCCAUCCACCUUCAAAUUUCCCCCAAUUUCUCUUCGAUCGAACCCCCUCUUCCCCAUCAAAUCACCAUUCUCGUUUCAGCUCCUUUGUGAUUUGAUUCUUUUUCCGAUUUUUUUUGAAUCUAAUUUCUAUUUCAACCAAUUAAAGCAAGGGGGAGUCGUUUAGAAUUUAUCUUUUUCAGUGGAAUUUUGGUGAAGGUUUGAUUUUGCGAUGGAGUCGGGGACCGCUUUGAGGUUGCAAUCGAGUCCAUGGAUUGGGUGCGAGAACCCGCGGAGGAAUCCGCUAGGGUUCUUAGUUUUGCCGCGGGGAUGUGGCGGGGAUAGGUUAAACACUCUUAAUAGUAGUAGAGAUUCGAGGUUGGGGAAGGGUUUGGAUCGGAAUCGGAAUCGGCAUUGGCAUGUUGAGUUGAAGAUUUCUUGCUGUUCUACAAAAUCCGGAAGUGAGUUGGUGAAUAUGAAAUUUUUGUUUUCUUAUUUAUAAUACAGAAAUUGUAAUGAUUCACUGGGUGCUCUGCUGGAAAAAUCCAAGUUUUAAGAUAUUUUGUGAGUGUUGUUAUUGUUUGGCCAAUUGAAACCAGUAGUUUUCGACAAAAUUUCCGGGUGCAACUGACCCUAAUAUCGGAGUUAUAGGGUGGCAAAGAAACUGUAAACUUCUGAGGAAAUUACAUUUGUGAAUUUUGUAAACUUAUGAGAAAAUGGUUUUUGGUGGAGGUUCUGUUUAUAUCAAGAGUUUGGUGAUUAUGUAGGUUAAAUUUUAUAUUUUUUUCGUAAUCUAUACAUGAUGAGUCCAUUGUUGUGUUGUUUCUGAUUAAUCUUACCAUUUUAUGUCAUGUAGCAUCAGCCAAAGUGUCAGAGAAGUUUCAUGCAGCUGUUGACGAGGCUCUUAUCUUAAAGGCAUGCUUUAUCAUCGGACUCAAAACUGUUAUUUUGAUAUUGGAUUAACUCCCUCCAAAGGAAACAAGUUCUCUUUAAUGAUUUUUUUUGUGGACAUUUUCUUUCUUGGUCAUUGAUCGGAAUUGAUGUUUGUAUACUUCAGAGGAAGUCGGAAGACGUUGCCUCACAUUUGAACAGUCGCUGUAUAUAUCUAGUUGGUUAGUCUCCGGAAUAGUGAAUUACGAGUACAUUUUGUUUGUGUAAUUUCUCGCAUUAUCGCGUCAAGUUAUCAAUGGUUUGUACUCUUUUUGUGUAGGUAUGAUGGGGUCUGGUAAGACUACAGUGGGGAAGAUCCUCUCAGAAGUUUUAGGAUACUCCUUUUUUGACAGGUUUGUGGUAUAUUCAACAUGUCAUGCUUUUGUUUUCUCUGGAUAAUUGUUCAACAGUAUAUGUAAUUUUGGGGGAUGUCAAUUUAUUAUUCAUUGGUUGUGCAGUGACAAGCUGGUAGAGCAAGCUGUGGGUGUUUCUUCUGUUGCCCAAAUAUUCAAGGAUUAUAGUGAGGCUUUCUUUAGAGACAACGAGGUACUAGUUUCAUCAAUUAUAUUCCCUGUUCAGUAAGGAGUUUAAAAGUGGUUAUGUGCCAAACUUAUUACUUAAUAUGUUUUUCUUUUCUAAUUCAUAAUAUUUACACCUCAUAUGUGCUUGAUUUUCUUUUCCUUGAUCAGAGUAAUGUACUUAAGGACUUGUCAUCAAUGCGUCGCUUGGUUGUUGCAACCGGAGGUGGUGCUGUCAUUCGACCUAUCAAUUGGUAAUCCAUAGAAGUACAAUAUUCAGCUAUCUUAGCUCCUGAGAUACUGUUUUCUUAAAUCUAAGGAAGUGAAUUGUUGAAAUUCCAGGAAAUAUAUGAGACAGGGAGUAACUGUCUGGCUAGAUGUUCCUUUAGAAGCUCUAGCGAGGCGGAUUGCUGCAGUUGGGACUGCUUCUCGGCCUCUUCUGCAUCAGGAACCUGGUGAUCCAUACACAAAGGUAGAUAUUUCGGCAAAUGAUUUUAUAUUCCUCUCUAUCAUCUAUGAUUUGAUAAUAAAUUUGUUCCAUCCCAUGUUUAUCACCUAGUUCAGCAAAAUGCUAUUAGUAUAUAAGGUAUUAUGCUAUAUCAUGCUAAUGGUGAACGGACCAUCAAAUCCUUAGUCGUCUGGUAUCUCGAUAUAAGAUAUUAACAAAGAAAAUCACUUCAUCCUCCUUCGGAAACUUUAGCUUGCAUGUGGUUAAUACUCUUGAGAGGCUAGAUUAAAGAUAUGUCGUCGCAUCUUAACUUUCGCUUGGUUAUGGUCUUCAGGCUUUGAUAAGGCUCAGCACUCUGUCUGAAGAGAGGAAAGAUGCCUAUGCUAACGCACAUGUCAGAAUUUGCCUCCGAAGUAAGUGUGCUUUCUCAGUUCUUGUUUGUUCUUGUAAGAAAAUUCUUUUUUCAACUCACACUCAAACUGCUCCAAAGAUAUUGUCCUAUAUGCAUAUCUUAAGCACUACCCCUUAGUUGUAUUAAAACGCGAUCACACAUUUUAAUACGUCUAUACAUGGAUGAUUCUUUCCCAUAUAUACCCUGUAAGCCAUUGCAAGUUAGGGCCUACGUUUGUCAUAUUAUUUCAGUUCUUGAUAUCUCAGAUUCAAUCCGAGUCUCCUCCUGUUCUUAGUUGGCCAAUCAAAGAGACCGAUAAAAUUUCCAGACCCUUUCUUCAGCGAUGCUACUAAAUGAUUCAUGUUAAAUGGUUGCUUUUCAUUUGCAGAUAUCGCCGCAAAAAAAAGCCAUGGUGAUGUAUCUUUGCUCACACCAACAGAUAUUGCAAUUGAGGUACUAUUGAUUCCCUACCUUGUUUCUUUUUCCAUAUUACAUUCCCUUGAUCUUUUAAGUUCUCUGACUUGAAGCAUCACUUUUCCUUGUUAUUAUGGCAGGUUCUUUCGAAGAUCCAGACACUUCUACUUGAGGAGGUGUCAACUGAAAAAUUUUUCGUGCCUUCCGAUUUGAACCACGGAGACAACCUUGAAGAAAUGUAUUGUUUGUAAACGAAUGCAAGGGUGUAUACCAUUCGCGGAAAUACGCGGCCUAUACGCCUUUUUGUUUCUCAUUAUUGAUUCAGAUUACAAUUAACAUUUUCUGCUUUUCUCGUCGUAUGGAUCGAUUGCGAGUUUGGGUAAUGAAGAGAAGACGUGGAAAACUCUUUCAUGUACGAAAGAAAAGAAAAUCUUCAAUUAGAGAGUCAUUUGUUGAAUAGUAAAUUAGAAAAGCGAUGUCCUCUAGAUCAUGGUGCAAUUAAACUGGUAAGUGAAAACAUCAAAUUAUAUUGCUGGAUGGAUAAUUAUUUAGCUGAAUUNAAAUCCAACAAUCAUAUUAUACCCGAGCCAUAAAAGCUUUUGAUAAUAAUAUUCAUAAUAAUAAUUCUUUAGGAACAAGAGAAAAGUAUAUAUAAGAAAAAAGAUAUACCAUCUUAAGGUCCCCAAAGCGGGAGGGAUCGGAGAGGAGGCCGCGCAUGUGGGCGGUGCGGGGGUUGUGGAUCCACAUGGUGGAGUCCAUGAACUGGACGCCAUGGGCGGCGCACGCGGCGAGGAUGGGGUCAAGCUCGGCGGCGGAGAGCGCGGCGGGCUUCUCGAGGAGCAGGUGCUUCCCGCGCUCCGCCGCCGCGACGGCCCAGCGCGCGUGGAGGCUCGUGGGGAGCGGCAUGUACACCGCGUCCACGGCGGGGUCGUCGAGGAGCUCCUCGUAGGACCCCACGGCGCGCACCGACGAGGAGAGGGCGUUCUCGGCGAUGAAGCGGCGCGCCUUGUCGAGGGAGCGGCUCCCCACGGCGACGAGGGUGGCGUUGGGGGCGAGGGCGAUGGCGCGGGACACCUUGCGCGCGAUCUCCGCGCACCCCACGAUGCCGAAGCGAAUGGGGCUCGUCGUCGUCGUCGUCGCCUUCUCCUCCGCCAUGGAUUCGCUCUCGUUGGGGGAGAAGGAGAAGGAGAAGAGAAGGGGGAAAUGGUGAGCGGUGUGGUAUGUGUAAGCGGAGCGUUCGCUAGGUUUUAAGUAGGAUUCUUCGAUAGCAUCGGAAUGUAUCAUAGAAAAAAAAAAUAAAAAAAACUUCUAGUCCCUCUAAAUAGUAGUCUUGUUUUUGAUAAUCAGAAUAAGUUAUCUAAUAAUAACUUUUAAAUAUAACUUUUUUAACACAAUUAUAGUAUAAGACUUUAAUUUACCCCUUAAAUAUAUUGAUAUUGAUAAUUUUGCUAUUUUAUAAAAUAGCUUAUUUUAUGCACAAACUAAUUUAUCUUAUUUUUAAAAAUAUAAUUUGAAGAUGGGAUAUGCUAACACUUUUAAUAUUCAAUCACAAUAAAACUUUUUUAUAUCAAAUUAAAUAUUACAAAAAAAAUUUAUUCCAACUCGGUGCCUUAAUCAGCGGAUUAUCCAAAGAUAAUAAUUUAAUAUUAUUUAAAUUAAUAAAUAAUUUAAAUAUAUUUAAUUAAUUUGGUAUCGAUUGUUUGAGAGGUAAGGACGAAACAAUAAAUUCAAAUGUAUACUUUAUACCAAAUUAUACCAACUUAUUCUUAUACGAAAAAUAACAUUUCGAUAUAAAAGGAGAUGAGAGGUUAUUCCGUCGCUAUCCCUUUAUCCCGGAGCCAAACAGGAACCAAACAGGGUAUAAAAAAAUUGCAAAAGAGGUAUACACGAGAAGCAUCCGGAAGAGAUCGAUUGACACGUGUCAAAAUCACGUCCAUUAACCUUUCCAUUUUCAUUUUUUUAUUUUUUUCUUUUUAGCAUCUUCUUUUUCUUUUUUUUUUUUUUCUAUGAUACAUUCCGAUGCUAUCGAAGAAUCCUACUUAAAACCUAGCGAACGCUCCGCUCACACAUACCACACCGCUCACCAUUUCCCCCUUCUCUUCUCCUUCUCCUUCUCCUUCUCCCCCAACGAGAGCGAAUCCAUGGCGGAGGAGAAGGCGAAGGCGACGACGACGACGACGACGAGCCCCAUUCGCUUCGGCAUCGUGGGGUGCGCGGAGAUCGCGCGCAAGGUGUCCCGCGCCAUCGCCCUCGCCCCCAACGCCACCCUCGUCGCCGUGGGGAGCCGCUCCCCCGACAAGGCGCGCCGCUUCAUCGCCGAGAACGCCCUCUCCUCGUCGGUGCGCGCCGUGGGGUCCUACGAGGAGCUCCUUGACGACCCCGCCGUGGACGCGGUGUACAUGCCGCUCCCCACGAGCCUCCACGCGCGCUGGGCCGUCGCGGCGGCGGAGCGCGGGAAGCACCUGCUCCUCGAGAAGCCCGCCGCGCUCUCCGCCGCCGAGCUCGACCCCAUCCUCGCCGCGUGCGCCGCCCAUGGCGUCCAGUUCAUGGACUCCACCAUGUGGAUCCACAACCCCCGCACCGCCCACAUGCGCGGCCUCCUCUCCGAUCCCUCCCGCUUUGGGGACCUUAAGAUGGUAUAUCUUUUUUCUUAUAUAUACUUUUCUCUUGUUCCUAAAGAAUUAUUAUUAUGAAUAUUAUUAUCAAAAGCUUUUAUGGCUCGGGUAUAAUAUGAUUGUUGGAUUUGUUGAUAUGAUUGGCUGAAAGGUUUUCUUUUUCUCUCUCUCCUCUUUUUUUUUUUUAUCCUCAGAAAAAGUAUCAUCUUUGGGGAAGAAUCUGUUUGAUAUUUAAAAAAUUAUCUUUUUUGUUCUUUUUGGCUCUGUAAAUGAUGAUCUUUGCGGUAUUUGAUUGGUCAAUUGGGGAAAUUUGGGAGCUUUUUGGUCCUUUUCUCUUCCAAAAUUGUAUAGUUGAAUAUAUUUGGAGCUUUAAUUCAUUUUUUUCUGUAAAAACUCUCUCUUUUAACGUUCUGAUCAUAAUACAGCUUCUGCCAAACUUACUAUCUAGUAUUUAGAAAGAGAGGAUUUUGUAAUCUUUGUUUCCUUUUAUCUUAGUAUUUAUCAGGUUCUAUGUAACAUAUAUAUCUAAAUUGGUCAUGCUGCUUAUUCUUAAAUUAGCUUUUAAGAAGGAUUGGAUGUGUUUGAGAUGUGCAUAUUUGUUUUUUUCUCUAUUAUGCUUUUGUACAUUAGAGCAUUGAGAAAUUGGACAACCGCACGAACCAAAAUUAAGUUCCACCGAAGCUAACAAGUAACAACAUAGUGGGAACAACAUAGUGAGAUGGAUGAGUUGGGGCUACUGGAGAAGAUGAAAUGUGGUUGUAUGCACAAUUAAGUUAGGCUUUAUGAGCAAUAUUCUUUAAUCUUUGGUAUGAUCUGAUUUGUCGGUUUUGGCAUGAUCUGAAACCUUAUAUCAUCAAUGUAUGUUAUGCUUACUUUAAAUCAUCAGCUCUCUUCUUUUUAAAAUGCCAACUAAGUUCAAUCUCCGAUGGUUUUGCAGAUAAACAGCAUUUUCUCCUUCUAUGCGGACGAGGACUUCCUUAAGAACGACAUCCGUGUGAAGCCCGACCUCGACGCCCUCGGAGCCCUCGGCGAUGCGGGUUGGUACUGCAUCCGCUCCUCCCUCUGGGCUGCCGACUACCAGCUACCCAAAACUGCCACCGCAUUUCGCAACCCUGUUUUAAACGAUGCAGGCGUAAUCUUAUCGUGCGGAGCCACUCUUCUUUGGGAGGACGGAAAAAUCGCGAUAUUCCACUGCUCUUUCCUCUCUCACCUCACUAUGGACCUAACGGUUAUCGGAACGAGAGGUUCGCUUCAUGUCAAUGACUUUAUCAUUCCUUAUGAGGAAAAAUCCGCGGAGUUUUCCUUUGCGUCUGAUUCGGGUUUCACCGAGCUUGUGACCGGAUGGCAGCCGCUGCCGAGCAAGCAUGUUGUCACAACCGAGCUUCCCCAGGAAGCGCUUAUGGUGCAGGAGUUCUCGAGGUUGGUGGCAGGGAUCAGGGAUUCUGGAAAUAAGCCAGAGGAGAAGUGGCCGACUAUUACUAGAAAGACGCAGCUUGUGAUCGAUGCAGUGAAGGCGUCGAUCGAUAAGGGAUUUGAGCCUGUUGAGAUUGUUGGUUGAAUGAAGAUUUUUUUUUUUAUUUUUUCCCGAGUUAAAUGUGUAAUUUGGAUGCAUGAUAAAUAAGGCUGUAGUUGCUGUGAGAGGAUAUCGAGAUGUUUAGUUUGCUGGGGUACUAUGGGGAAAGUUGUUGAGCUCCUUAGAUGAACAUGUUUGUGUGGUGAACUUUGCUUGCUGAUUUAAUGUCACAGUGAUUUGUUUCAAGAUUACAUAAUUAUCCAACAUUUCAAUAUGCAGGCUCUUGUUUCGUACUUGAUCUUUCUAAAUAUUCUACCCCUCUUUAUAGCAAAGACAUAUGAUCAUCAUAGUAAAUGCCUCUUGCCAAGCUACUAAUAUUGGAUGGUUUAUUGCAUGCAUUGAAGUCUAUAGACCAGUAUAAUGUAAACCGUUAGAUGUGAUCUAUGAUACUAGAGAGGAUUUUAACUUUAAUGACAUAAUGUUCCAUAACGUUUUUCUCAAGUGACACAAACAAACAGCUCACUGGUUCAAUUGAGUUCUUUCUCCCUUCUAGCAAAAUAAUACAAUUAAUACAAAAAACGAAAGAGUUUCAGAAAGGAACAAAUUCCCAAUUAAACUAAACUGAUUUGUUAUUUACAAAAGAUGAACACAGCUGAGAAUUUAACCUACUUAUAUACAGAAAAUCAAGUUCUGUGAAUUUGAAAAGAAUAUCAACAUGACCUGGCUCAUCUGAGGAUUGGAACUGCAGCUGUUCAAACCACUUCAAAGUUUAACCUUGCACAUUAUUAACCCAGAAGCCGAACCAUGUGAACUCAUUAUUGGAUAUCCUUAUCUACCGAAAUCGAGCAUUAGGAUGAUGCAGGAACCUGCAAAAAUGGUUUUAUCACAGUAAUUGUGUCAGAAAACCUUUGCCUAUAAAGAGAACUCCAAGAUCAGUACAGUUCUAUUUUAGAUUGAUUAUAAAACGCCUAAAUGAAUAGAUUUACCAACUUUUCUUAUUCACACCUCUCCAAUAAAAAAGGAAAAAUAGAGCUCUAAGCUUGAAAUGAGAAAUCCCAACAACCGCAGGUUUAAGAAUUCACUCUACACAGAGUGCCUAACUUUUGGUCAGGUAUUGCAGCCAACAAAAACAUAAAAUUAGACAGAAACACGAUACUUCGAUUGCAGCAUAGACAAGUUCAACACAGCCCAAAAGGAUAGAAAUAGGAGGAGAGAAAGGAGGAAAGCAAGAGAAAAGGGAGAGAAUGCUUCUCUUUGAACCUCGUCAGGAAAGAAGAAAAUAGCAUGAUCAAAAGCUUCUCUUUUUAUUUUUUCUUAUACUUCCGGUAAUGAAACAAAAUCAUUUCCUUCUCUUUUUCUUUCUCUUCUUUUCUUUCCUUUCCAUUCUCUUCUUUCCGAUUCUCCCGUCCAAAUCGAGCAUAAAUGCAAAACAAACAACUGCAAACAUCUAGUUCUGGAUUCCUCCCUUCUCUUUACUCAGAUAUGGCCUUGGAAUAUUCAGAUGUUAACUCGGAUAGAGACAACAAGCCAAAUGUGCAAGAAAAACCAUAAAAUUGGAAACUUCAGACUCUGAGGCUGCUUCACUGUAACAUAUACCAUAUUAUUCUGAUUCUCAGACCAUCUUCUAGCUUUUUCUCAUCUGCUCUAGCUAGCUUCGUACAUUUUUCUGUAUUCCAUGCAAUUACUACUACAAUAGAAGUUUCACACAAAAAGAAAAAGGAUAAAAAAAAUGAGUAUCUUGUUGAACUAAAUAUUGAAUUGCUAACAAUGCAAAUUCCGUCAAAUCUACGCAAUUACUCCUUUUUAAGCAGUAACAUUUUCCUUUUCAAACAGCAAAAUCAUCAGUAAUCAUACACAAAUCUACAGAUAAAACUCGGUCCUGUAGUCUACAAUAGCUUGCUAUUUUAUUUCGAGCCAAACAAACGCACUAUCGCCGUACAAAUUCCGAUGAUCUUGAACUAGUCAGAAAUUAAGAAGAAUUCUAUGGGCACGAAUUAUUCAGAUGACAGAAGAGAUAUCAUGAUCAUUGUAAACAUACCGAAGUUUCGAUCUUUCGAAUGUGCCACACACAAAGCUCAGAGCUCCAAAGCCAAGCAAUGAGCUAUGAAAGACCCUCUUGGCACCGCCAACUCGAUAGACUCCACCCACAAAACCCUCCCUUUCAGUCCCCCGUCGCUCGUUCUCGAGACCUCAAUCCCGGCCCAAUCGAUCACCAUCUCCUUCUUCCUGCGAUCUCCCUUCUCCUUCCCUUCCCACACCACACACAGCAUUCCUCCCAGGUUCGAAAGUGUUGCCCCGCACAAGAAUUUUGGGAGCUCCCGCUCCACCCCCUCCACCCGCUUCCACUCAUCCAGUUCCGGAUCGUACCCUUUGAUGUGCCCUAGGAAAUCGUACGAGUAUAGGAUCCCCCCCACCGCCGCCGCCCUCCCCCUCCACCCCUGAUCGAGCCCCGGCGCCACCGCCGCCCACGGCGGCUCCGCCGCCGGGUCGUACACCACCCCGCCGCGAUCCGCCACCGCGAGGAGCCGCCCCGCGAGCACGGCGCUCCCGUGCAUCCACUUCUCCCGGACGUGCGCCGGACUCGGCACGACAACCCACGCGGCGGCGGCGGAGGAGGCCGAGGGGUCGAGGGACUCGGCCCAGGCCUCGGAUAUAGGGACGCAGCCGCCGACGGCGUAGAUGCGGCCGCCGAGGGCGGCGGCGGCGGCGAACUCGCGGGGCGCGGACAUGCGGGGGCCGAGGGACCAGCGGGGGAGGCGCGCGUCGAGCACCUGGACGGCGGCGGAGGGGACGCCGCCGAGGGAGCCGCCGAGGACGAAGAGGAAGGGGCCGAGCGCGGCGGCGGCGGAGCCGAGGGAGGGGAGCAGGACGGCGGAGGCGAGGGCGGAGCUGCCGAUGUCGACGUCGAUCUCGAGGUAGCCGGCGGCGCGGGGAGGGGGCUAGGGUUCCGGCGACCCCGGUGGAGGAGGAGCCACCGCGACUGGUCGGUGGGGGAGCGGAGGUUGAGGCAGAGCACGGGCUCUGCGGCGCCCAGGGCGGAUCGGACGGAGAAGAGGAGCGGGGAGCGGAGGAGGGAGCGCCAGGAUCGGGACACGCGGCAGAGCUCCGGGUGCGAGGAUCGAGGCGCGCGAUGCACCGCACGGCGACGUCGUCGGGGAGGCCGGGUAUGAGCGCCGCGUCGCCCAUCGUCGCACGCGCGCUCGCAGCGGAGUCGCUAAAAUUGAGCAGGCGAGAGCAGCGAUUUCAAUUUUGAACAAGGAUGACGCUAAUGGGCCGUACGGGCCAUUACAGAAAUUUACAGGCCCACGAGAUAUAGGUGUAUUAGGCUUCACUCUCACGGCCCACGGGAACACGUACUCUCUCCGUACUAGAAAGCUAGUGGGCCGUAAGGGCCUGUGCAACAAUUAUAAUAAGCCCACAGGUUAAUGUGAUGACGAGUCAAACUUUCAGCCCCAUCAAAAAGUAUAUAGACCACGUUUGUGUUUAUAAUUUAUUCCUAAUUCGAUUAAAAUUAAUAUUUAAAUCUGUUGGUGAUACAUUAAAUUUUAAAUAUUAAAUAAAAUAUAAAUUGAAUUUGAUUAGAAUUUAGAUAGCUUUUUAUGUAAGUUAUAAAUAUAACACAGAUGCUAUUAUUUGGUGGUGAUGAUACGUCUAGCUACACCCAUAUGGCAUGCUCAAGAUGGUUAUGAUUUUGGAUGCACCUAGUACGUGAUGUUUUCGUGGUCGUGGGUCAAUAGUAUAUCUUGUGUAUGGAUGCACAAGAUGAGAGAGAGAUCUUUUAAAUCUAUAGAAAACAAAAAAAGGAUAAGGGAAAUUCAAAAAAAAGGGCUCGGAUUUGAAGCUAGUUUGUUAUAGAAGAGAAGUCAUGAGUCAAGUGUAAUUUUCUCUUAUUUAAUGAAUCUUAGUUUAUCCAUAUAUUUUUAUAUUUGGUUUUCUCUGUUUUGUUUGUUGUAUCAGUUUUUGCUGAAAAAACAGAUUUAUGGUAAAAAAUUUGAUUUGACACUUACGUUGUAAAAUCCCAAUGUUUGAUUCCGAAUCAAUAAUAGUUGGUAUCAGAGCAUAUUGCGGAUUCUCAAAGUUUAAUACCAGGACGGGUACUAAAUUAAUUCCCAAUAGCAAAUACAUGAAACCAAUUAAUGGAUGGCGGUUUUCGUUCACCUAUAUUACCUCUCAUUAUCUUCUUCAGUAUUGGUUCUUCACAAUAAUCUCUUUGUUUAAUUAAUGCCAAAUAGAAAGAGUGUUCUAAUAAGAAUGAGUAUAAAGAUUCGUCACGGAUAUGCACGACAGCACAGUUGAUUUGCUUGUGUGCAUGUAUGAUCCUCGACCAUAGCAUUAUUGUAAGGAUUCGAUUUUCUAACAUAUUUGGUCAAGAUUAUUAGAGUAGCUAUUAAGUUAAGCAAAGUGGAUUAGCAGUAAUUGAUUGUUUAUAUAAACCUUUAUUGUAUCCACAACAUAUCGUAAUGUCAUUAUCAAACAGACUAACUCAGCGCAAAGUAGUAUCAGAUAAAUUAUUGCCACUCUAAAUACUAAUUAUUUAAACUAAGGCUAGUUAAGAUUCUGAUCGAAGAUUCCGCCGAUUCAACGCGGUUGCAUCCUCGAAGACCAUUGACUAAAUGGCCAUACAACUUGUCGGUGGCGAAAUCCGCGUCGAGACGCUGAAAGCAUGUAGGACUAAUCCAUCUUAUUUUAGUUAAUUUUUCCUGGCAAAUCCUCGACCCACGAAGGCUUGUCUCAAUGUUGUCUUUUAAUGAGGCUGUAAAGUGCAUUCUUGUAGAACAUAAUUUCUAAUUAUUAAACCAGAUUAAGCUUUCAUGAGACCAAGACCAGGUUUUUAGGGUUUGAGGGACUGGAGGGAUUAAGGUUAGGACACUAGGGUUUUCUUUUUUCCAAAAAAAAAAAAAAAAAAGAAGGUUACGUAUAUGCUUCAUUAAUUUAAAUUUUUAGGGUUAGGAUUAAUGUUGCACUAGAAGUGCAUGGGAUGGGGGUUUUCUUAAUUAAGUAAUAAUUACCUGUUUAAUUAAUUAGAGGGGUUAAUAUUUUCCUAUGGGCCAAUUAUAUAUAUAUAUGCCUUUUGUUUUUGAAUUUACGUAGCCCACCAUUGCAAGUUUGGAAGUGCACUUACUUAGAAGUUGGCUUCGGAUCACAUAAUGAGAGAUGUUGCCUUUUGGUAGGAGGUUUGCUUCCUCUACCGAGGCAUGAACUUUAAUUAAUUAAUUUCUAAUUAAUUUCUCUGGGGAUUUGACCAGAAGCUAAUGAUAAUAUAUAUAGCCAUGUACAAGAGACAUGUUACCUGCAGGUUUAUUGCUGGCUUUGUUUUUUUUAAUGGUCUAGCUACGUUUAUCUUUGAAACCGAGUUAUAUAAAUAUGGAUCACUGAAUCAGCAAAACUUACGAAAAUUCGUAUAUUUUGUACGUAAAGGAAGUUGCGCUUUCAUCGGCGAAACAGAUGAUAAUUGAGAUAGCAAAGUUCUAUGUAAAUCUCACCCCAACCUUGAAGCUGUAUAAGAAGUUCAUUCGAAUUAAAAUAUUGUACGAUUAAUUAUAACUAAAUGUACAAGUGUUGAAAUGUUCGUGGAUGCAGUGAAACUUACACAACAUUCCUAAUUAAUUAAGAUUGGUUAGGCAGGAUCCUUUAAUUUCCUUUUGAAGCUCUCUCAUAGAAUACUUAUGCCUCAAAGAGAGUGCAAAAGGAUACAAUACUUUGGCCUCAAAGAGAACGCAAAACAUAUUUAGCAAAACAAAUUUAGUAUUGUAUUAAUUGUUGCUUCAAAAGACGAGCUUUUGUGUUCAUAAAAUAACAUUUGUUUUGUAAAAAAGAAAGGCGUUUUUUAUAAUUGAUUUGUCACCACUAUACUCCACGUAGCUACUUGCAACACUAUCAGAAUAGCUAAAUUACACGCUUGCACGAAAGAAAUGAAUCAACUCAUGCAUGAAACAAACCAAUUAGCUCGUCUGAUGCAGGGUAAGUUCAAUGAAUAGUUUGCACGUUAAUUUCCCCUAGAUUUGCUGCGCAUCUCAAGUCACCUAGAUUUGUACACAUCUCGAUCGAGUCACCAAGUUCUGUUGCACAUCUCAAGUCACCUUUUUUUUUUUUUUUAACCUUCGUUCAAGGGGCGGCUAACCGGAUUCACCAAAUCCAAGUUACAUGAACCAACCAAACAAUUUGGUUUAGUUAAGUGAAACCUAAAAAAAAUUUACUUAAGAAUUCGAAGCUGAAUUAUAAAACUUCGAGCACGAAGCGCAGUGCAUGUUCUGCAGUGAUUAGGAGGAGGAAAGAGCAGUUAAUUAGAGUUUGUAUAUUGUUAAUUAGACAUGAAAUCUUAGAGAUAGAUCGAUAUUGCCUCGAAGGAUGCCCUCGCGUAGCUAGAAAGGCAAUCAACGGCACACGGAGAAUCAUCGACAAGGGCCCUAGCUAAUUUGCGAGAAUUCAGGCUAUUGACUUGAAAAUAUUUUAGCCGCUUUGAUCAAAUCAAAGAAGUUAGUGAGAAAGCUAAAGGAAAAUUAACAAAGAGAAGAAUAAUUAAGUACCAUUAAGAGUUCUAAACUUAAUAUGAGGGGACCUUUGUCAACUAUGUAAGGAACAUGCGUGUACUGUGUCUAAUGAGGAGUUCACACUUGCAAAUCAAAGUCAAGUACCUACGUGAAAGGGGAUUAAAACUUUUAUAUAUAUAUAUAUAUAUAUAUAUAGACACACACACAUGGUACCAUUUUUAAUAUUAUGAGCUGAGACCACCACUCUUAAUAUGGUAUUUGCCAAUUGUAUUCAGUUUUCUACAACUCCACAAAAAUAGUAAUUAAACUCAAUACAUCAAGUCAUGGUAGCGGUCCACGAGCUCAAUAUUGCACAACGCACGCUGGAUGCUGGUAUUAUAAUUUUGAACUCUUCUUUUAUCAUGUUUUUUUUUUCUUUUCCUCCGUAUCCUAAUCAAUUAACUAUUGUUGUUGUUAAUCCCCCGCGAUUUAAACGUGUAUUCUCCUCCCUAAAAUAUAUGAUUGGUUAAUAAUUAGCUAGGAACAUAUAUAUUAUGGUUAAUUUAUUUUAUAAACAUUGAUGUUGGGAUUCGAUGAGAGGUAUCUCUAAGAACUAAAUCCUCUUUAAUUAGUAGAGAAAUUAAGAGAGAGUGUAGAUGUGUAGGUGUAGGACAUGCAAACUAUGCAGCACACAGCAACUUACCAACCGACAAAGCUAGACAACACGUAAUAUAUAUAUAUAUAUAUAUAUAUAUAGAGUAGGGCUANGUAUCUCUAAGAACUAAAUCCUCUUUAAUUAGUAGAGAAAUUAAGAGAGAGUGUAGAUGUGUAGGUGUAGGACAUGCAAACUAUGCAGCACACAGCAACUUGCCAACCGACAAAGCUACACAACACGUAAUAUAUAUAUAUAUAUAUAUAUAUAUAUAUGAACAUAGCUAGGCUAUCCUACCCCACAAUAGGAUCAUGGAAGGUUCCAAAACAAAUGUACUGCCCAGAACUCUUUGCCCUAUAGCUGUUCGUCCUUGGUACGUACGUGGCCACCCCAUAAUUACCUUUUUUUCUUUUUUAAUUUCCCAUGAUAUGCAUACACUAGGUAAUAUUGCAUUUGUAUAACAGCUUAAUUCAUUCUAAAUGCAAGUGAUAUUAAUUAGGAAAAUUUUCGUACGUCCUCUUUUCGGAGAUUAAAAUUUCAUCAACACUCCUCUAAAAAUUAAAAUAUAAUAAUUUUUAAAAAAAAAUUUAGAAAUAAUCAUAAAUAUAACAUAACUUUUCGUUAAAAAGUAUCGUUAUAUAUAUUAAAUACCAGUUUUACCUCGGUACAACAUAUUAAAUGUGACUUUUUUAAUAGUAUAGAACCCCUCUAUUGUGGGCUAUUUAAAAUGCCACCAUCAACUUAUUUUUUAUUUUUUUAUUGAGACUUAGACUUCUAAUUUUUUCGGAAGGUGAAAAUGUAAAAACCUGAGCAACUAUAGGUCUUUUUGAAAUGGCCCCCUCAACUUUCACUCUUUUGGCCGAGAUCUUCUUAUUUUUAAUUUUUAAAAAUUAAGUGAUUUUAAUUAAAAAUUUAUUAAAUUUAUCAAAUUCAUUGGUGAUCUCACCAAAUUUAAUAACUUUGCUUACUUCUUAGUAACACUAAACCAAUUAGUAGUUAAUAACUAAUAAAUUUAAUAAUGAAUAAAUAUGAAAACUCAAAUUAAAAAAAAUAGAGGUUAAAGGGGUGUCAACCAAAAAAAAUUGAAGUUGAGGGUUCUAAUAUCAAAAUUGUCUAUAGUUGAGGGGUCUCCAUACAUUUUACCGUUUGAAAUUAAAUUAUUUUAGUUAUUUUAGCUGAAAUUUUGUGUUAAAUUUUAUAAAUUUUCCUUUUUUGGCACUAAAUCUCUAAAUUUUAAAAAACUAAAAGUUAAGGGGUUUUAAUAAAAAACUACAAAGUUAAGAGAAUUAUUUCAAAAUAGCAUAUAGUUGAGGGACCUUCAGUACAUUUCUCAAGUAGUACAUCAAACAAUUAGGAGUAAAUUCGUCAUUUCAUUACUUAACCUCUUAACUAAUGUUAUUUUAACGGUCAGUAGAGAUAUUUAUGAUGAUUUUCUAUAUUUUAAGGAAAUAUGUAUGAUAUUUUAACUUUUAUAAGAGUAUCUAUGAAAUUUAUAAAUUUGAGAGGAUGCUGAUGAAAUUGCCCACUAUUAACUAUAUUUACUUGUUCUUACUUACAAGCAAAAUAAUAAAAACCAUAUGAUCAUCAGAUUAGUGCAAUUAGAGAAUUAUAUGAUUUGAAUCCACGAUCAAUUUGAUGUACUAUCUUAUUUUCAUACCAGCAAAAAAAAAAAAAAAAAAAAAAAAAAAAAAGUCAGUAGAAAAAACUCCUUUCCUCCCAUAAUAUUUCCUCUAAUAAUUCCUAGAUUUGCAUAUGAUGGGAAUUUUCAAUUGUUUUAUUUAUUCUUAAUUUUAUUGUGAUAUUUCAUAUUUUAAUCUUGCCAUCUUGGUUUAAAUCUGGAUAUUUUCAAAAUAUAUUAGGGCUUACUUGGUCCUAUACUUUUGUUUUAGGUUAAAUAUUUUAGUAGGGCUUUGCAUAAAUUAUUUAAAAAAGUCUAAUCUGUUGUUGUGAUAGAAUUAGAAUUACAAUUGUGAGGUGGAAAAAUAAAAAUUAUCAUUUAGAACUUUUUAAUUCCGCUAUGAAGAAAAUGUAUCAAGAUUGAAUUAAUUUUAACAGCAUUNAAAAAAAAAAAAAAAAAAAAAAAAAAAGGGCCUGUGCCUCCUGAUCCACCACAUCAACUCGUCCUGCCAUGUACCAACCACUACACAGUAAUUAAGCUUCGUUCAUUGCAAAAUGCAAAAAUAAUUUUUUCUUUAAAUUAAGUAAUUAAUAUUAGAAUUAAGAGGCUCUAAGAAAAGCAUGGUAAAUGAUUACGUGGUACACCGAUGACAUGGUGUACAAGUUCCAGGGAAUAUUUUUGCUCACCUACGUACCCCUCCCCUCGCAUCUCCCUUAUAUCAUUUCAAACCGAGCAUCGAAGCGUCACGUUGCGCUCGCACCCCAAUGCGUUGCUUGAGCCUCAAGCGACCCCGAACCCCAACUGGUUCAAAUUAAAGUUCGAACCCUAUUAUUUUAUGUUUUGCACCUUCAUGCAUGAGGAACUGUACGGAUUAUUUGUUAUGACAAAUUAUUAGGAAUUAGAUGGAGCUCAUUUGCACCGUACAUGCAUAUGAACUUGUAAAGCUCGCAAUGUAAUUUUCGCAAUAUAAUUUUCACUAAGUUUUCGACUAAAACAUCACGAUAAUUAAGCACCCAAGCAUGCAAAUUCUACUAUGUAUAUGCGUGCUAUAUCAUAUUCGUUUUUAGUUAUCAUAUUAUUUCUUUCUUUAUUGCUAGUGCACAAGAGAAAACACGUUAGCAUAGAGAUUAUUAUAUUUGUUCUAUCUAUAGUAAUUAGACUAUUAUGUUUUGCGUUCUCAAUAGAACCUGCAUACAUUUAAAAAGAUAAAUUGGUAAAUGGAGGAAUACACAUAUUCUCCUUCCCUUGUUCUACGAUGUUAGCAGAGAAAUUAUUACAUUUGUUCUAUAUAUCGUAAUUAGCCUGUUAUGUUUUGUGUUCGUAAAUCGUAAUAGAUCCUUCGUAUACUUAAAAGGUAAAUUGGUAAAUGAAGGAAUACAAAUAUUCUCCUUCCCUUGUUUGAGGAGGCAUGCUUUGUGAAAUUAUAUUGUUAUACUAUAGUUGCUUAUACGUGUACGUGAUCAUUUUGAAUUUGAAUGAGAAUAUAAUUAUGGUUUUUUUUUUUUUUGAGAAAAAAAUAGCAUACUAUCUGUUUCAUUCAUUUAGAAUAUGAACUUAGCUAUAUGGGUGAGGCAAAAAGGCCUUUGAAGAGAUAAAAAGGAGGGCAAAAUCGAAGACGAAAAAAAGAAAAAUAAAAUAAAAUAAAAUAAAAUAAAAUUAGUGUCUUUCCACGGGAUGAAGUUUUUUCCACAGAGACGUCAGCUGUUUAACCUUAAAGCAACAACGGAUUGGAUCAGUCUGAUUUUUCCUUAAAAUCACGUCAUUUCUGGUCUCCCAAAUGAUCCACCAGCAGGCUAUUAGUCCAGAUAAACCAUCGCUAAUUAAGGUUUAUGUUAGAGACUCAUUCCUGUAUAUCAAAUUAGCGUUUAGACGAAUAGGGUUGAAAUCCUGAGACUAAAUAUUUCCUAGCAAAAUGAACAAAACCUGGUUUGCAAUUCCUCUGAAAUUUGCAAUGCCAAUACAUACUUACUAUUGUAGUAAACAUUCCAUAUUUAAUAUUUAUCUUUAUUUCUUCGAUCGGAAAUAUUUAAAAGGACAAGUAACUUUUCAGGAAAGGAAAAAGUUUCUGUGUCCAAAUUCCGAUCACCAAAUAAAAAUUAAUAUUUCUAGAGCUUGUUUCGUUGCUAUCAAAGCAAAAUAAAUAAAAUCCUGGUAAGAUCAAAUGUAUCUUUCUACACAAUAAAUAAAAGCAAAUCCGGCACCAUUGAUGCAUGCACUAACCAAAUAGGUGCCUUAAAUUGAUAACGCCCAUAAAUGAGACUUGGAAUUCGAUUCAGUUAACAUGGACUAAUGAUUUUUGACGAAAAUGCAAUGAGGUUUGCAGAAACAUUUUAAUCACCAUAAUCUAGGAGAAAGAUUUUCCUAACACUUUUUUUUUUUUUUUGAGAGAUAGGUAGCACGCUACCCGUUUCGUUUAUUUUAUUUAGAAAUAAAUUUAGCUGGAAAUGUGAAUCAACUAACAUUUGAACUUGGGUCUCGGAUACCAACCACCAAGACUUUUGUCACUUACUCUAGGGACGGUCGGUUCCUAACACAGUUAUUUCAUAUAAAAUUUACAACAUCAGAUUAAAUAUCUAAAUAUUACUAAAAAAAGUACAAAUAAGAUAAAAAAAAUUAAGCCAUCAUUUGAGUGUUCAAUUACCAUUUUAAUCUUGUUGGAUUACUCUCUAUCUAAUUUCUCGUUUGGCACAAUAUUAUAAUUGGUUUCAAAAUCAAUCCCAUAUAGUGAAACUGUUAAAAUAAAGAUCUUAUUAUAUAAUUUGGGAGUUCAUUUAGCCACCAAAUUAUAUAUAUAUAUAUAUAUAUAUAUAUGUAUAUAUAUAUAUAUAUAUAUACACAUAUAUAUAUAUAUAUAUCAUCAUAUAUAUAUAUAUAUAUUUUGGCUGGGGUACUUUACUUAUCAUGAGUAUACAGCCCUUUGUACUCAUAAGUUUUCAGCCGUUCAGCAUGAAAAUAUGUACGGUUAUGAUAAAAAGUGGUUUCAGCGUUAGGUUGAUAGUUGGCCCCCUAGGAUGAGAGGGUGGUUGGUUGAAUAGUAAAUCUAAAUGGGUUGAAAAUGAUGAAGGGUAGAUCUAACGGCGCAAAAACUUAUGAGUACAAGAGGUCAUACUCAUAAAAGUAUAGUAGCCGGACUCAUAUAUAUAUAUUAAUACUAUAUAUAUAUAUUAUAUAUAUAUAUAUAAAAGAACUAGGCUAAUAUUCAUUAAUAGCCACCAAGUCAUUGGUGCUACCAAGUUUUUGGCCAUUGAAUUUAAAAUGUGCGGUAGAGAUGAUGUGGGCCCCUAGGUUGAGUGGCGUGGUUGGUUGUAGUAAACGCUCGUUUACUACCGAUUGUUUCAAUGAUAGAGCUUCCAAAUUGAUGAUCGGCACCGUUAACAUGAUUUAAACUAUUAAUACUAUCGGGAAAAUCAAAUUUCACACUAUUUCGAUAUUGUUUCUUGUCCAUCAAAGUGAACAGAAAAUGAAUGGCUGGAAUGAUAUCUUCAAAAAGUAAUAAUACAAUUUUUAUAUUUGAGAUUCUAGAGUUUAGAUCUUAUUUUAAAUAAUUUUAAAAAAAAAUUUAACAAAAUUUAGUUGAUUUGAACUCUUCUAUACUGUUAAAUGAGCAAACACACACUAUUGGGCAUUUAAAUUAUAAAUUUUGUUGACCCUUUGAUCAUUCAGUUAGUGAUGCCAAAAAAUCAUAAAAUUUGGAUUUCUAGAUAAUUUAAAUGGUCAAGAUCAUGUUCAACGGUGCCGAUCGUCGAUUUGGAAGCUCUAUCAUAAAAAACAAAUCGGGUAGUAAAAACCGAGCAGUUUACUACGUAUUAGCCCAAUCAAACUCUCUCUCUCUCUCUCUCUCUCUUAUAUAUAAUAUAUUAUAAUAUAUAUAUAUAUAUAUAUAUAUUAUAUAUAUUAUAUAUAUAAUGCUGGAAUACCAUCAAUAGCACCAAGCCUAUUUGGUGUUAUGAUUUUUUAGACCUUAGAUUGAGAAAUGUUAGCUUGGGUGCUAUUGAUUUUUAGACCUUAGAUGAGAAAAUGGCGUGUGUUAGAAUGAUGUGGCUUUCUAGGUUGAGUGAGUGUUUGUUUCGAAUAGUAUAAUAUAACGGAUAAAAAUAAUCAGAGGUUAAAUCUAACGUGUGAAAUUUGAUAGCACCAAAUCUUUGGUGCUAUCGAUAGUACCUCCGACUUAUAUAUAGGUAAUAUAUAUAUUUGCAAACGGCUCACUACGGCUAUUAAAAUUAUUGAUUUUGAGCCCUCGAUCAUUAGGCAAAUGAUGUCGAAAAUUAUAAAAAAAUUUUCUACAAAUACUUAGAUAAGUUUAACGGAGAACUGUACGACGAUUCGAAAGUUCACAACAUCAAAAAAUAUCAAAAAUAUUGAAGAUUCCGUGCUUCCAAAACAUAAUAGUAACACUAUAUAUAUAGUUUAAUAACUACUAUAUAUAUAUAAUAUAUAUAUAUAUUAUUAAUAUAUAUAUAUCUCUUUCCAUUAUUAGAGAUUGAUAAUCUUUGUUUACCCGAUCCUAUUUUAUGUACGUUGCUUUAAAAUAAAAUAUUGUUGAAUUUGAAAUGUUUAUUUCUACCGUUAGUAUAUUCUACUUAAUCUUUGGUUGCAUAUAUAUUAUAUGCAACAAAGAUUAAGUAGAUAUACUAACGGAUAAAAUAAACAUUUCAAUUUCAAUAUAUUUAUUUUAAACAACAUACAUCAAUUAGAUUAAUAUAUUAUAUAUAUAUAUAUAUAUAUGAUAUUAUGCAACCAAAGAUUAAAUAGAAUAUACUAACAAGUAGAAAUAAAUAUUUUUCAAAUUUCAACAAUAUUUAUUUUAAAGCAUGUACUCAAAAUAGGAUCGUGCAAACAGAGAAUUAUCGAAUCUCUAAUAAGUGGAAAGACAGAAUUAAGAUGAAUCACAAGGUAUGAUACAUGUGUGUCAUUUUAAUACCAAAGAAAAUUUUUCUAUUUAUUUGUAUUUAUUUAAACAUGAAGGAAAACAUAUAUAGAAUAUAAUUAAAUACAUGUUACGUAAUAUAUUAAAAAACAAAAGUAACAUGCAAUUAAUGUUGGUAGAUGAAAAGUAAUAGUAAUAAUAAUAAAAAAUAAAAGGUUGACGAAAAGAUGUGUACGUAGCUUAGUGUAAAGUCGCGGAGGUAAACGCACCAUGUCGGUGCACAGACAACGACCGGAAAAUUCGACGAGAACUAGACUCACCAGUCACCACCUCGGCCUCACCGUAACAAAUAUGAGUCAAUCAUCGUGAUUUUAAUAAUUAAUUAAUAAUACCCACGUAACUUGGUAUAAACUACCCAAUUCUCGUAACACAUAUAUAUGUUUGAGUCCUCCUUGCACCUUUUCCUUAAUAAUAAUAAUAAUAAUAAUAAUAAUAAUAAUAAACGUAUAUAAUUAAUAUAAUAAAAUUCGAUGUAAAUAAGAAAAUAUUUUAUUUAAUGCAACGAUUAAUAAUGAGGAGAAUUAAAAUUAGUGGCGACUCGGCCCCGUUUCUCUCUCCCUUUUCCUCUUUAUAUCAUUCCAUGUAUAUAUGUAUAUGUCUCCUAAUUCCCUCCUAUAAAUACCCCCGCAACGCCCUUACAAACAUCCUCACACAGCGCAUCCCUCGCCGCCUUGUGCUCUUCCUCAAGAAAAAGCCCUUCUCCUUCUCUUUUAUCGAUCUCCUUCUCCAUUUAGAUAGGUAGGUAAAGAGAGAUCCAGGGAGAGAGUUUGCGAAGGCUCUGUUAUAGUGGUAGCGGUACUAGCUACUAGCUACUAGCUACUAGUUCAAGCAUGGCCGUGAUGAGCUCGUGCACGGAUUCCAGCUGGUUGGUCUACGCGCUCCCGGCUUUUCUCGGCGCCGACACGCUGCUCUGCGACCGCGGGCUCGUCGUCGUGCUCGCGGUGGCCGCCGCGGCACUGUCCGCGGCGCUGCUCGCGUGGGCGCUGUCCCCGGGCGGGCCCGCGUGGGCGAACAACCGGAGCCGCAAGGGCGCCGUCCCAAUCCCGGGCCCGCGCGGGCUCCCCGUGUUCGGCAGCAUCUUCGCGCUCUCGCGCGGGCUCCCCCACCGCGCCCUCGGCGCCAUGGCCCGCGCCUCCUCCACACAGCUCAUGGCCUUCUCCGUCGGUGCCACCCCGGCCGUGGUCUCGUCGGAGCCCGGCGUCGCCCGCGAGAUCCUCACCCACCCGUCGUUCGCCGACCGCCCCCUGAAGCGCUCGGCCCGCGAGCUCAUGUUCGCCCGCGCCAUCGGCUUCACCCACCUCUUCGCCCCGCGCCGCGUCGCCGCCCACGAGCCGGGCCGCCAGUCGGACUGCGCCGCCAUGCUGGCCGCCGUGUCGGCCGAGCAGUCCCGGUCGGGGUCUGUCGUCCUCCGCCCCCACCUCCAGGGCGCCGCGCUCAACAACAUCAUGGGCAGCGUCUUCGGCAAGCGCUACGACCUCUCCCGCCGCGACCCCGAGGCCGAGCGCCUCAGUAGCAUGGUGCGCGAGGGCUUCGAGCUCCUCGGCGCCUUCAACUGGUCCGACCACCUCCCUUGGCUCGCCCACCUCUACGAUCCCGCCCGCGUCAACCAGCGCUGCGCCGCCCUCGUCCCGCGCGUCCGCCACCUCGUCCGCGCCAUCAUCGCCGACCACAACUCCUCCGCCUCGCCCCCGCAGCUCGGCGACACUGCCGACUUCGUCGACGUGCUCCUCUCCCUCCAGGGCGACGAGAAGCUCGAAGAGGACGACAUGAUCGCGGUUCUCUGGGUACGUGCCAUAUCGCAUGGGCAUGCGAGUGCUCGCUCCAUCUUUUAUCCUCGUUCCGCCUCCCUCAUUUGGCUGCGGUGAUAUUAGACGACAAAACUACGCGUAAUAAUAUAUACAUAUUUUAUAUUAAAGUGUAGUUAACUUAGUACGCCUUUGUUGGGAAUGGUCUUUUCGAACCCAAAAUGAAUAACGAACGUGAAAAACAUUAUAAAAAUAUACAAUUAAUGUAUGACGUCCCGUUGACGUUCUUUAUUAUUAUUUUUUUUUAUGCGGGUUUUGUAAGAAUUAAAUAAUAUAUAUUCAUUAUUUGUUUUGGCAUAAGUUUAAAUAACAAGUGACAUGGCAGGAAAUGAUCUUCCGCGGGACGGACACGACGGCGCUGCUGACGGAGUGGGCCAUGGCGGAGCUGGUGCUCCACCCGGAGGUCCAAUCGAAGCUCCGCUGCGAGAUCGACGCCGUGGUGGGGCCCGGGCGCCACGUCACCGACGCCGACGUGGCGCGCAUGCCCUACCUGCAGGCCGUGGUGAAGGAGACCCUCCGGUCCCACCCCCCGGGCCCGCUCCUCUCCUGGGCCCGGCUCUCCACGGAGGACGUGCGCCUCGGGAACGGCAUGGUGGUCCCCGCGGGCACCACGGCCAUGGUGAACAUGUGGGCCAUCACCCACGACCCGGCGGUGUGGGCCCGCCCCGAUGAGUUCUCCCCUGAGCGGUUCGUGGAGUCCGAGGGCGGCGCCGACGUGGACGUGCGCGGCGGGGACCUGCGCCUCGCGCCUUUCGGGGCGGGCCGCCGCGUGUGCCCCGGCAAGAACCUCGGGAUCGUCACCGUGGGCCUCUGGGUCGCCAGUCUGGUCCACCACUUCGAGUGGGCCCCCGCCGACGCCGCCCCCGUCGACCUGUCCGAGGUGCUCAAGCUCUCCCUCGAGAUGAAGAACCCGCUCACCGCCGUCGCCGUCCCCCGGAACACCACCGUCGAGGGCUUCUGAAUCACUGGCAAUCAAAUCAAUGUCCGCCGCAACCGACCGCAAUAUUAAUAAACUAUUACUAGCUAGUGUCAGCGAUAAUAAAAGUACUAGGUGAUACAGUAAGUCGAGUUCCAGUUUUGGAAAUGUAGUGUUUGGAGCUCCUGUUCGUUUUGGCUUGGAUGUUUUAUUUGUUAUCGCGUCUUGUGUUUAAUUAAAUGUUUAGUCUGUAUUCUGUGUUUUAUUGUCUAUGUUCAUGUGAUAGUAAAAUGUCAUUAUGGACCUCUCUCAAAGUUUGCUAUCUAUUUUCGUUCUUCAUCCCUUUCUCUUCUUCUCUCGUCCCUCUCUCCUCUCGUCUAUUAUAACACUUAGCUAAUAUGGAACGUUUGUUCUUUUUCAUAGCUUUUAGAUGCAGCGCUUUUGGUGUUUUUUGAUCAAACCAAGAAAAGAUAACAGAGGGAGCCGUAAAAAGUAAGAGAGAGAGAGAGAGAGAGAGAGAGUUGGAUACAGGGUAGCCGCCUUACUACGAAAAGGGUGUGAGGUGAUGGUAUGGCAUGUAUGUACACCCUCAGAAAAUGACACGCUAGAGACCAAAGAGCUAGCUCCAACCACAACCGCCUAAAGUGGGCCUCGACCAUAAAUGCUACAGGAGCCUAUAGCAUACGAGCCUACAACGGUCGAGUCACAUCCUCGGGUCAAAGUUCUCGGGUGGGACCCAAUCAAUGCGAUAGUAACACCAGUGUAGUAGUAUUGCACAAAGCUCGGGACGGUACGCCCAGCAAAGAGAUCGCGAUCUUCAGGCACAGUACGGCUCAGAUUUGCUGAUCACCAUGCAACACCCUACGAACUCCACGUAGCACGUACUGCCCCAAAAGAAAACCCGAUCAUAAAAAAAACAGAAACCCCUGCAAAACCAAAGAGAAAUAAACCAAACCAGCCCCGAGUUUUAUUGCUAUACGGCCACGUUGCGACGCUCCACUUUGCUUCGGAGGGAAACAUAUGCUUUUAACGUGGCCAAUGGGGAAGCUCCACGGAGCGACGAGGAGGAGCAGGAGAUGUGUGCCGCAGCGAGGCUAAAUGGUGCGGUCCUAGUGUUUGUAGGGUUGGACACCACGUGAUUUGGGCCAUUACUAUUUGCUGUUGCUACUGCUGCUGCUGCUGCUGCUGCUGCUGCUGCUGCGUUCUGCAGAAGCGGCUUGUUGCAGUUGCGUCGCACUCAAACUCUAGAGCUUUUUUACAGUUCUUUCCUAGUUUGUAUUAGGUGCAGUGAAGAAGCAGUGAAAAGAUACACUUACAGUGGCUGCGGCCAACUGCUGAGCCUGCAUAUCUGGUAUUUAUUUCACCUAAUAAAUCAACGACCAUCCCGUGUAUAAGUCAUUUAUGAAAGAGAGAGAGCUUUACUUUUAAUUCAAUUCGAUGGUGACAUGAACCAAGUGAACGGGCCCUUGUAAGUGCAUCUGUAGGUACAAAAACUUUUGCUUGUUCUACGUAGAUUAUUGAUGUACAUAUUGGUAUGUUCAUUUGAUGGUGUGCGUAAUUAAACUAAUUAAAGAACUCAUAUCAUUAUGUUAACAUAUUUAAAAAAAAAAAAAAAACUCAGAGAACUAUUCUUCCAUUCUUAAUUUUUCAGGUGAAUGGUGAAUGAUGAUACAAUAUUAAACCUUUGAGACUCGAUAGUAUUGCCAAACCAUGUAGGACUGAUUGAACCCAAGGUUGUAGGAACUUUGUACAGCGUGGCGUACGAAAGAUCUACCACAGACUAGAUCUCUCUAGUUGCCAUGAAGGCGUCCUUCGCAUGCACCUGCGUAUGUGGGACAUCAAUAUUGAAGGUGCUAGGUCGUUCCUGCAAGCAUUAUAUCAGCCAGCUCAUUUUAUGAUGGUAAAAAUGUGUGGGAAGAACCCAACGGUAAACGCUAUUUGAUUAAGAUGAAGAACCACAAGAAUAGAUAUAUGGAGAGAAAUAGCAAAAAUCUUUGGAAAGUAAACGAACCAAAAUAAAUAAAAUAAAAUGUUUCUAAAUGAUAAAAAAAAAGAAGCUAAAACUAAUGAUUCAGACUUCAAAAUGAUUAUGUUUGGGACCGGAAACUUUGUCGAAUUACCCCCACAAUUUACCUAAAGGUCAUUUGUCUUGAAAAGUUGUUUUCGAAUUUGGGAUGCACGUCCAAAGUGAACAUCCGAGCGCAAAAUUAUAUGUGAUUGCUUACUGAGCCCAAAUUAACUCGAAAUCACAUCAAACAUACCUUGCUUGACUUGAUUUCGACUACGUUUAGCCCAUCAUGGCAUCACUGAAACUAUAAAGCGCUUUCAAGUUACUUAUUACAAAACCAUUCUGAGGUUCGGUAAUAAUACCAAAUUUUCUAAGGUUCAAAUAACCAGUUAAGGUGUGUAAGAGAAAGCAGAACCUACAGUGAUCCUCAACUAGUUGAUCUUCUUAUCUGUUUCUCCGUCUUAGUGAAGAAUAUAUCUGAAACAUUGGCCACUCGCAAAGUACAUGUGAUGAGAGUCCCAUGUGGAACAACAGUCAGAAGAGUGAGGAUAUUGGCAUACUACAAAGCCUAAGUUUAGAGGUUUAUUCAUUUUGGUAGAGCUGAUACCAAAAGAUUUGUCUUAGCACUCUCAAAUCAGUGGGCUUAGGUUUUUACUAAUCUUUUUCACGGGAGUUCUCAUACUUGAUGAUUUGACAAUUUUGAACUGCUUUAUAUGUUAAGAAUUAUAGUCCGUGCAUGGUUCUUGUGAACUUGUUGGAUCGUUGGCGUUAAUCAUUAAUUCUAAAAACUCGAGCCGUAAGAAAUACGAAAUCAAUUCACUAAAAGCGUAUAGAGACAACGUCCACGAGUCUCGAUUGUGACUUAACCCUCUUAGCCUUACGCCACUUCGAAUAUGACUCGGCCCAAUCCGAUCUCACGCUAUUUCGAAUGUGACUCGGCUCACUUGGCCUUCCGUCACAGGGUAGGAUGCUGGUCCAUUUAAGCGAAUAAUUUUUUCUCCAGUAUCUGCACACAUUUACAGCAUGCGGGAAUCGAACCCAUAACCUUUAUUUCUGGUACCACUUGUCGGAUCAUUGACACUAACCAUUAAUCCCAAAAGCUUGAGCAAUUACAAAUACACAACCAUGCGUCAAUUCAUUUAAAGCGUACAGAUAUAGCGCCAAUGGAUCUCGAUUGUGACUCGGCCUUCUUAGCCUUACGCCAUUUCGAACAUGACUCUGCCUAACCCAGCCUCACGCCAUUUCGAAUGUAAUUCGACCUACUUGACCUUCCGCCACAGCGUAGAAUGCUGACCCAUUUAAACCAAUACAUAACGAUUUUGAAGAGAGAGACAAGGUAUUGCAACAAAAUAUGUCGUACAAUUGAAAAUGAUGGGCCGUGAAAUGAGAUGCGAUUUAGGCACAUAGGUAGGUGGAUUAGCUAUAACUUACAAAUAAUUCGACAAAGCAUUUUGUUGAAAUAAGCCAAGAACGAAUCGAUGUAUUGCUUGGGGCAUGAACUUUUGGGUUGUAUAACCGAUCGUCCCUAGAGCAAGUGGCAAAGGGUUUGGUGGUUGGUACUCGAGACCCAAGUUCAAAUCCUAGUUGAUUUACAUUUCUAGUUAAGUUUAUUUUUAAAUAAAAUAAACGAANCUUUUGGGUUUUGUGUGUGUGUGUUCCUUAAUUAGUAGGUAUAUCAUCAGUUUAUGUGAACAGUGUGUGUGCGUGUAUAUACAGGCCUAUAUAUAUAUACAGGCCUUAAUUAGUAGGUAUAUCAUCAGUUUAUGUGAACAGUGUGUGUGUGUGUAUAUACAGGCCUUAAUUAGUAGGUAUAUCAUCAGUUUAUGUGAACAUGUGUGUGUGUGUGUGUGUGUAUAUACAGGCCUUAAUUAGUAGGUAUAUCAUCAGUUUAUGUGAACAGUGUGUGUGUGUAUAUAUAUAUAUAUACAGGCCUUAAUUAGUAGGUAUAUCAUCAGUUUAUGUGAACAGUUAAUAUGGCCUUUACUUGAUCUUCCUAACACGUUAUAAUCGUCCCUACUGUGACGAGCUGCUGCCCAGUGAUAGGGAACAACAACUUUUUGCUAUAAAUUAAGAGAUGAUAAUGGAUCUUGAUGACAUCUAAAGCAUUAUGGUCCAUACAUGUCCACGUACUGCUUUACUCAAACAAUUCGCUUGCUUUGUGAAUCGUCAAAGUAAACCACAACGGCCGUAGAAACUUAUGAUAACUCAAAAUGAGUCUGCAGGAUCUGGUUUAAAAAGUGAGGCAUAAAUGUAAUGAAAAAGUAAUUAGCUCUAGCUACUUCCGAGUAAUUCGCAAGAACCGAGGAUUUAAACACAUUAAUGAAGCAAUUUUAUCAAGAACACUUCACAUGGUAGGCCUUAAAUUCCCUCUCAGUGUUACCUCACAUGAUCACAACUAAGUUGAUCAAUUCGUCUCCAACAAAAUCGUUCGAACCCAUGAGAACCCCAAUGCUCUCCAUGUGCGCAGUUCUACUAAACGAAACAAUCACACCCCACCACUCCAUGCAUCCAUAACAAGUAUAUAGUGACAACCAAACAACCUCUCUCUCUCUCUCUCUCUCUCUCUCUCUCUCUCUCUCUCUCUCCAUUAACGUGUCUCACAUGUGGGGUGUAUAUAUGAGACAAGGUGUUGCCCUAGGUUUGCCUCUCAGGAACCACCACGUUGUGCAACUGGGGUUAGUAUAUAAAAGGGAAGUAAUAGUCCAUUAAUAGAGGCAACAUAAACGUGCACUAGUUGCCCUACUUGGUCUACUUCGAAAUAUGGCAAAGCAUGGGCUCCAUGUUCACUAGUCACUACAAAUAUAUUUAUCUUUGACCCUCUCACACUAAGAACAAAAAAACGAAAAAAUAUGAAAAACCAAAAAUAGAAGGUAGCUAGAUCUACUACACUACAAUAUAAUUUUACUUACGUAUGAAAUCCAUGCCAAAAUUUAAAAUAACAUGGAAACAAGAUGUAGCGUUAAUUUCCAUAUACCGAAUAUAGAUAGCAAAGUCAAAUCAUGAAUCUCAUAAGCCAAUAUAAAAGGACUAGGACUAUUUUGAUAAAACAACAAAAAGAAUCCACUAUACAUCAUCUAUCUAUCUAUAAGAAGAUGACAAAAACAAAAAAACAUCUUUUCCUGUGAACAACUUUAGAGAAGUAAUAUACUUUGACCAAAUUACGGCAUCAGUAUGAGGCUAUACCUUGACCUAACCUAAACCUAUGUAGAAAUUAGACUAAGACGGGGCAAGAACUUUGGGGUACAAAAGUUGGAUCCGGUUACUGUACCGGAUCAACAUUGGAUUCCUUAUACUAUUGACUGUACCUAACUAAUUAAACUAGCUAGGAAUAGUAUGAACCUGUGAAUUGGACUUAGCUUGAUAGAUGCAAAUUGGGACCCGACUUUGAUUGGUGUGAUGGAUUUGAUCGAUUCUCCGUACUUAAAAAAAAUUUAGAAUAUAUCAAUUAUAUUUAUUAUUAAUUGAGUGUUCAUAACAAAUAAAAUUAUUUUUUAAAACUCACUUGUCUUAUUAUGAUUACAUUAGAAAAAAAAUUUAUUAUAUUUUUCUCUCGAGAUAUAAUUUGUUGGUUAUUAACGAUGCUACAUACCAGACAUCUUCGAGAAACGAUAUCAAUGCAGCAAAAAAUAAAUAUUACACCCUCCACAUCCAUGAGUUAAAAAAACUCUUUGAAACUUUUAAUUUUUUUAAAAAUAUUCUGAUAAGAUUAGUGCUUUAAAAUUGAUUUUAAUUAGAUGGUAUAAAUUUUGCACCCACUUUUAGAUAUACAGAAUGUUAUAGUGCUUUCUGAAAAAAAAAAAAAAAAAAAAGGUGAAAAUGUACUAUAGCUCUCUCAACAUAAAGCCAUUUUGAAUCGUCCCUCAAUUUCAUUUUAUAUGAUAAAUUAACACCCUCUUAACUUCUUUUUUUUUUUAACUUAGUUAAUUCUAUUUUGUUACAUUAAAACGUUUGUUAAACUAAUAACAUUUAACCAUUGAUACUAGACAUUGAUACUUCUAGUUUCCUUCUCCCCCUCCCCCCUCUUAUAAUUUGCUCUCAUCGCGAUACGCGAAACGCAAUAUUACUUACAAAAACAAACAGAAUAUUUUUUCAACAUACUUUCUCACCGCACGUAACGUAAUUUUUCCGCAAUCCCAAACCAAAUCUAAAUGCUAUUUGUAAAUCUCAUAUCUUAUACUCAACCUAUCUAAUAAGUGAGAAUAUUUUAUUUGUCAUAUGAUGUGACUAGUGAAGCUCCUUUUUUUCCAUUGGGUGUAAGGUAUAAGUCAUAUACUCGGAAUGAGGUCUAUAGCAAGUAUAGCUCCUCUUAUCGAUGAGCAAUACUAUACAUACAUCCCAAUAUAGGGCCUAAACUUUAUACUUUUAUACAGCAUCUUUAUAAAUUAUAUAUCUUGACUAAAAAUUCUCUUUGUACAUCCUAAUAGGGGAGUGUAGAUCUUACACAUUUUAUUGUGAAAUUCAAAAAAAUAUAAAUAAUUUUUAGUAAAAAAAAUAAUGUGAUAAGUAAGGCAUAAUGAUUCUUGGAUGAAGAUAGUAAAAAAUAUAUACUUUAUUUUAGAGUGUACUAGUAACAUUGCUGUUUGUCCAGGUCAUUUUUUUAUUUUUACUCAUUUUUUUUUUUUAUUUUUACUAAGUCUCAAAAAUAUUUUUCAUUUUUUGGAUUACACCCUUUAUAGGUGAGUGCAUGUUUGAUAUUUAUUAAAGAACAAUGCUAAUUAUACACUUUUUGCGGGAGUUAUAGAUUUUUUUUCAGUCCAUAUUAAUUCACUUAUCUUGCCUUUUUUUUUUAAAUUAAACUAAUACUUCAAGGAGGUAUAUCUAGAUCAAUGCUUAAAAUUUGCACUCUAGCCUUUUGGUGGUCCUUGUUGCCUCACUUGUCUUAGUAUUUUUUUAACUAAAGUUUUAAAAUAAUUUACUAAUUUUUGAACGGAAAGUAUAAGAUAUACAUUUUUAUAAAAAAUGUAUAAGUAAAAUAUUUUGUGUAUUAAUUCUUAGAUUAAAGAUGUAAAAUGUACCUUUUUGAGUGAAAGUUGUUAAAUUUUAUUUUGAUUUUUUGGUGAUUUAAAACUUAUUAAGUUUUUUGAACAGUCCCAUACUUGAUGGGUUUUGGGAUCUUGGAGCCCAUAUUAAGAUUUUCAUAUGUGAGAAUUAAUUCCACAUUGGAAACAAAAAGUAUGUUGUUAUUAUUUAUAUACUCUUUCAUUCUCAAAUUAAUUGUUUGGAAGAAAAUAAGAGUUGUUACGACAAACGCACAAACGGAAACGAAAUGACGAACACAAAAACAAUCAAACUACAAGCAGAAAAUAAAUAGACACAGAUUUACGUGAAAAAUCCUUUACAGGGAAAAACUAAGGGCGAGGGAGGAGAGAACUUCACUAUGGAACGAAAAAGGAAAUACAAUGUUCUUCCAGUUACAACCGACUACGAUCACACGCCUCUAGGGCAAAAACGAAAAAAGAAAAACUCAUAACGGGUUUCGGAUCCGAUCCGUACCGCAGGGGGCGGAGUCCCCCGCACCCCCUGGCGAAUGUCAGUGGUGGGCUACGAGCUCGGGCCUGUCGGCCCGAGCCCUCUGCUACCCACCACAGACAUUCAUUUUUCCUCCAUAAUUUUCUUUUUCAAAUUGGUCACACCGCGAAGCUAUUGGCGAGUCGUAAAUCCGAACUUGAAUCGAUAGUAGAUUUCGAGUUACAUCUAACAAGAGUUAUGUUCUCGACUAAAUAUACACACGCACGGCACAAACCGAGAUGACGGUGGUGCGUGCGGUCCAAACACCCGGCUUAUUUUAUUUUAUUUUUAUUUAUUAUUUUAUCUUUAUGUGUUUGGGAGUCAUAAUCUGUAUCAUAAUUCGUAUCCCGUAUAUUCGGACUCGUAGGCUUAUCUUGUACUAACGGAUUGACAUGUUGAAAUAAAAUUUUUAUCUUGGACAUAUAUUAGAGGAAGUUGCAUGAGUGCAACCUAAACUUGGGCUUAUCUGAGAGCAAAAAUUCUAAUCUUUAUCUCGUCAUCUUCCGUUUUUUCGCCAUCGAUAUUUUACGCUAAUUUUUACUGAGCUUUCUCAUAUUUCGCUCGAUUUAAAAUUUGUUGGGUUCAACUUACGCCAUUUUGAAAACAUGCCAACGGAGUAGAAUGUGGAUAUUGUAUAGCUAAAAUAAUUGUCAAAAAGUCUCGCACGUCGAGAGAUAAUUUUACUUAUAAGAUAGUACCUCUGCACCUUUGCUAAAGGAUAAAGAAGAUUUUUCAGCAAAAGUUGUGUAGAUGAUAUUUUUGUUUGUAAUGAGACAGGAGUUUAGUAAAUGAAUCUCAGUAAAGUGACACUGACAUUUGAUGGUACCACCAAGUUCAGGGUCUGGUCUGUUGUCUCUGUUCUUGUUUUUCUUGUUUUUCUUAACUAUAAAAAUGGUGGUCGAAUAAAGCCGUACAUUUCCAAUCAGACGGCUAGUACAGUCCCAUUAAAUGAUCACAAAACAGGGGAUUGUGUUCUACAUGGUAGUUUCAACAGUAUUAAAAUAUUGAAGGUUUUCUCUGUAACCAAUAUUCUAAAUUACCGAAUACAUUGCAUUAAUCCGAUUGUGUUACCAGAGCGUAGAGAUCUAAUUAAUGGCAAUUGAGUUACUUCAGAGCAAAAUAGUGUCGAAAAAGAAAAUUUUGAUAAUAAGCGAUAGUAGGUGUAAUAUAAUAUAAGUCGAUGUUUAGAUAUGUAAUAGCUGUUUAAGGAGAAACACUUUUCAUGUAUGUUGCAGCUUAGUUUAAGAGAAAAUAUACAUUUUAGUAUGUGUAGUAGUUAGUUUAUGCGCGAAUCACUUCCUACGUAGUGAUUAAUUAGUACUCGACUAUUGGAUAACAAAUUAAUAAUGUUCCAGAUUGAACCCCUGCUUCGAAUGAACGUUCCUUUUAGUUCGAUCGACAGCAUAGAGUUUAUAUUGCGGAUUUGCGUUAUCGCCAAAUGCUUUACUAGUCAUUUAAGAAAUGUUAAUCACUUAUUUGAUGUACAAAAGGCGACGACUGGUUACGUGAAAAUGUGAGGAGUACGUGCGAAGGAUAUGUAAGUGAUACUUUCCAUUGUAAUUAAGUAAUUAACUACAUAAAAUCUCGUUUAUUAUAGCACCUUUCUAUGAAAUAACCGAGACGAGCUAGCACUUAUGUAAUAAUCAUACGAGAAAAGCUCCACCCAAUAAUUUUGGUAGGCCGGGUCUACAUAGAGCGGUCCACGCAAUAAUUUUUUGAUCUGAGCCCACGGGGGCUCGAAUGCGGGCCCCACGAAGCGGCGAGGUGCAGAGUCAAAGAACCGCUGACCGUUGACCGGGUCGUACAGUGAGGGCUACGAAUCUGAGUGACGGAGGCGCGGUUCGGCACACUUCCCGAAGCGGCGUACGACGUGGCGUGGAUGACAUCCCACUACAGCGGGCCCCACCUAAAAGCGUACUUGGGAGAGAGUUUUUUUUUCCAUGGACCGCCCCCUGUACGCCGCAGUUAAUAUGGUCUCAGAAAAAGUGAAAAAAAAAAAUUAUCAUCUAUUUUUAUUUUGCGCCUUGAUGAUAAAUUUGUAAAACUAUAAUUCCGAAAAAAAUUAUAUCGUCUCGAAAAUUCGCAUUUUCUGGAGAGCCCGGUCCAUGUGUCCAGUGAGUUUUCGAAAUAAAAGUAAAAAUAAAAAAUAAAAAAAAAGUAGAGCCCGAACUCGACACUUCUUGAACAAACGGUGGGCCCCAAAUGUUGGGGAGUUUGUCCACGUGGAGUCACAUGGAUGUGGGGCCCACAAAGAUUUUGCCAAAUCUCGCCAAUUCACGGAAAGCAGUUUUGGUGCAUUCCAAUACCCAUUAACUUUUGGGAGAAGUUACCUCCACACCCUUCUAAAAACAUCUUAUUUCAUAAAUACCUUUUUAGAAAUUAAAAUUUUCUCAAUUUUAAAAAAUUUUUAAAAAUAAUUUUGCCAUCAAGUGUCCAUCUACAUUAAUGUUAAUUAGUAUUUAUAAAGUACAUGUUAUGUGCUAUUAGGAGCACAGAGACCUCUGUGCUCGUAAGCCAUUUUCGAUGAUGAAAUUUUUGAAUCGACGAUCAACUCCAUUAGAUUUGAUUUACCAUAUUUAAAUUAUUUAGAAAAUAAAUUUUGUGAUUUUUCGAUAUUAUUUACCUAACGAUCAAAAGAGUUCAAAAUCACUGGCUAAAAAUAAAAAUCUCACAAAAAUAGUGAUAUAACUAAAAUUUUAGAUCAAAGAUAUUAAUCUUGCAGUAAAUAGUAUAAAAAAAUUUUCUAUCAAAAUUUCAUCUAAUUUAAAUACUUCUACACCGUUAAACUUACAAAUGAUAUAUAUCAAUUAUUAAAAAUUAUUAUUUUUAAACCCUUUAGAUAAGUAGGAUAAUGAUAUCGAAAAAUUACAAAUUUUUUUUCUUUUUUAAGAAAAUAUAGUAUUGGAGCGAAUCUUAAUUCUUAAGCCUCGCCGGUUUUAAAAGGCACACAUCCCUUAUUUUAUGAUAUAUAUUAUUGUUUACUGCUUUAUUGUUUUUUUCAGCAUUAAUUAAUUCGAUUCGCAACAUUAUGCUCCGAAAUUAAUCAUAUUAAUGUGAUUGGUGCAAUUUAUUUUUUGCUAAUCAAACUUGUGUUAGUACAGUUUAAAUUUCUUCAAAAAUAUUAUCUUUAUAUAUUAUUAAAGAGCCCAAAGAUAGAAUAUAAAAAGUUUUGAUUGAUAAAUAAAAUAAUUUUGAAGAGCAAUACUAUUAAUACAUACCAAAAUGUAUUUAUACGACACAUUUGAUCAAAUCGAUGUAACUAAUAAAGACUUUUUGCUAUUACAUUCGAAAAGAUUAUCUCUUGAAAAAAUUGAAGAUAUAGUACAAAAAGUUUUGAUUGUUUAGCAAAAUAAAUUUAAAGAGCAUCACUACUCAUACAUUCUAAAAUGCACUUGUAUUAUACAUCUCAUCUAUUCUAAAAUGAAAAUAUUUUUACUAACUAUAUCGAUGCGACUGACUAACGAAAAUAUAUUUAUCUUAAAAUGCAUAGGGAACGUGUAAAAUGUGCAUUCCAAAGGAUCUGCCUACUCAUAACGUUUGCUUAAUUUUUAAAUAUUUCAUUAAGCACCUAAUAGGUCAACAGCACCGGCCAAAACAGUUUGUGGGGAUCAAAAGAUUCUUAAUUUUUAGAAGAUGACAAGCAGCUAGGCAAUUAUAAGUUGAAUAUCACAGUUGUUAUUGUUGUUUUUUUUUUUUUUUCAGAAAUAGAUAGUGAUAUGUCUGCUUCAUUCAUUCGGAAAAUAAAUUAGACUUACAAAGUGGAAGCAGCCAGGAUCUCCGAAGAGGAAAAGCGUCAAAGAGUAGCAACAAAAAAGAAAAACAAAAAAAGUAAAAACGAGAAAGUAAACCGAUAAACUAAGGAAACUGAACAGGGUCACCGGAUUGCGACUCAGGAAUCCACCAAAAACUUAACACGCUCCAAAGACCGGGCGGGAUUGGGGGCGUGAUCGCGAAAGAUAAUGUCGUUUCUUUCCGUCCAAACCACCCACCAGAUGGCAGAAAUGAGAGCGAGGGAAGUAACUCUCUUGUUGUAGUCAGGCAAAGCAAUCAAUCUUGACCAGAAAUAUCACUGUUGUUGUUGUUGUUGUUGCUAUUAUUAUUAUCAUGAUUAUAGAUCGUAGUUGUCAUAAUCCUAUCUUAUUUUAAACUAAUUAACCUAGCUACCACUAAUCAGUGAGCAGGCCACAAACUCCAAAAUAUGCACACAUAGAAUUCGAACCUUCACCAUUUGAAAACGCCUCCAGAAUAAGAACCAUUUCAGUAAGCAACUGAUAAAGCCAUCACAUGGAAUGCCUGAAAAAUUACGCACACUAUAUUGUAGGAUUCUAGCAAUAUAAUUGUUUGAAAUAUUACAUGCCUUUUCUGUUAAAUAUAAAAAUGUUUAAACAUUAUUUUUUUAACAGCUUAACUUUUUAAAGUACAACGGUUAGUUCAUAUGGUAUCAGAGUAGAAGGCCUGAGUUCGAGUCAUAAUCACGCCAGGCUCCUAAUAUAUUAAUUUUUUUUCAUUUAAUUUAAGCACACGUCAUGGGCCGACUAAAAAGUUUCGAGUCCAGACGUGAGAGGGAGUGUUAAAUAUAAAAAUAUUUAAACACUAUUUUCUAACAGAGUACAACGAUUGUUUCACACUUUCUCUCUCUCUCAAAAAAAAAAAAAAAAAAAAAAAAAGAGCCCGCAACUAAUUACUGCUUGAUUAAUCUCUUUUUGUUUCUUUGUGAAUAGGUUCUUGGUUCAUUAAUUAUGUUGUUAAAAUAUAUAUGCCAUGCCUUAAAACUUUGUUGACAUACACACAAGCACUAUACUAUAUAUAUAUAUAAUGAGAGAGGAUAUAUUUGAUUAGACUCUCGCCAAAAUUACAGACAAAUCGAUUCCUCGAACACGAAAAAUGCUCACUCUAUUAAACUAAUUAUUUGCUGUAACCUGAACACUAGACAACAUAAAGCAUGCAUUACUUAACAGUUACACUACUUGUUCUUGUUGAGAUACUCUCUCUCUCUCUCUCUCUCUCUCUCCAUAUGUGAGAUGGAUGACCCUUUAACUCUUUACUUUGAUUCUUAACUCGAAAAUAACAUAUGCUACAGUCAUAUAAACUUUUAAGACUUGCGAGUUUGAAUGCUUGAACCUAUGUGUUACAAAACUUUAUAAAUCUUACAUAAGCAUCCAUCGUAAAGUAUUACCCGAGCUCGUAAAAAGUUUAUAAGCAUCGUAUUAUUCUGUAACCUUUUUGCUAUACUUUCAAUUUCUCUUUUAUUUUUAAUUAGAUUACAGGAAAUCACGCUCAAAAAUUAAGUUUUUAUGGUGCAUGCACGUUAAGAGAUAGCAUGUGAAUCAUAUUUGCUAGCUAAACCAAGGAGGCAAGUACUGAACAUAUCUAGAUACUUUAAUAACAAUCAAUAACUAUCAAUUAACUAGAUUCAAUAUUAAUCUCCUUUUCCAAGGAAAAAUUAGCGCUUUGACCUGAAACUAAUUUUUUUUUUGCUCUUUUAUUUUGUGUGUUCAGUUCCCAUUAAUUGGACCUUCCUAUCCUAGCCAUCCUGCUGACGUGGAGUUGGGACUCCAACUUUGGAUCCUGUCUCAGAUUCCAAGGCACAUGUUUACCAUUAAUUAAUGAAUAAAUACUUGUGCACGUUUGAUUCUAUUGUACACAGUUUUAUGUUUAACCUUUGUUUAGUUCCUUUAAUAGCAAAUGUAUGUGUGUGUACAAGGAGACAAUCAGACAAGGCAAAAAAGGCAAAAAAUGGGAGAGGGCUAGCUUUCAGGGAGAGUUUUUUUUUUUUUUUUCCCGAAAAAGAACAGUAGAAACUUAGCUGAAAAUAUGAAUCAACUAGGUUUUAAACUUGGGAUCUCGAAUAUCAAUUACUAAAUUCUUUGUAACUUGCAUUAGGGACGGUCAAUAGCUCAUAGGGAGAGUUUUUUUUUUUUUUUUUUUUUUUUUUUUUUUUUGAGAGAAAGAUAGAUAGCACGCUACCCGCUUUGUUUAUUUCAUUUAGAAAUAAACUUAGCUGAAAAUGUGAAUCAACUAGGAUUCGAAUUUGGGUCUCGGAUACCAACCACCAAAUUCUUUGCCACUUGCUCUAGAAACGGUCGGUCUUAUAGGAAGAGUUAAUAUUAUAAUAUGAGUACAUAGAAUAAAGAAGUGAGGGAUCAUCUUAGUUGUAUUGUUUUUGAAUGGAGCGGGCAUAUAUAGGGAGCAAACAAACAUGUGGAACAAGAUCUAUUGGACUAAAGCUUUAAAUGGGAUUGGGUGUAUGAUUGAUGUGUCACAUGUUUUUUGAGAGAUUUGAUGUGUCACAUGUUAAAAGUGGGUUUAGUUAAGGAAUCUCUUCAAUUAUUUAAAUAAGAGCUUAAUUAAAGACUUGAUAUAAGAUAUUGCUAACAGCAUAGCAAUCACAUGAGGCAGCAACACGAUGGCGACCGGAUAAUGGUAACUUGGUGAGUAAUAACAAAUGCGUUAUAUGGCUUUUAAAACAGUUUCGCUACUUCUAAAAGCAUGUUAUGUGGCUUCUAAAACAGUUUCGCUAUUUCAAAAAGCACUAGUGCAUGCCUGCAAAGCGAAAAGCCAAUCUUUUUCUGUAAUAAGCCACCAAAUUUUGCUUCUACAGUUUUAAAAAGAAGCUCAGCUUUUAAUGAAAACAGAGUUUCCAGAGAUAUAAACCCCAACAAGGAACAUUACUAACUAGGGAUAAUCCUGCUACUAGUAGUACAUUAUCCUAAAAGGUCGCCCAGUAUCUCAGCAGUUAAGGCUUCAUACAGAUCAAUUCUUCAGUUAAUUUCAUAAACUGAGCAGCUUAAACUGCUGCAACCAAAAACCAAAAUUUCUUUCUACAUAUAUUACGCAGAACAGGAAAAAGAAAAAAAGAAAAAAUAAGAGGACCUUCGUAAACUUCAAAAUACAUAUCACAUUAUUUCACAUCAAGAUUGAAAAAAAGAAAUUUUUGCCCGAGAUUAUCCUCGGCACAGUAAACAAGUACACCCAACAUUGGCUCCUUUAUUCUUCCUGUUUAUACUAGCGUAUCACCUUCAUUUUACACCUCAUAUGUACAGUGACAAAUUCCCUAAACACUACAAAAUUCACUAGUAUAAUCUCCAAGGGAUACCCCCUUUUCCACCACCUAUUAAACCCUCAUCAAUCCUCUCUUAUUCAAACCCCCAGCUUCUGAGUAUCAAUACAGCUUUAUUUUGUUGCAAACGAAAAGGACAUCACAAUCUGCCGCGUCCCCGCAGAUCCCUGUUAGAAAAAAAUUUUGCCUCUAUGCACUCCAAGAAACAAGACCACGACAAAUCAUCUUGCUCUAGAGUUGUUGGAGGCGAAUAAGCAAACACCAAAUAUGCACUCAUUGAUGCAAACAUUUGUUUUUUCACUCAUCGAGAUUGCGCUCCUUUAGGUUCUACCGUCACGACAGCUGAAACUGUGGCGUUACAAAAGAAACAUCUCUGGCUGUUCAAAAGGUGUCGGCUUAUGCAGCCAAAGCAAGAUGUGUGGUGGCACGGCUCGAAGAAAGCAUCUGAAUUAUUGUUGUAGCAGAUGCAGCAGCUAUCUUCUGUUUCAUCAUCACCACUUUGGGUUUCUAUUUCUCCUCUGCUAUUUAACUCCUCUGUUCUGCUUCUCAAGUAGCUGGAGAAUUCCUCAAGCCGGGCAAGCUUCGUAACGGAAGCAUCUCCUCUCAGGACAAUGCUCUGGAGCAUACAGACAACAGGAUUUAGGUAAGAAGAAAAGUUAGCAGAAGAAAGCCACGCCAUAGGAAUGAAAAUGCAACCGCAAAAGAUCUUGUUUGUUUUAAGGCGUGCAAAAUAUAAAUAACAAGCAAAGUAGGAGAUUGAUUCACUUGGCAGCAUUAACGAAAGGGUUAAAUCACAAAAUGAUCAUACUGUCUCCACGUCUCCACUUGUAAAAUGCUAGCAAUUGCAAAGAAGCAAUCCGUUCCCUAUGUUUCCAGGUUCCGACAUUGAUACAUUCCUCAAAUACUUAUUUAGUUUAAAAACAUUGUUCCUUGCGCUAACUUACGAGUAAUUCAUAAUAUUAUAGAACAAGUAAAUAAGUGAGUAACUAACUGCAAGAAGUUCAAUGGUAAUUGUGUGGUCUCUUUCACAUAAAAGGCUACUAGUCCACUCGCUAGCAACCUGGUUUAUCACAACCAAACAUUGUUUUCACUGAAAAUAGAAUGUCCCAUGCGGUUUUUAUCUUUUUCCUAAUUAUCAAAGCAACCAUCUAUGAAAUUCUCAUCCCAAUAUUAAUAUUAGCCAGAAAUAUGAAAAUAUAAAGGAUCAAGAAAGCUAACCCAAUUGUAGCUUAGCAGGUAUUGCAAUCCGUAGUGGACGGUAGGACAGUCCAUGCUAACAAACACAGAAAUCACAUCAUUCAGCUUUUCUCGCCCUGGAUCUGAACAAGCAUCCAUGAGAUUAACAAUGAUCCCAACCAGAGGUGCCAAAAUCAUAGUCCGAUUUGUUUUCUCUUGGUUCUGGCCAGGUCGCCUAAUUGACCUGCAGAAGUAGCUUAACAACAUCAAUACAAGAGGAAAAACAAACCGAUAGAAAGUAACAGCAAGACUGAAUUUAUUGCUGGAUUUUUUUUUUUUCCUUUACUUUCGCCUAUUUAUCAAGGAUAUGUUUAAAGUUUGGUUUUACUUAAAAAGCUUGGAAUUGAAAGGGAAAAUAAUUAAACAAUGAAAGAGCCCAAUUAGAUCUUUCUAAUCAAACUUACAUGUCAAAAAACUCUGAAUCAGCAGCUGAAAUUAUGUGGUUCAAAAUAAAAAUGAUCCAUUCAGUUAGCCUCCGAAGAUUCAUGUCAGGCCCAAAAAGAAAUGCCUGAGGAAUUUCACGCAUACAGAAUUCUAGUAUCCUUGCAAGGUUGCAUGAAAUGUCAAAUAUCGCACUGCAUUUUCUUUGCUGCAGGUCAACAAUCUGAUAAAAAAGAAUACAAUAUCAAGAUUAAGGAAGUCAUUUCACACACUAGUCGGCAGCAUGAUAUAUCAGCAGAUAUAUCUUGGGAACGAGAAAAUGCAAUAUCAAUUUACCUCAUAAUUGUCUUGCAUCUCUCGAAUGGACAUAGAGAAUUCCGUCAUAGUCCAGCUCAGCAUGUUGAAAAGUCGAUUGAGAAAGGAAGAAAAUAAUUCCUCAUCGUGAAUGCAUGCCUCUCGCAGCAACACCUUCGUGAUGCACACAAGAAACUUGUCACAAUAAGUUCAAUUGAUUCAAGGAAAACAGAAGCAAAUAUAUCUAUAUCUAACCUGGAAAAGUGCUGAUGAUGAAGAUUCUGCAUGUCUUGACACAGCAAAUCCAGAACCUUUGCAUAGUCGUAGAAGUAUAUUUGUAACAGGUAACCAGGAUCGGUUAUCAAAUGCUGCUAGUAAGGCUUUUGGCAUUCUCUGAACAGCUUCCUUGUUGUUCUCAAAGGCAACUAAAAAGUCCUUAUACUGUACUAAGACUGAUAUUGACUGGAGAAGAAGAUCUUUUAUGUCCGCACUUGAAAUUCGGUGAUCAUUGAAGUGCUUAGCAAUAAAGGUAACCUGAUAAGGAAAAGACAAGUGAAAAUCCUUGGAAAUGUACUCAGCUGGACAACUGGCAUCUAGGAAUGAUAAUUCUAGGUAGCUAGUACCAGAAUACUAUUUCUCUGAUCAAUAAUUCUCUGAUCCAUAGUAAUUUCCUUACUAAUUUAUUCUGAUAAAAGUAAUUCUAAAUAGGUAAGAUCAAUGGCUCUCUACUCUCUUUCUACUAUCUUGAUAUUGCGACUUAACCCCUGAAGUUUCCACUUAAACAAUCUAAUCUCUGAACUUCCUCAUGCUUUGCAAGUGAAUCCCUAACCUGCUAAAAAAGUCUGCCAAAAACUGAUCUUUUCAUACCUGUUUUCAAGUAGCCUGAAAAAGUUAGAAGUUGGUCAUUUUUAUCAGGGAGGAUUUACAAUAGGUAAGAAAGUGACUGAAGUGUUUAUUUGAAAACUUCAAGGACUACGACACAUUUUGGGAUAGUACAGGGACUUUCCUUGCAUUUUACUAUGUCUAAAAGAAUGGGGUUCGAACGAAAGAUAAAUGCAAUCCUAUAUUGGUCAUCAUGUAGCAUAAGGAAAUACUUAUCAGUAUAGAUUCCAAGCUAAAAGCAUGUUGCAUGUCGUCAAUUGUGCUAUUCCCACAAAAUAUUUUGCAUGCUACCCAUUCUCAAAAGCGCAACAAUUAUUUCGGGUUUGCAGACCAUUUCUAUUUCAAAUAUCAACAUUAUAUCAAUUCACAUACGAAUCUUGAAUGCUAAAAAUUUUGCUGCAGAGAAGGGGAUAAGAAAGCUGGACAAUUAAAAAAAUUAACGUCUAUGUUCCAAAACAUACAAAUGAUGAAAGUCCAUGCUUGAUAAACACUGAAGAAGAAACAAAUGGAGGAUCACUCCUUCGCAAUGCAUGGAAACUAUCAACCUGCAAAAGAAAGAAAGAAAAGUUAUUUAAUAAAGGAGUUCAGGUCACAACCAGAAAGAAGAACAAUCAAUCAAGGACAACAAAGAAUAGCUUACCAGCGAUUCCACAUAAAAUUCAGGAAUAUAUAGGAAAACAGUAUCAAUAUCGCUGAGGACCAACAGUAGAUCCACUACCCACAUGCAUGUCGCAUACAAUCCUCUUUGCUUCCACCGAGAAAAAAGAGAGGCACGAUACCUGUGAUAGGAACAAAAAAGGGCAAAAAAACAAACAGUGAACAUCGCUACAAAAAGGAAAAAAAAGAAAUAUAUCAAAGUGUUAAGUAAUAACUCCGCUUCAUUACAACAUUGUUUUUGAUCCUGUCGGUUACGAGGACGGAUUAAUUUGAUACAAAUUGGAAGGUUAAUUUAACUAUGUCUGGAAGGUUAAUUCAACUAUGUUUGGAUAGUCAAAUUAGCAAAAAAAAGCAUGCUAACUAAACAAGUGGAAGGCCUCCAACAUUGAGCUCAACAUUCUCAUCAGCACAGACUUAUAGUUCUGCAGUAGUUAAUAUGAUGUGUAUAUUUCUAUCUGGACAAUUUCACUAUUGUGGAAGAAUAAUCCUGGGUUACCAAACAAAGGUGUACGUAGUCAAAAGUCAAAGACAAACACUUCUCCCCUGAUAUUUUGUCAUUAUGAAUGUCCGAGGUUUAUUAUGGGUCGACUGGAUAAUUGACCUGGGACCCUUGACCCGCUCAUUUUGGUGGGGCAGUGAAUAACCAGGUAUUAAAACAUUGGUUCAGGUAGCCAGGAAUGUUAUAGUAUUAUUUAUUUCUCACAGAUUUCUAGAACAGAAAGUUAGGAGAAUUAAUCGAAAGGAACAGAUACUAUGGUAACAAGGCAUGAAUUCACGUGUCAGCAUGUAGCAUGAUGGAAUAUUACUUUUCAACACUUAAAAUAAGAUAGAAGGGAUAAGAUGCCAAGAUUUGCAAAAUAACAUGCAAGGAAAAGCAACUUCACGAUUUGAAGAAAUGAAUUUAUCAAUAAUGACCAUACCAUACACAAUGCUUGACACAGUCAACCAAUUCUUCACGAUAAACAUUGCGAGCUUCCUUCAAGCGCUUUACUUGCUCAACGGAUGAUUUUUCUCUUAUCUGUUUGUCAGUAUCAUCUAAUAGAGAAAUUGAUUGCGACUGAUGAGACAUGAAAUAAAAUGCCUGCAGUGAAUAUAAGAAUUGGUAGUUCAUCAAAAAGAAUGCCAAAUGGAAAUUCAAAUUAUGACUUAUGAUCAGCAACCAAAGGAUCACCUGUUAGAAAGAUGUAAAAAAGGAGACAUUCAGAUAGUGGAAAACUAAAAAUAUCAGAAUAACUCCUUAUGUUGUUCAUAUUCUAUGGAAACUCGAUAUCAAAAGUCCAGGGCGUAGGUGCUAAAUUUUCAUUAGAAAAUUAGAUAAAUGAGAGUUCGGAUCACUUGCCUGCCGAAAUUUCGGUGCAACACCCAAAUGAUAAAGCAAUAGCAUAAUAUCAAGUAGCUCCUCCUCUCUCAAUGCUUCUGAAGAUAAUUGAUCCAUCAUUGGGACGCUCCCCAAAUUAUGCAAUGGUCUGUACCCAAAAUCAGUUUCUGACUGGUCGCUUGAACUAGGUUUAUCCACAAUCUCAUCACUGAAACUCCUUGCACUGCAUUCUGCUGCGACAGGAGUUGACUUUUCCGGCAUAGACUUACAUGGACCUUUAGAAACUUUACCUGGGUAUUUAACACUAUCUUUUGACAUUUCGAAGACUUCAACCUCAGGUGUUGAACAACAACAAGGUUUCUGCAAUGUAGAAUGUGUUAUUCUUGAAUCUCCAUCAUCUGUGUAGCCUUCAUCCCACUGUACUUCCUUUUUCUCAUCAUCAGUGACUUGGUGAGACUUUGAUAGAUGACACAUUGUACCACCAAUUCUAGGAACUCCACUGCAAUAUGUAUCAUUUCGAAAAAACAAGUCCACAGGAAAGUUCCUUUUUCCACGUCUGUGGAGAAAUCCAAUAGCAAUUCCAGAGUUUGUUCUAGAGCUGGUCGUUGACCCAGAAGAAUCCUCCAUGGAGAAUCCUUCAGAUAGCAUAUGCAGGAUAACAUUGUAAAGAGAAAGAAUCACGGUAUUGCUUGAAAUACCAGAAGAUACCAUCUUGUGAUCUACACCUCUCGUCUUUACUAUGCAAUUCUGUAUGAAAGUUCUGAACACGGAGCCAGGUAACUGGGGAGGACACCCUGGAGGUAUGAAACGAAUGACCAAACUACAAAGGUCGCGAUGCAUUUCCUCAAUCUGCAGAUCACAAACAAUUGCAUGUCAGUAACACGAGACACAAGUACUUUUUUUUCAAGAUGAUUUUUUCCCUAUAAAAAUGGAAAGGCAUAAUCCAGCAAACAGAAGAACAGUUGCCUUUAUUAGAUAUGUAGGUGACAAAAGCUGCAAUGAGCAUUUACAGAAUAUCAUUUGAGGUGAUUUUACAUUCACAAGAAUAGGACUCCCUUUAUGAAUAUUGCCAGGAUUAAAAGCAUAUGUCCAGUUUAAUUAAUGAUUACUAUAACAGAUAGUUGUACCCAACAGUAAAAAAUCUUUAUGUUCUUAGGCAGUUCUACUUGAUGUAUUCAAAAGAAACAGUACAUAACAUAUAUACCCUAAAUAAUAUCCUCAUAUUUCAAGUUUAUGUCUCCUCUGACUGACUUGAAUGUUCUCUAUAAGGAAAUAAAAUUGACCAUAGAAUGUUCAGAAGAUUCAUAUCAUCCUAAUAAUAGUAAAAUCAAGAUGGUUUUGGAGAUUAUCACUACAUGAUAAGUAUAAUAUGGAAAAAGAAAGUGACCUAAAUCAAGAUGGUUUUGGAGAUUAUCACUACAUGAUAAGUAUAAUAUGGAAAAAGAAAGUGACCUAAAUCAAGAUGGUUUUGGAGAUUAUCGCUACAUGAUAAUUAUAAUAUGAAAACGAAAAAAGAAAGUGACGGGUACCUUUGCAACUGCUCCAGAUAAUGCUGACAUGGUCAACAUCAUGCUGCUUUCAUUACCGACAUCCUCACAUGAACCAGGCCACCACACAGACGGAAUAAGGCAGUGUAAAUCCUGCUUGUUUGGGCUCUUCAUCGAAAGGAAACCUUCCAAUGAAAAUCCAAAAUCCAGCGAUUUCCACCACAGGACCAUCAUGUCUUUACGCCUGACAAUAUGGCAAGCCAGUGCAAGAUAAGGAUAUGAUCCAGAAUAAGGACACUCGGUUAGAACAAGUGGCGCUACUUUGCAGCUAUAAGAAAGUGCCACAAUAACAUGCUGGAGCAAUGAGUUCGCGCCUGGAAACUUGAGCAACAGGUCAAUAACCCGAUCCAAACUUGAAUAAUCAUGCGGUGCUUGGGACCCGAAGACAUCUACCAGGAAAGAAGAAAGUACUCCCCAGGCAAUAUAUUCAGUACUCCACUCACUUGACUCGACUAUGUUGUAGAAUUUUUCACAGAUUCCAUGUGAUAUGGGGCAAAACAGUUCUUUCAGUGGUGCAAACCUCUUCACCCUUCUCAAUUUCUGAAAAUAAGCUGACUCAGAUCUCUCCAAACACUGCACCUCCAGUAACCUGGACAAGCACUGGAGCAGAUAAGUAGUAAAAGCUACACGUUCGGGCGGAGCCUGAAUCGGACGAAACCCCUCAACAGGGUAUUUGAAUGGCCGAGAUCCAAAGUUCAAAUCGCAACGCUCACCUUCAGAGAGGGAAAUCGCCGGAUAAUAGCCAAUUGCCGGACCCACUUUGCGGAUUCCAUCAAACGCCACUCCAAGAGAAACCCCGUUUCUAUAAAAGGAGAUCUCUUUAGCAUCAAAAUCAAUACAACAUCCAAUCACAUCGCCCACCACCCAUGGCUGACCAUAUGCCCUAUGCUCCUUAUUCCACUUGGUCACUCUCCGGCCAUCAAAAGCAUAAGAAUGCUCCGAAUCACCCACUCCUUUCUGUUCAGUGAAGGGGCACAAAAGGGUAGCCCACCCAAUCUGCUGGAUUCCUGCAGUUUCUAAAGUCACCUCGUACAUCCACUUCCCCUUCCAUACGCAUGCAUUAACCCGAGCACUACUGAAUACCGACCGGCUUUCUACAAGCAAUGGCUUCCUUACGGUCUUGAAUUCCCCACACAUGCUUGAUUUGUCCAUACAAACAAUAUAAGGGCCGCAACCGUGAUCGUUAAAAAAUACGCCAUCUCUGCUAUAGUCAUCGGAAUCUGGAUAUCUUUGCGCUUGAUUCUUAAGGAUAGAACAGAUAAACUUAAUAUCAACUGUGUUAGAGGUUAGAGCGACCGAUUUGUGAGGGAGAUCAAAUAUGUAUUCGAUGGUCCGUUCCACUGCUUGGUUUCCGAUGUCACCGUGGUAAGAAAUUAAGUGGGACUUCUGAGGAUUCCCUUUUGGGUCAUCAUCUGAUAACAGAACAGCUAGGCCAGAGGAGAAUCCAUUUAGCCUAAUACUAUCUUCCGCCAUUAAAUUACACAGCAAGCAACUAGCUUUUCCUCCCUAAUCAUCGAUAUAACUAACAACAACAACAACAACAAAUUGUACAACAGCUUCUUCUGAUCAAAUCCCUGCUUUUUAGAGAUCGGGAAACCAGAAUCAGAUGCACAAGCACAGAACAAGCUCAAACAUUUACAUCAAAAAAUAAAGGAAGGACGCAAACAAUGAGCAAUUACCGAUUGAAACAGGCGAUUACUUUAGAAAAUCAAACCGAUUGAACUCUGGGAUGCAGGAGAAAGCGAUUGACGGUAAAAUUAUCAGAAUUAAGAAAAUAAGACGCGAAUUCUAAUCAGGUCAAACGAAAAAUUCGAGGGAUUAUAAGGCGAAAGGGACGAACUUUACCUUCUCCCGACAUCCAGUAGCUGAUUCCACGAAGAAGGGAGCCCUAGGGUUUCGCGAGGAUCGAUGAAUAGGCGGCGCGGGGAGGGAUUAGGGUUUCUAGAAGGGAAGGGGGAAACGAAACGGAGACGGAGAAAAAAAGGGGCAAAUGAGGAACUCGGAGAAACGAUUUUCGUUUCCUCGACAAGCAUCGCCGCACGAGUCCUGCGUCCGGGGACAUGUACCGUUUCUUUCGUGCGGGAACGUCAAUUAUUACGAUAAUUAGUUAUUUAAUUAACCCGUACGUGAUUUGCUUGGGGAAUCAUUUUAAGAAAAUUACACUGCGACUCCCCAAACUUUUCGCAACCAUUUUAUUUUGGUCCAAAAAUUUUAAAUUCCACAAAUUUCAAAUUUCAGAUAUUUACUAUUUGAAAAUAAAUUUUAAUUAUUAGAUUGGAAAAAAUAAGAUGAACAAUGAGCGAAGAUUGAACGUAAAAGCUAGCGUCUUUAAAAACCAAACUUAUAAAUUAAAAGGACUACAGUGAUACCUAAGGGACUAGCAGUGCAAUUUUCUCAAAUAAUAAUAAUUUUCAUUAUGCCUCGAGAUUCGCGACGAAAAUCUAGACCGCUGAAGGGAGCGUUGAGAAGAACGGUCGCGUAGGAAUAUUUAUGCGCCGCGCCGCAUGGCGACGAGAGUGGCCACGCGGGCACCCGCACGCUGACCGAAGCGGGUGAUCGCACGGACAGGAGGUCAAACGACACGUGGCAAAGGGCGUGUGGCGAGGGAGGGAGAUGACGUGGGAAAACCAAACAGCUCACUGUUUCAAACGGCCAACACACAAAUAAAAAUAAAUAAAUAUAAAUUAAUAAUAAAAAUAAAGAAAUGGUAAAAAAUAAUAAUAAUUCGAGUUUCGCGCUUUCAAUUAUUUCCCCUUAUAUUGGCUCGGUCCCGUGAUACCCACGGGAGAGAGAAGAAAAGGUGAUACGUGAAUUUGCACAUGAACUCGAAUCGUCUAUAAAAGUUGAAUGAGGGCGUGUUUGGAUUAAUCAAGUAUACUUCGAAAAUGAUACGAUGUACUGAUUAUCUUAACUUUAUUGCUAAUGAAGUAUAAAGUCGUAACUGUAUAGCUCGGUCUGUAGCUCAGUGUUAGAUAUACAUAUUAAUAGAGACACCUUUAUUCAAGUUGAGCUGAUAUUAAUGGUUGUGAUUAGUUUUUGUUCCAUAUUUAAAUUUUUGAAUAGAGAAUUUGUCCCAAUUUAUCCAUGUGACAAGGGAAUGAAUUAAAUUUGUUAUGGAGUUGCUGAAUAUCUUAGGCCUACUUUUUGUUUUUUCCUUCGGUUUGUAGCUAAUUGUUGUAGUCUUCUUCUUGUCGUAAAUUAGUUGUUGCUCGUAAAUAGAACAUAAAGAUGUGUUUGAUGCCAUUUAUUUCUAUGUUUUUGCUCGUAAAGGUUGCGAUGAAAGGCGAUGCGUGCUUGUUUGAAACUUUUAAAAUCGACGAUUAAAUAAUGGAGUACUUUGAAUAAAUGGCUUUUGGAAUUUGAUUCCUGAUGAGCCUAAAAUAUGUUAGCUUUCGAUACAAGUUUGGGAAAAGUAAAAUUUUUGAGAGGAUCGUAAAAUGAUUAGUGUAUCUUAAAGCUAAAAUAAUUCCAAUAAUUAGAUAGGAGGACCUUCCAAAAUGGAGUGUGAUGGAAUAUUAUUUGUGCUUUGUCUAGGUGACAAGGACUGAAACUUUUAACUUAAUUGGUUGGGACUAUACGCAAAUCCAUUAUCUAAAUGUCUACAUCUUGAUAAAUUUUAGCAGGGAUUUGCAUAUAAGUUGUUACAAUUGUCAUUUGAUCCUAAAAUGUCCCUUUUUAUCCCCCUUUUUGGGUAAUAAUAUCAAUAAUUUUCCAAGUAUUAGCGUAGAUGCAAACUCAUACAGUCUUUUUUUAAUAAAAUAAAUUUAAAAAACUUAAGUACAAUCGGAUCAAAAUUUAUGCGAGUGUAACACAUUUCUUUUCUUUUCCUUUUGAUAUAAAAAGAGAUGGGUUUUUUUUUGAGAAAUAAGUAGCACGCUAUCCGCUUCGUUUAUUUCAUUUAAAAAUAAACUUAGCUGAAAAUGUGAAUUAAUUAGGAUUCGAACUUGGAUUUCAAAAGAGACGGGUUUUGAUCAUGUAUCCAGCAAUCGCCCAGCCCAACUGGCCCAGGUUUCUAUAGAGCAGAGUAACUAAUGGACCGGUCUGAGUCAAAAGGAUUUACUCACCUCAUGGGCUUUAAGUUGACCUAGGUCCAUUAGAAACACUAACUCCAAAAUAAAUACUCAACUUUUCACUUAACCAAGAGGGUGGGUAUAAACUGUUAAAUUAUAAUCUAUUAGAAUCUUAAAAUCAAGUUUUACUGUCCAAUAAACAUCUUUUUUUUGAUAGUGCACUAUCCGGCGUUAGCCUUUGAAAAUAAAGGAAGUGCCGUGAAUAAAACCAAAAUUAUCACUGAAAGAAGGGCUUUUUUGGCAUUUGACUGCCUCAAAAAUAUUAUUUUCAUAAAUAAUUUUAUUAAUUUUAUAAUUAUAAUUUUAGUUUUAUUUCUGUCACGCAAGCGAUACGUCAGCGCCACGCAAGCAUCGACGGUGGAUGUGGAAUAAGUAAAACACAGUUUAUGAUUUACCGUGUUUAGUAUAUUGUAUUAUUUAUGCGCUGAGUCAAUGUAUUCACCGAGCACAUUAAAUCAUUCACUGUGUUUGGACACAGUAAAUGGGUUAUCAUGUUCAACUUAUUCCACAUUCUCCAUCUCUACUCGUAUAGCAUUGACGUGACGUCUGUAUGACAAGAAUAAAUUCAAAAUUAUAAUUAUAAAAUUAAGAAAAUUAUUUGUGAAUAAUAAAUUUGAGAAGGCCAAAUGCCAAAAAAAAAAAAAAAAAAAAAAAAAAGCCUUUGAAAGAAUGAAGUUUUUUUCUCAAAGUUUUCUAAAAAGCGAUUCAUUAACUAGAACCGGUAAACAAGAGAACUUUUGCCAAUCAAGUUUAUAUGCAUCUAAUUCGCUCUCAUUCGGCUCGACUCGAUUUUUUUUCUUGGCUUAAUAAUAGCCUCCAAUUUUCCAUACAUGCACGCGACUAAAUCAACUUCCACCUAAUCUAUUAAACAAACACUUACGCUCUUAAUCAACGUAGACUUUGACCGCGUCCGACGUGGCAGGCGUGGACCCCGCACUGUUCUUUGACCAGAGUUCCAACCGGGUUAGCCUGUUGACUAAUUGCGGGCAGCGGGCAGCGGGCAGCUCGUGUUCUCAAGCUCUCACAAAAUCGAAAAAUUCUACACUGUUGUACUUGCACCACGCCAUCAAUAAUAAAUUUUUUUUUUAAAUAAAAAUAUAAUAAAUUUUUUUUUAUAAUUAUGAUAAAGUAUAUAUUUUUAAAAACAUAUUUAAUUAACUUGUUACGCGACGCCACCAAUAUAACGCUGUAUUCUUGAAUUUUGCCUCGAAACCCCACCACCUUACUCCGUCACUCGUAGUCGUCGAAUGAGUCUACCCAUUUUUUUAAAAAAAUAUUGUUGGAUUUUAAUACAAACCCCCCCCCCGCACCCCUUCCUUUAUUUAUUUAUUUAUUUAUUUAUUUUUGGUUUGGUUUCUUCUUCAGAGGUCGCGAUUGUGGAAUAUGUGAUCGUGGAAGGAGAACCCACGUGAGCUUUGAAUCUUCUUCGAAUCCAUCCAAUUUUGGAUUCGUAAUUGUUCGAAUUUCGAUCUGUACGAUGCUCGUGUCCGCGGAAAAUGGCGCGGGAUUUGGGUUUUUUUUUUUUUUUUUUUUUUUUUUUUCUUUCCUUUGGUUUCUCUGAGCUCGAUCGUCGUUAGGGUUUGAAUUUGAUAUCGGAGUUGUAGAAGUAGGGGCCGGAGCUGUAGAAAUGGCGAUCUCCACACGACAAGCGGUAGCGCCGUGGUUUCUGUGGCUUCUAUUGUUGUUUAAUCCCGUUGCUAGGGUUCUAGCGAACCCGGAAGGUAUUGGAUUCUACUUUGUUUUCUCGAUUUGGAUUAAGAUUUGAGCUUGGUAUUGGUGUUCUACUCGUUAGGUUGACCGAGGAGAGUAUUGAUAAGAGAAACUGUUUGAUUGAGUGACUGUUUGAAAGGGUUCUGAUUGGUUGUGAUUGUUCGAUAUAUUUCAGGUUCCUUGUUUAACCUAGCAGUUUGUGUUAGUAUAUUUCAAGCCCUGAGCUAUAAAUUUAGCUUUUUUUUUAUUUUUUUCAGUGACUUUGCAGCUUUAACAACUUUUAUGUAGAUUUUUUUUUCCCCCUCUUUUAUUUGUGCCGUAAUUUUAGUUACUUUUCCUGCUCUGAAAAGCUUUCUAGAUGUUAUAUUUUUGGCGAGACAAAUAUUUAUCUAGUCGAAACCAUGAUGUUAGGGUUAAGGAGUCAAUAGUGUGAAUUAAAAGUUGAAACUGGUUAAAGAAGCGCACAUCAGCGCUUGCAUAAUUAUUGACAUAAUUUUAUCUUCCAUUUGUUUGCUCAUGCUAAAUCCUUCUGUUCGCUUUUACAUGGCCGGAAUGCAUAUACACAUAGCUCUACACGAGCAGAUGGCUCACUUGAACAACCAUGCUCCAUCAAGAACCUAUUAUCUAAUCUCUUCUUUCAAAUAACUUUUUUAUGAGAUUUUCUUAUUUAGGAUAAUUUGGCUUUGUUCUCAAUGGGAACCUUUAAAGGUGUAAAUCAUUCUCAGUUUAUUAAUUUUUUUAUUAUCCCGAUUCCUAAUUGUGGCUCAAUCUGAUAUCAACAGGUGAUGCAUUAAGCAAAUUAAAGAACAAUUUGAACGAUCCUACUAAUGUACUGCAGAGUUGGGACCCAACGCUGGUCAAUCCGUGCACAUGGUUCCAUGUUACCUGUGAUAACGAUAAUAGUGUUAUCAGAGUGUGAGUGAACUCCUGUUAAUGCAAUUCAAUGUCAUUCUGGUAUUUGUUUACUUAAAUUUGUUGGAUUUACUGAUGAAAUAUUUUGAUUUCACUGCAGUGAUCUUGGAAAUGCACAGUUGUCUGGUACAUUGGUUCCUGAUCUCGGUGUACUAAAAAAUUUGCAAUAUCUGUGAGUUCUGUUCGGGAGUGCAUCAAAACUUCUAAAAGAUUUGUCAAACUUAGAUUAUCAGUUUAGUUGUUAAACAAAGUUGUUCCAUGUUGGUUUGAACUUCAAUAGUUUCAUUCUUUCAUCCAUUCUGAAUGAAUGGUGCUUUCUCUGGGGAUAAAAAGGAAAGCCAGUAUAGUUCUAGAGAUACUCUCAACAACAUAUGAUAAACACUAGAAACUACAUCAAAGCUGCUUGCAGCAAAACUGUACAGCACAAUCUUCUGUGUUGUAAUUCUUUUUAAAAAAAGUAUUUUAUCUUAGGUCCAUUCUAGAUUUUGUUAACAGUGUGGUGCUAUUGAAGCUAUUAACUAGUAAAUUAUGCCUUUAAUAGAAGUAUUUUUUUGACUGGCCCUUUCUGAGGUGCAGAGCUGAUCGAUAUUGAUCAUAAGUUUUAAUCUCUUGCAGAGAAGUUCUCAAUUGCCUAUUACUUAACCUUUAUCUUUCAUUCAGGGAACUCUACAGUAACAACAUUAGUGGGAGUAUUCCUUAUGAACUUGGGAAUCUGACAAAUUUGGUGAGCUUGGAUCUGUACAUGAACAAGUUCAGUGGCCCGAUUCCCCCUACAUUGGGGAACCUGAUGAAUCUACGUUUCCUGUAUGGAGUCUUCUUUUCUAUAUGCAGAUGAAAUUAAUUUGCUAUUUGCAUUUUUAAGGAUGGAUUUUAGUUGUGGUAGAAGGCAUACUACAUGGCAAUUUUGAACAGUAUAAUGGGAAAGUCUUGUUUAGCUUCUUAGAGACAAUACCCCAAUAUAAUUGAAGUUACAGCAAACUUGGCCGCCUCAGAGGUAAAGAUGUGACAAGCAAGAAAUGAAUAAUACAUAGAAUUUGAGGUUAACACUCUGUGAAAAUGCCCUGUUGUCUGAAAAAAGAAUUUUAGUUUUAUUUCGCUUAAAGCUUUGGUUUUAUACUUUCUUUCAGGCUAACUUCUUACCCUUAGCUUAAUAAUUUCUUUUUCUUUCACCUGAUGCAUCUGUCAAAGGAUAGUCGGCUCAACAACAAUAGCUUAUCUGGUCAAAUUCCUCAAUCUUUGACCAAUAUCACCACGCUUCAAGUUCUGUAAGUGAUUUCUGACUUUUGUACAAUGGUAACCUAAAAUCUCGUGAUUUCCCUACUUUAAUUAUGUGAUAAUCUUUAUCUUUAAAAUGCUCAGGGAUUUGUCAAACAACAAUCUAUCAGGACCUGUUCCUUCUACUGGAUCUUUCUUACUUUUCACCCCCAUAAGGUGUCUUUUCUAAUAAGCCUAUCAAUGUUUCAGGCUUUAUAAUAGUUGGUUAAUUUAAUUCACCCUGAGCUAUGUCUAUCAAAAACUGCAGUUUUCAAAACAACCCUAAUUUGUGUGGCCCGGGAACGACAAAACGUUGUCCUAAUGGCCCUCCAUUGCCUUCGCCGCCUCCAUUUGUUCCUCCAACACCGCCAUCAUCUCCAGGUUUUAUAUCUCAUACUUUCAAAACUUACCUCAUUGUGAUGACUGCCAAAAUUAGCCCUUUUUGUUCAUUACUACAUUUUUCCUCAUGAAACUUCCAGACGAGAAAUUCUCCUUUUCUUUGUCCUCUGUUGGAAUGGCUAGUUUACUCUGUAUAAAAAUCCUAUGCUUAUUUGAUAUAUUAUUUCCGCAUCAUGAUCACUUGGUUAUAGGAAAUGAUUGGUUUAAAUUUCUAUAGCUGGAGUUGAGCAUCAUAUUGAACAUAUUAAUUAGCUGUCAAUUCUAGUUCACAGGGAACACUUUUACAGGUUUAUAUCUUUUUUUUUUUUUUUCUAGACAAUGAAACCAGAUAUAAUAUAUUAAUUAUAAUUUAUAAAACACUCUUUAUGAUUCAUGUGCUUUUCCAAUGUUAUACACUAAUUAUAAUAACACUAAUUAUAAUUCAUGAACUACCCUUUCUGAUUCAUAAAUUUUUCUAAUGCUUUGCACUAAUGCUGAAUACCUGAUUUUCUCAUUAGAGUGCCAUAUGUCUUAAUCUCAUGCCUUUAGUGUAAACUUGAACAGGAAGCAGUGCCUCUACAACUGGGGCACUUGCUGGAGGAGUCGCUGCAGGCGCCGCUCUUUUGUUUGCUGCACCGGCUAUCGGGUUUGCAUGGUGGCGGCGCCGCAAGCCACAAGAGCAUUUCUUUGAUGUACCAGGUUAGUAAUCAUUAACUACGAAAUUCUACAGUAAAAAAACACCUUUUUAAUAUGAUGUAGAAAGGAAGGGUUUUUUAUGCAGCUGAAGAAGACCCAGAAGUCCAUUUGGGUCAGCUCAAAAGAUUUUCUCUGCGGGAAUUACAAGUCGCAACUGAUAACUUCAGCCCCAAGAACAUUUUGGGCAGAGGAGGUUUCGGAAAGGUGUACAAGGGCCGUCUUGCUGACGGUACGUUGGUGGCGGUAAAGAGGUUAAAAGAAGAGAGAACACCAGGUGGCGAGCUUCAGUUUCAAACAGAAGUUGAAAUGAUUAGCAUGGCAGUGCAUCGUAACCUGCUCCGCCUUCGUGGAUUCUGCAUGACGCCGACCGAACGGUUGCUUGUGUAUCCCUAUAUGGCUAAUGGAAGUGUUGCUUCAUGCUUAAGAGGUAACCCAAGCAUAUAGUGUUAGUAGUGGUACAUUUUUGAAGUAUUUCUGUUCGAUACUAACAUAUGGGGAACUAGGGUGCAUUGUUUUCUUCAUAUUAUCCUUUUUCCUCUUUCGACCAAUGUUUGAAUCAAAGGUUUUGGGUUUCUGGUUUUUGUGUUUCCAGUCUCUGAGGCAUAGCUUUUCCCUUGAAAUUUGGAUUUCAGAAUUUUUUUUUAAAAAAAAACCCAUAUCUGAUACUUAAACUUGGAUAAAGCUGUGGCAAGUUCUUGUCUAUCAACUUACUGUGUCUGCCUAGUAUUAACUAUAGCCCUGUCAUAUUUUAUUACUGCCAUGUGCAUUUCUCUAACUUUGGUAAGGAAGGGUUUGCUGGAAUUUGGGAAUUUCUGGUAAAACAUUUUUUUUUCAUAAAGAAAAGAAACUACACUUGUUUGCAGAGAGAUUACCUUCUCAGCCACCUCUAGAUUGGCCAACCCGACGACGGAUUGCUUUGGGAGCGGCGAGGGGGCUGUCGUACUUGCAUGAUCACUGUGACCCAAAAAUUAUCCACCGAGAUGUCAAAGCUGCAAAUAUAUUACUGGAUGAAGAGUUCGAGGCGGUUGUUGGGGACUUCGGCCUGGCUAAACUCAUGGACUACAAAGACACUCACGUGACAACCGCUGUUCGUGGAACGAUUGGACACAUCGCCCCUGAAUACUUGUCUACUGGAAAGUCAUCAGAAAAAACUGAUGUUUUUGGGUAUGGGAUCAUGCUUCUGGAACUCAUUACAGGGCAAAGGGCAUUUGAUCUUGCCAGGCUCGCGAAUGAUGAUGAUGUCAUGUUGCUUGACUGGGUAAGCUCCUCCCCUCUUUCCCCCUUCUUCUCCUGUGAACUAUAAUAUUUGGGCAUUCUACACGUAAUCACUACAAAAUCAUCUAUAGUUGCAUAUCAUAUGCCCCUGUAAAAAGCUAAUUUCAUAUAUCCCCUUGAAGUGCUGUUUCUCGUAAAAAAAUGCCCCUAUUUUAUGUUGGGCAAUUGUUCAUUUCAUGAGAAGUUGGUUUUCUACUGUAUGCAAAUCUGAUUUUCUGUUCUUUAUUUUGAUAGGUAAAAGCACUCCUUAAAGAAAAGAAGUUGGAAAUGUUGGUAGACCCGGACCUACAGAACAACUAUAUCGAUGUCGAAGUCGAGUCGCUUAUACAAGUCGCGCUGCUAUGUACACAGAGUUCGCCAAUGGAGCGGCCGAAGAUGUCGGAGGUGGUGAGAAUGCUUGAAGGAGAUGGUCUCGCAGAGAGAUGGGAGGAGUGGCAGAAAGUAGAAGUGGUACGACAAGAGAUGGAGAUGGACCCUCGUAAUCACAAUUCUGAGUGGAUAAUAGACUCCACCGACAACCUUCGUGCAGAUGAAUUAUCUGGCCCUAGAUGAUUAUGAUGCUGAUGCAAACAUGAAGAAGAGGAGAUUACCAGGAAAUGCCCAGCAAAAUGUUUAUACGAAUCUGUGGGAAUACUUAUAAACUGAUACAGUGGGAAUACUUAUUUUCUCUUUUCUUUUAAACUGAUACAGUGUUGAGUUUGCUUCUCGCAGGAGAUGCAUUUGGAGACUUUGACAGGGGUUACGAUAUGUAGAUUAUUUGUAUUAAUACCAGGUUUGUCGAUUAGGGAUUCACCAUUUUGAUUGUUCAUAAGGCGAAGGACCACAGCAGUGUGAAAUUCUCCUACUUUGUGUAAAAUGCAGUCAAAUUGGGAAUACGAUUACUUAUUUAUAGGCCAAAUCUUUUGAGGAAGCAGAUUUGUAUCAAAGAUUGAAUAACUCACAGCUUUGUACCAUUGUUUGUGAAUUACUUGUGACUUGUCCUCCAAUUAGUCAUUUAUUUACUCAUAAAUUAUCUGUUAUUCAUACAGUUGCUUAUAACAUAUAAUUGCUGCUCGGAUUUGUGUUUUCCCUCUUUUUCUGUGGUUGACUCUUCACAACAACAGUAACAACAAUAUCAGAUAUUAGUUAUUUGUUGAAGCAUUCUGAUUUUUAUUUAUUUAUUUAUUUUUUUUAUGGGGGACAAAAGUUCCUGGCAAGCAACAAGUAGCUGAAAAAUGAUGAAGUUCCACUUCUAUCUCACAUUGCGCCACUAUAAAUUCAAAAUCUAACUUUACAUCUGCUUUUUUUUUAACUGCAAGAACAAAGUAUCCAAGACUUCAUAAAUCUGUGAGCUUUGCGGGUGAGACCUAUCUUCGACAGCGAAUGCAUGGAAGAGCCCAUCGAUCUCUAUGGCGCUCUGGCCUGCAUUUUUCCUCGCCUUCUUCUGCCUCAUCAUCGUUCUUACCUCUGCCACGCCCUCCCACCUCUCUUUCGCAGCAUAAAUGUUGGCCAUGCCGACAUACGACACUCCAGUUUGAGGCCCCAGACUAAAAAGGCGGCUCGCUGCGUACUCGCCAAUUUCAAUUUCGCGAUGAGUUACCGAAGCACCCAACAAAGAACCCCACACACCUGCAUCUGGUUCAAGAGGCAUCCUUCUAAUGAAAUCCAGUGCCUCGCUCACUCUUCCUCGACGGCCAAGGAGAUCAAUGACACAAGCAUAGUGUUCUAACCUUGGAGCUAUGCCGUAAACUUCACUCAUGAGAUUGAAAUAGUCCCAUCCUUUCUCAAGCAAACCACCAUGAACGCAUGCUUGAAGAACCGCGAGAAAGGUUACACGAUUAGGCUUCAAUCCUUGUUCCACCAUGUGUGAGAAGAGAUCCAAAGCUUGCUCAAAUUCCCCAUUUAUGGCAUAACCCAUAACCAUGGUGGUCCAAGAUACUAUAGUUCUUCCGCUCAUUCUAUCAAAGAGCCUUCGAGCUUCACCGAUGCUACCACAUUUUGCAUACAUGUCGAUCAAUGCAUUGCUCACUAAUAUGUCGUCUUUGAACCCGUUAGUGAGCACGUAAUCAUGCAUAUGUUUACCGAGAUCGAGACCACCAACUUGGCUACAAGCAGAGAGAAGAGCAACGAUAGUGAGAGCAUCAGGCUUCUCCCCUGCAGCUUCCAUAGAAGAAAACAGAGCCAUUGCUUCAUUUAUAUCUCCUCUUUGCACAUAUCCGCUGAUCAAAGCAGUCCACGAAACACAAGUUUUUUUUGGCAUGUUAUUGAAACAAUACAACGCAGCUUCUAAAUCUCCACACUUCGAAUGUAAUGAUAUUAGAGUAUUCAUCACGGAGAUAUCGCAAUCCACACCUAGUUUGAUACCUAGCGAAUGAACAAGUUCGCCUUCUAAUAACGAGCCUGAAUUGGCGAACAAUGAGAGCAAGCUCAAAAUAGUGCUCAGGUCGGGCCUAAUACCGUCCCGAGCCAUUACAGAGAAGAGCAAAAUGGCUUCUUUUGAUAGGCAAAGACGAGCAUAACCCGCGAUCAUAGAAUUAUAAGACACGACCGACCUCAUUCCUGCAGCAAUCUCACUAAACACCGACUCCGAGGAGCUCAAAUCCUCGCAUUUGCAAUAAGCGGCAAUCAGAGUAUUCGCGACGGAAGCAUCAGCUUCGAAUCCUUGUGCUAUCGCCAAAGAGUGAACGGCUCUUAAAAAGCUCAGCUUUUCCUCACACCCGCACGAGCGCGCCAAGCUUAUAUAGGUAACCAAAUCGGGCGCAAUAUCCUCCAACCUCAUGCGGCGAAAGAGAAAGAGGGCUCUUCGGAGAGAAGAACCCAAUUGAGACACGCCCACGAUCACGGUGUUCCAAGCAACAACAUCUCUCUGGGGCAUUCCGUCGAGCACUUUCAACGCGACGUCCACCUCUCGGCUCUUCACAUACAAGUCGACCAGCGCUGCUCCGACGAAGAUGUCGUCGCAAAAUGGGGAUUUGGCGACGUGGGCGUGGGCGACCGCAGGAGCGGGAGCAUGCGGGAGCCCCGCAUAGGCUUUUAGGAGGAAGGGAAAGGUGAGGUUGUUGGGUCGGACUCCGUUCUGCUUCAUGCGGCGGUAGACGAGCACGGCUUCGCGGGGGAGGCCGUCGCGUACGGACGCUCGGAUGGCGGAGUUCCAGCACGCAACGGUCGAAGGAUUUGAAAUGCGGUUGAGGGCGCGAACGGUGGAGGGAGGGGUCAUGUCUCUGUAUCGUUGGUCUAAGAAUCCAUUGAUGGAGAGUGGGGGGAGUGAAUCGAAUAGAAUAAGAGAAGAGAACGGUUCUGAAAAAUUGUUGAUACAAAAAAUUCUAAUGAUACUCACAUAAACUCACAAAAAACCAAGUCAAAUUUGUCAUACUUCAUAUUUUUCAGUCAAUAGUAUAAUAGCGGAACUCAUGCCGUUCGGUAGCGUUUGAUUCGAAUAUAAAUAAGAACUAGUUAUUACAAAGAUAAAUACAAAUAUGAGAAUAAGAAAAAUAACGUUCGGAUAAAAAUUAGAUUAUUUUCGGGAAUAAAAAAAAUAGUCUUUGAAUAGAUAAUAUGGAAUAAGAAAAAUAGUGUUUGGAUAGAUAAUAUGGAAUAAGAAAAAUAGUGGGUAGUAAUAUAUAGAAAAUGGAGGUGUUGGUAGGGAUAGUUAUAUAUAUAAUAACCGAGAACUACUAUUCUCGGAUAAAAAAUUAGCAUUUGGAUAUAAAAAAGAGGAUAAGGGCCUAUUGAUGUUAAGUAGAAUUUUUUAUUAAAUUUUUAUCUAAUUUGGAUACUUUUAUAACUUAAAAACGUGCCACAUCGGCCGUUAAAAUAGUCAUUUUUGAGACCUUUUGAUCGCUUGGUAAAUGAUGUCAAAAAAUUAUAAAAUUUGGCUUCUAAAUAGUUCCAAUAGGGUAGAUUAUAUUUAACGGAGCUGAUCGUCGAAUCGGAUUUUCAAUUAUCGAAAACAACUUACAAGCACGAAAGUCUCCGUACUUUCGAAAGUACGGAAGACUUACUAUAUAUAUAUAUAUAUAUAUAUAGAAAAAUGUUACUAUACUAUUAAUAGCACAAGUCAUUGGUGCUAUUAGAUUUUCAAUGCUUGGAUUAAGAUAUAUGAGUUAAGAUGAUAAUGGCCCCUUAAAAUUGAGUGGGUGGUUAGUUAAAUAAUACGUUCUAUAAGAUGAAAACGAUUAAAAGAAUAAAUUUAACAACGAAAAAUUUGACAGCAAUAAGCAGUUAAGCACCACUCAUAUAAAUAUAUGUUUAUUUAUAUAUUCUAGAAAUGCCAACAUAUGGAAAAGAGUUUAUAGAUAUAAUAUAGAGAGAGAGCAAAAAAAGAAGCGCAAAUGUAAACGAUGAUAUUCUAAUAUAAUCCAAUCCAGGAGCCAAAUCAACUUAAACUAAUUUUUUGAUUUCAAAUUUGAAUUUGAAUUUUGAUCAUGGUGUGGGUGCCUGGCUGAGGUUCUCCCGGAGGAGGGGCGCGUCCCACUGCAUGGUCUGCAGGCAGAGCGCCGCCGUCUCCGCCAUCCAGUGGGCGGACCCGAGAUGCCAGCCGCGCCGGUGCACCAGCCUGAACUCCGGGGCGCGCUGCUCCCACUCGCCGCACUCCCGCACCACGCGCUCCGCCUCCGCCUCCUCCGCCGCGCCGCCGCCGAGCACCAGCCGCUUCGCCCCCGGGCUCUGCGCCGCCGCCGUGGCCGGUCGCCGCGGCACCGCCCCCGCCGUGGAGGCGGCGACGACGCGGCUCCGUAGCUCCUGCGUGGGGAGCAAGAAGAUGAGGCGCUCCUCGCCCAGCUCGACCAUGGCGCGGAGCGCCUCGCGCAGCGCCACGGCGUCGCGGAGGAGCGUCUCGGCGGGGCGCGCGGCGACGGGGAACGCCGACGCCCCCACCUCCACCACGCGCCACCCCGGGAACACCUGAGGGCUAUCCUCGCUCCGCAGCAUCGUCCGCAGCCACGUCCACGCUUCCCGCUCCCGCUCCGGCGCCUGCUCCUUCUCCUUCUCCUGCUCCAUCAUAAGUCUUUCACCCAUGCACGUAAACAAAAGCUCCAUGGAAAUAUAUUCAAAGUCGGCCGUUUACAUAGCGGCACAACCGUUAGUCUCUAAAAGCUUAUAUGCCUGAGUUAGAUUAUGAUUAGGAGCCAUAGUAAGUUUUAAGAUAUGCUCAGCUUUAAUAAUUUUAUUUUAUUAAAAAAAAAUCGUGGUGUUUUAGAUAAAGUAUAUUUAUAUAAUUUCAUGAUAAAAUUCUAAAGAGAUUUGAGAUAUGCGAGAUUUGAGAUGUGAUCUUACGAUUGGUAUUUAAAAGUGUGUUGUAUCAGAUAAAAAAAGGUUUUAUUUUGCAUGCCUUUAUGUUUAAAAAAGGAAAAAGAAAAAAGAGGGGGGCUUGGUGAUUUAUCUUGUAAUUUUUUGAUUUUGUAGGUAGAUUAUUAAUAAUAUAUCUACCUCUGUAAGCAAAAAAAAUCUGGGUUUCUAAUGCAUGUUUAGAUACCGCAAAAAAAAAAAAGAAAAAGGAGGGGGGUUAAUGUAGUAUAAUAUUACAAUAGGAUAUUUUAAAAAGAUUUGAUAAAUCUUAUUUAUUCAGAUCAUUUUCAUAAUAACAAAUUAUAGUUAGACAAGGAUUUAUAGUUUCGGAAAACACAGAAAACAAAAUGAGAAGCAGCAGGUACAGAGGAAGAGUACAGGGACUUUCUUGUUAAUAUAUACAUAUAGAAUUAGGCUGGAAUACUAGUGCUAUUAAGUUUUCUGCCCCUAGAUUAAAAGAUGUGCGGUUAGAAUGAUGUCAGUCCUCUAAGGUUGAGUGGGUGGUUAGUUGAAUAGUAUAAUCGAACGGACGAAAAUGAUAAAAAAGAUAAAUCUAACGGCAGAAAACUUGAUAGUACUAAAUGCUCUAUGCUAUAAAUAGUAUCCCAGUCGGACUCAUAUAUUUAUAUACUAUACUAUCGGGAGUAUAGAGAAUUUGAUACUUCCGACUUUUUGACCCUUAUGUUAAAAAUUAUUUGGUUAGGAUGAUUGCGGUCCCUCCAGUAUUGAGCGGUCCCCAUAUGAUAAUAGUAUCAAUUCAAAUAUUAAAAUUAAUUAAAAGGGUUGAUAUAAAGGAGAAAAAGUUAAAAGCACCAGAUCAUAUAUAGUCAUCUAUAUAUAUUAUAUAUAUAUAUAUAUAUAUAUAUAUAUAUAAUAUAUAUUAUAUUAAUAUAUAUAUAUAUAUAUAUAUAAUAUAUAUAGUGUGUGAGGGCUCUAUGCUUUUUGAGCAUGGAGCUUCCGUGCUUGCAGGUCGUUUUCGAUGUUGCGACUUCCGAAUUGUCCGAUCGCUCCGUUAACUUGAUCUCAGUAUUUGAAUACUUAGAAAAUAAAUUUAUGAUUUUCGUAUCUUUGCCUAAUGAUUGAAGGGGCUCAAAAUUUAAUAAUUUAAUGGCGUAGUGAGCCGUUUGUAAGUUUAACGGUGUAGAAAUAUUCAAAUCACGUGAAAUUUUGAUAGAAAAUUUUUUAUAUUAUAUAAAAUAAGAUCAAUAUCUUUGAUCAAAAUUUUAUGUCAUAUUAUUAUGUUUUAUAUAUGAUUUUUAUUUUCAGCCGUUGAUUUUGAACCCCUUUGUUCACUGGCAAAUAAUAUCGAAAAAUGCAUAAUUUAUUUUCUACGUACUUCAAAUACUCUAAAAUCAAAUUUAACGGAGCCGAUUGACGUCGAAUAAAGUCACAACAUGAAAAAUGACCUGGAAGCACGGAAAGCUCCGUGCUUCAGAAGCCAUAGUAGCCGCCUCAUCACUCACUCACUCAUCUCUCUCUCUCUCUCUCUCUCUCUCCUCUCUCUCCUCUCUCUCCUCUCUCGUCUCUCUCUCUCUCUCUCUCUAUAUAUAUUAUAUAUAUAUAUAUAUAGUAGGGUUGCUAUACUCUUCUGAGUAUAGAGCCCAUCGUACUCAUAAGUUGUUUUUCGAUGUUUGGCUUCCGAAUUAACAAUCCACACUGUUAAACAUUAUCUAGAGCAUUUGAAACUUUUAGAAAUAAAUUUCGUAAAUUUUUAAAAUCAUUAAAGUCCAUCAAGUGGAUAUAAAAUGAACGGUCAAAAUCGAACGACUGUCCUAAAAUGGAUAUCGGAUCCUUCAAUUAUAUCGCGGGUUAUUGAUUUUAUCUAGUAAUGAAUAGAAUUUUCUAUCAAAAAUUCAGCUAUUCCGAUUCUUUUACACUAUUAAACUAGCAAGUUAUCAAUACCGGCCGUUAAAAAUUGUCAAUUUUGUGAGCUAUUGAUCAUAAGGUAAAUGAUAUCGAAAAAUUAUAAAAUUUUAUUUCUAUGAGUUUUAAAUGCCUAAGAUAAUGUUUAACGGUCUGGAUCGUCGAUUCAGAAGCUCUAUUCAGUCGAAAACGACUUAUGAGUACGAAUGCGAUCGUACUCAUAAAGUAUGUAGCCGGCCAUAUAUAUAUAUAUAUAAGAGUUGGAUUUGGCUAUUAUUAAGUAGCAAAAUCUCAUGUUGCUACCAGUUUUUUGGCCUUUGGACAACUCUUUUCAUUAUUUCUAACAUUGGAUUAAAUACUAUAACCAAGUGGGGACCACUCAACGACCAUCAACUCUAACCGACUAAUAUCAUCCUGACCCUACAUUUUUCAUCAAAGGUUAAAAACUUGAUAGGAAAAAGAGCGUUUACUAUUAAUAGUAUUCCAGCCUAAUUCUCUCUCUCUCUCCUCUCUCUCUCAUCUCUCUCUCUCUCUCUCUCUCUUCUCUAUAUAUAAUAUAUAUAUAUAUAUAUAUAUAUAUUAUAGAGAUCGGCUACUAUACUUUUAUAAGUAUUCUGGCUCCUUUAUAUCAUAAGUUUUCGCCUUAGAUUUAUUUCACUGAUAUUUUCAUCCGUUAGAUCAUACUAUUCAACCAACUACCCACUCAACUCUAGGGGACCACUAUCAUUUUUAAAGUGGACCACCAUCAUCUAACCACACAUCCAUCAAUGCACGUUAAAAACUUUAUGAGUACAGAUGGGGCUAUGUCUCAUAAGAGUAUUAUACCCACAUAUAUUAACUAUAUUAUUAUAUAUAUAUAUAGUAUAUUAUAUCAUUAUAUGAGAGAGAGAGAGAAGAGGAAGAGAGAGAGAUGGAGAGAGAGAGAGAGAGAGGCUGGUAUGCUUAUGGAAGCAACGAGCUCUCCGGAUUCCAAGUGUUUUUCGAUGUCGGACUUUCGAAUGGGAUGAUUGCUCCGUUAGUUAAGUUGAUACUAGAGUAUUUGAAGUACCUAGAAUAAAAUUUUAUGAUUUUCGAUAUCUUUGUUCUAUGAUGCGAAAGGGUUCAAUCAAUAAUUGUUAAUGCCGUGUUGAAGGCCCCGGUUGCAAGUUAACGUGUAGAAAUAUCACAAAUCACAUGAAAUUUUGAUUAGAAAAAUUCUUUAUACCAUAUAACUACAAGAUUCAAUAAUCUUUGAUCUAAAAUUUUAUGUAUAUCAUAUAUUUUGUAGAUUUUUAUUUUAGCCGUUGAUUUUGAGCCACUUCGAUCACUAGAAUGAUAUCGCAAAAUGACAAAAUUUAUUUUCUGAUACUUCAAAUACUACUAGAUGCAAGUCUAACGAGCCGAUCGUCGAUUCGAUAAUGUCGAAAUCGAAAACAAAGUGGAAGCACGAGGCCUCCGUAUUCGCAAUAUAUAUAUAUAUAUAUAUAUGUAAAAGAAAAGGAAACGAAUUACUUGGUUCUAAUGCAGGUUAUUGAAAGAUAGAUAUAGAGAGCCUGAUGGACAAGCACACACAAACCUAACUUGAAAUUUGUGAUCUCUUAGCCCAGUAAAAAAAUGAGAGAUAUACACGAAUAGUUGGCAAAAGCUAGACUUGGUAAUUAUCAACUUCAAAAGAGAAAAGAAAAGACUUCAAAAAUCAAAUUUGAAAAUCUCCUUUAAAACUUUGGCUAGUCUACACAAGUAAAAAACUUCUAUAGACAUCCUAGAAAACUUGAAAAAUUACCUUAGAACUGGAGUCAUCUGAAGAAAUUUCUAUGUAUUCCAUUAUUUGUUAAUGAGAUAAUUCUCUCUCUCUUUCUCUCUCUCUCUCUUGUGUCUCUUAACUUAAACUUCCAUCUCUAUGUGUUAGUUUUGCGAUGCCAUAACCAUGAAUUUAAAGAUUCAAAAGAUUAAAAGGCAUUCAUUGUGAAGAUUUGGUUUAAGCCGCACCCUCUCAAUAUGUACUGAAAAUUUUUUGGCACCUUCUUUUUGCGGCUUCAAUAAGUUUCUUACUUUGACACUGUCUUGUUACUACGUAUGAAGCGAAAUAUACUGGUGGUGAAUCCACAACAGCAUAUAUCUUUCUCUCCUUAGACGUACCCUUCGAUGAGUGCCACGUGUUUUAGGCCACGCUUUCCAGUAAAGUGCUGACGUAAGCAGGCUCCAAAAAAGAAUGCCGAGUGAGAUACACUGAAACGUAAAAAAAUUACUGUAUCCAGAAUUAAAAAGUAGGAAGAAAAUAUUUGACAAUGACGCGGCAUUUCUCAGUGAAUUCAUUGCUACGGUUUGUCGGUUUAUCCACGUGUCACCUCGUUGCCCGUUUUAGUCGUCUAUCGCAUUCUCCACACGUAAAGCGCACCACUUAGUGCUUAUUAAGGAAGAUAUUAGUAAUAUUGGAUUGAUAAUUAUUAUCAAUUAACUUAUAUUUUUUGUGAUCUUGUUAUCAUCCUUAUUUAAGUAAAUAUGACUAUAGUUUGCUUCUGUAAUUUCAUUCUACGUUGGAGCGAGUUCGCAUUGCAAUUACAAGCAAAGUAUUAGCUGUGAUACGCAAUUUAUGCUUCUGUUAUCACAUAUUCUUCACUUAAUACAUUGUGUCUUAAUACUAUGCCAAGAGUAUGUCGAUGAAAAUACAAUAUUUUGUUUGUGCUGCAUAAUAUGAUUGGUGGAAAUAAUAAUGCACCUAAAACAAUAUAGAAGUUGUCAUAACGUGAACAAAAUUGGAUAAAAAAGGUAUCUUAUUUUUAAUAUAUAUAUAAUUAUAAAUCACAAUUAAGCCAAGCGGAUCCGUGGCGCAAUGGUAGCGCGUCUGACUCCAGAUCAGAAGGUUGCGUGUUCGAUUCACGUCGGGUUCAAAACCCCGAUCCCAAACGGAUCUUUUCUUUUUUCCCCUAAUUAUUUUAUUUUCCAUUUAUUUAAUUUUAACUGUGUAUACUACGCCGCCUUUUAAAUGUGUUGCUUUGAAGAUGCGGAUACUCUUAAGAAUAUAUUUUCAACAUGGUUCUUUUUUAGAUGUUUUUCAGUUUUGAUGAAAGUUGGGAGAAAAGUUUAUUACUAAACAUAAAUUAGAUUCGUUAACAGAUUCUUUUAAAUGAUUUGAUUAACCUCAACUGCUCAUGUUUUCCCAUAAUUUUCCCAACUUAUUUUUUUAGGACAAUUUAGCAGAAUCUGUAAAUAUCCAGGUAUACAACCUUGUAAAUUGUAUUCUUUGUAUCUGCCAAAAUUUCAAAAGAACACCAAGAAUCACAGUGGAAUAAUUUAUGAAACACUACGUAACAUGAUCCACUGUAAAUUUCCAUUUACAAUUCAGACAAGAACAUAGAAUCGACCUAGAAUUAAAACUUCACAUAUAAAUUUUUUUUUUUCUGAACACUAAAGAGCAGAAACAUAACAUUUUUGGAAUAUUUUCUUUCCAUGGGAACAAAUAUACACGGACGUAAAUAAUAGUACAGAUUUUGGGCUCUUCCGUUGAAUUUUCUGAUUUUAAACAUCAACCGAAGAGAAUCUAUGUACAAAGAAUAAUUCAACAUUUAGUAAGUUUCUCAGGCAGCUUCGUCGUCGUCGGUGUCGAGCUCAAGUCCUUCCGCGGCUAGAAGUUGAGUAAUGACCUUUUUCUUGUCCUCCUCCGCCUUUUUCCGCAUUAAAUCUCUCUUUUUCAGAACAAGAGUAUGCCUCCUCAAUGUACUGGAGAAGUACUCCAUCGACGCCUUCUUCUCCUUAGCCAAUAUCCUCUUCUCUUCCUCGGGAUCGAUCUGAAAUAGGAAAAAGAAGUGCAUGAUUUAAAUAAAUUUGAUUUUUUCUUUUUUAAUUCAUGGCACCUCAUAUGUAUGCAUCAAAAUAAAGAUAACAAAAUUAGUGGUUGUAAAAUUCCAUUAAAAGGAAUAUCAGGACAUCAUGACUCUCAGUGCUUAUGGUUCAACUACGCUCCAAAAAACCACUGAUGCGUCUAUGUACUCCAAUAAGACAACAAUCAGGUAAAGUAACAAAGCUACCAAUCAGAGAAACAUAGUGGACACAAGUAAAGGUGAAUAGAGCAAGUGAUAUAACACCUUUGAACGAGAGAGGCGGCGAGCACGGAGAUUCAUCUCACGCUGCUGUUGCUCAGCCCAGGCUGCAACGGCCAUAUCUCCCCGUUGAUCAAAAGCUUUUCGCUUUUUCAUUAGCCAUUCCAUCCAUGCCUGAGAAGCCUGAAAUAAACCAAAAAAUAAAUGAGAAAUUAGGUUUUUUACAAAGACAAAAAUUGGGGGAUCAGUUGAAAAAAAAAAGAAAAAAACAGAUGAAUGAAUGGCACUCUGGGAAUAGCUUAAAAAUAGAUGUGGUCUAUGCAGGGCAGUCAAAGAAUCGUAUCUACAUAUGCAGCAGUAAAUAUGAUUACAGAUUUUCACCAAUUUUUCAAUGCUGAUAGGAAUUCGUCAUUACAAGGCUUACAGAUGUCGAUGAAUUCACAACAAAAUAUAUAAUAUGAAACCCAGCUAUGUAAGAUACAAGAAAUUAACAUGUCAAUCAAUUACUAUAUUUUAAGAAUAAUUGACAUCAGUAAAAGAACAAGGACAAAAUAAAAAAACCUUCAGUGGAUUGACUCGGUGAUCUCUGUCAUAUUGCCUUCGCUUUUCCACAUCUAUCAAAAGCUCAUAAGCUGCUUGAAUUUUGAUAAAGCGAGCUUCAGCGGUUUCACCUUCCUCUAGAGAUCCCCUACCGUUAUACACUGCAGCAGCAGAACAAUCAGCCAAGCAUUAAACCUAUAGGGGGCAUACACUGAAAUAAGAAGAGUUUAAGUUUCUUAUGUUUGCUUUGAAAAAAGAAAACAGAGACAUCUCAGCGAAGGUAUGAGCUGAUGAGGAGAAAAGAUAUAUACAAUAUUACAGAAGAAUCAAGUUAGAAAUUCAAUUGCUUCCCAGUGCUCGAGCAAAACUAUUCAGUAUGCCAUACGAAGGCAUAUUGCCCUUGAAGAAAUUGAUUAGACAGCAUCAAUGUUUAUAUCGGCCUUACGUCUGAGCCUUUCAUAACAAAAUCUCAAGAAGAGGCAGUUGGUCUGAACAGAAACCUGGAAAAGGAUACUACUAGCCAGAAUACUGCACAUGGAAAUUGUAUCAGACAGCUAUGACAAAUAUGACAUUUCUUUCAUGCAUCCCAGUUACAAAUAAUUCCUCAACGCAAUUAUCAUAUGAAGAUAACUAUUAACUUCGUCAACAGCACGAAGCAGAUCAGUGGCUGAAAGAGUAAAAGAUGAUCUCAGAACUUGAAAACACAAUAUAAUAUGCUUCAAAAGAUAUAAUUAGACCAUUUUCACCCCAUCAUAAGAUGCACCAACAACUUAAUUUACACAAAACAAAAUUGUUCAGGAACAACAACACAAUUGCGAUUCAAAAUACUUUGACCCUUUUAAAGAAACUACGAGUUUAAUACUACGCUAGAAAUAGAAAUUAAUGAACAAUCCAGUAUGAAAAAUUCUCCAGAUCUGUAGGAUAAACAAACCAUCAGGGUGAUAAAACUUGGCCAAUCUCCUGUACGCAGAUUUUAUCUUCUCUUCAUCAGCAUCUCUUUCCAGCUCUACACACGGACAAAAAAAAAACUUACUUUUAGCUUCGAAGCAUUUCAAAGCUCGACAAAAAUCAAAAUUUGAUAUGUUGCCCUGCACUAAUUCGCAUAAUUGAGACUGAUAACACAAAAAUCCAUCACUGCAGAGGAUUACCGAGGGUAUCGUAGGGAGAUUUCUCCGAAUUCCAAUUGGAAACCCUCGUGAGAGUCCUCCUUUGGCCGGAUCUGGACGCAGUCGCCGCCCCUGUGAGAUCGAAGUCGAGGACGAAAGCGGAGUGCAGGUAAGAAGACGAGGUAGAGGGGGAAGGGAUCCGGACGUUAGGGUUUCGGGCGGAGGGUGCGAACCCUAGACGGGCGUAGCCGCGGUAGCAGUAGAUGAAGGAGGAGACGGCGCCGUGGGGGCGGGCAAUAGACCAUUUUCACCCCAUCCCGAUCGAAGGAGAGGAGGGGGAGAAGCGAGGGUUGCGGGGAAUUAGGGUUAGGGUUAGGGUUAGGGUUAGGGCUAGGAUCGAGGAAGAAGAAGAAGCGUCGGGUCGUGGAGGGAAGAGAUUCCGUGACGCGAGUGGAGAGCGGGGGAGAAUCGCGUUGCUGUUCGAGUGCCGAGCCACGUGGCAGUUGUUCGUUCGCUGGAAACAAGCCGCGGGUCUCGCUCGAAGUUUGGAUUCGGUUUCGGGGAGAGCGAACCCAACCCAAGUUCGGAGGUGAAUCAAAUUGAAUCAAACCGAAUAGAUAAUUGAUUCAGUGCGGUUCACUUGGAUUAAUAUGUAACAAGUUAUUAUUACUUAUUGCUUAUAUAAUAAUACGAGUCUGGUUACUGUACUAUUUAUAGUACCAAUUGCUUGGUGUUAUUGAGUUUUUCGCUAUUAAUUUCUACCUGUUCAAUAAUACUAUUCAACUAACUACCUAUUUAAUCAUAGAAGAUCACUAUUAUUCUAACUGCACAUCUCUUCAUUUAAAGAUUAAAAUCUAAUAUUAUUAAGUGUUUGAUAAUAUCGAUAGUAUGAUAGUCUAAUUCUAUAUAAUAUAUAUUUAUAUCGAAUGGAUUAUCCAAUGAAUUGAGUUAGAUAGAUCGCUUUGAGUCUCUUUGAUUCUGAUUUUAAUUUGAUAACACUCCUCUGUUGUUAACAUUCUGGCAAAAUUUGGUUGAGAACGAGAUUUAUUGCGACGAUGCCAAAUUUAUCUAAAAAUUAUAAUUUUAUUUACAAAUGAUCAAUGCAUAUUUUGUAAUCUUAUGUAUAAAAUUUGUGGAGCCAUUACGCCGCUCAUUAACGACGGAAUAAAUUGAAGCUAGUUUUUUCACUCAUUCGGAGCCGUAGAGAACCGCUCACAAACAAGCAAUACUUUCCAAAAGGUUUUUUUAUUUUUAUUUUUUUUCAAAUUUUCAAGUUAAAAUAUGUUAUUUGAUUCUAUGUAUACGAGCAAUUAUUAUAAUCACAACCUGGCCCGACGUUUUUCCUGGUCCGGGUCCAGGCGCACGAAUCUCCAGCACAGCUUUAAUAUUUGAUUUGAUCAUCAAAAUUAAAAUAUUUGGUUUCCACGUCAUGGUCUAAUAACGUCAAAAUCGUCGACUUUCGCCUCCGCUCCUCUCUCUCUCUCUCUCUCUCUCUACUCCGAUAGUCCGAUCACGAGCCCGAACGAACACACAAGCCCUAAUCCCGUUGAUCCUGUACGCCAUGUUCCUCCGCAGAGAGCUGUGGCGGAGGGGCACCCGAUCGGCGGCGGCGGAGGCGGAGCGCCUCAUCCUCCGCCGUGGCCUCGCCGGCGGCGCGCCGCCGGCGCCGCCGCCCUUCGACCACCAGCCGCGGCCCUACGCGGGGAUCUCCGGCGACGAGAUACUCCGCAAGAGGAAGACCUUUCUCGGACCGUCCCUCUUCUACUACUACCAAAACCCGGUGAUUAGUAGUACUCUCUCUCCCCUGUAGCUUGAGAUUGGAUGCUAGGGUUUUGAAUCCGCCGCUGCAUGGUCGGAUAUAAGUAGUUUAUCCGGAUGAAAGAGUUUGCAUUUCGAGUUAGUUGUGGAGAUUUUAAUUGAUCUGGUUGUGGGGAAACUAUUUGAUCAAAAAAGUUGGGCUUUUCGCUUUUCCUUCGCUUUUCCUUUUUUGGACAAAUGAGAUUUUUAUUAACCUAGGAAAACAGGUGAAACCUGUUACAGCAUAUUACUUAUUUGCUACAGAAGAAUCUCCAGAAGAAAAGGUUGAGUUUUUUAUUACUAGGAGAAGAUUUCCGUGGGAUUGCUUUCGAGUUUCAGCUUCAAUUUUUGUUUUGAGGGGUUAAGACCAACUGAGUAAUCUGAAUCUAGAACUCUGAAUCAUAUGUUGCUUUAUUUGAUUUGUUCAGAAGAUAUCAUCAUAUUUUGUAAGAUUUUUAUUUUUAGCCGUUGAUUUUGAGCCACUUCGAUCACUAGGCAAAUGAUAUCGAAAAAUCACAAAAUUUAUUUUCUAGAUACUUCAAAUACUCUAGAUCAAGUCUAACGGAGCCGAUCGUCGAUUCGAAAGUCCGAACAUCGAAAACAAAGUGGAAGCACGGAGCCCUCCGUACUUCCAUAAGCAUCCUAGCCGCACUCUAUAUAUAUAUAUAUAUAUGUAAAAGAAAAGGAAACGAAUUACUUGGUUCUAAUGCAGGUUAUUGAAAGAUAGAUAUAGAGAGCCUGAUGGACAAGCACACACAAACCUAACUUGAAAUUUGUGAUCUCUUAGCCCAGUAAAAAAUGGAGAGAUGUACACGAAUAGUUGGCAAAAGCUAGACUUGGUAAUUAUCAACAAAAGAGAAAAAAAAAGACUUCAAAAAUCAAAUUUGAAAAUCUCCUUUAAAACUUUGGCUAGUCUACACAAGUUAAAAACUUCUAUAGACAUCCUAGAAAACUUGAAAUAUUACCUUAGAACUGGAGUCAUCUGAAGAAAUUUCUAUGUAUUCCAUUAUUUGUUAAUGAGAUAAUUCUCUCUCUCUUUCUCUCUCUCUCUCUCUCUCUCUCUCUUGUGUCUCUCAACUUAAACUUCCAUCUCUAUGUGUUAGUUUUGCGAUGCCAUAACCAUGAAUUUAAAGAUUCAAAAGAUUAAAAGGCAUUCAUUGUGAAGAUUUGAUUUAAGCCGCACCCUCUCAAUAUGUACUGAAAAUUUUUUGGCACCUUCUUUUUGCGGCUUCAAUAAGUUUCUUACUUUGACACUGUCUUGUUACUACGUAUGAAGCAAAAUAUACUGAUGGUGAAUCCACAACAGCAUAUAUCUUUCUCUCCUUAGACGUACCCUUCGAUGAGUGCCACGUGUUUUAGGCCAUGCUUUCCAGUAAGAUGAUGACGUAAGCAGGCUCCAAAAAAGAAUGCCGAGUGAGAUACACUGAAACGUAAAAAUAUUACUGUAUCGAGAAUUAAAAAGUAGGAAGAAAAUAUUUGACUAUGAUGCGGCAUUUCUCAGUGAAUUCAUUGCUACGGUUUGUCGGUUUAUCCACGUGUCACCUCGUUGCCCGUUUUAGUCGUCUAUCGCAUUCUCCACACGUAAAGCGCACCACUUAGUGCUUAUUAAGGAAGAUAUUAGUAAUAUUCGAUUGAUAAUUAUUAUCAAUUAACUUAUAUUUUUUGUGAUCUUGUUAUCAUCCUUAUUUAAGUAAACAUGACUAUAGUUUGCUUAUGUAAUUUCAUUCUACGUUGAAGCUAGUUCGCAUUGCAAUUACAAGCAAAGUAUUAGCUAUGAUACGCAAUUUAUGCUUCUGUUAUCACAUAUUCUUCACUUCCUCAAUACAUUGUGUCUUAAUACUAUCCCAAGAGUAAGAUGAUACGAUGUUGUCGAUGAAAAUACAAUUUUUUGUUUGUGCUGCAUAAUAUGAUUGGUGGAAAUAAUAAUGCACCUAAAACAAUAUAGAAGUUGUCAUAAGGUGAACAAAAUUGGGAAAAAAAGGUAUCUUAUUUUUAAUAUAUAUAUAUAAUUAUAAAUCACAGUUAAGCCAAGUGGAUCCGUGGCGCAAUGGUAACGCGUCUGACUCCAGAUCAGAAGGUUGCGUGUUCGAUUCACGUCGGGUUCAAAACCCCGAUCCCAAACGGAUCUUUUUUUUUUCCCCUAAUUAUUUUAUUUUCCAUUUAUUUAAUUUUAACUGUAUAUAUACUACGCCAGUAACGCCGCCUUUUAAAUGUGUUGCUUUGAUGAUGCGGAUACUUUUAAGAAUAUAUUUUCAACAUGGUUCUUUUUUAGAUGUUUUUUAGUUUUGAUGAAAGUUGGGAGAAAGUUUUAUUACUAAACAUGAAUUAGAUUCGUUAACAGAUUCUUUUAAAUGUUUGAUUAAUCUCAACUGCUCAUGUUUUCCCAUAAUUUUCCCAACUUAUUUUGUUAGGACAAAUGUUUAGAGCACAAUUUAGCAGAAUCUGUAAAUAUCCAGGUAUACAACCUUGUAAAUUGUAUUCUUUGUAUCUGCCAAAAUUUCAAAAGAACACCAAGAAGCACAGUGGAAUAAUUUAUGAAACACUAAUCGCACUAAGUAACAUGAUCCCCUGUAAAUUUCCAUUUACAAUUUGGACAAGAAAAUAGAAUCGACGUCGAAUAAAACUUCACAUAAAAUUAAAAAAUUCUUCUGACAUUAAAGAGCAGAAACAUAACAUUUUUGGAAUAUUUUCUUUCCAUCGGAACAAAUAUACACCGACGUAAAUAAUAAUAAUACAGAUUUGGGCUCUUCUGUUGAAUUUUCUGAUUUUAAACAUCAACCGAAGAGAAUUUCUAUGUACAAAGAAUAAUUCAACAUUUAGUAAAUAUCUCAGGCAGCUUCGUCGUCGUCGGUGUCGAGCUCAAGUCCUUCUGCGGCUAGAAGUUGAGUAAUGACCUUUUUCUUGUCCUCCUCCGCCUUUUUCCGCAUUAAAUCUCUCUUUUUCAAAACAAGAGUAUGCCUCCUCAAUGUACUGGAGAAGUACUCCAUCGAUGCCUUCUUCUCCUUGGCCAAUAUCCUCUUCUCUUCCUCGGGAUCGAUCUGAAAUAGGAAAAAGAAGUGCAUGAUUUAAAUAAAUUUGAUUUUUUCUUUUUUAAUUCAUGGCACCUCAUAUGUAUGCAUCAAAAUAAAGAUAACAAAAUUAGUGGUUAUAAAAUUUUCAUUAAAAGGAAUAUCAGGACAUCACGACUCUCAGUGCUUGUGGUUCAACUAUGCUCUAAUAAACCACUGAUGCAUCUACGUACUCCAAUAAGACAACAAUCAGGUAAAGUAAUAAAACUACGAAUCAAAGAAGCAUAGUGGACACAAGGCGAAUAGAGCAAGUAAUAUAACACCUUUGAACGAGAGAGGCGGCGAGCACGGAGAUUCAUCUCACGCUGCUGUUGCUCAGCCCAGGCCGCAAUAGCCAUAUCUCCCCGUUGAUCAAAAGCUUUUCGCUUUUUCAUUAACCAUUCCAUCCAUGCCUGAGAAGCCUGAAAUAAACCAAAAAAUAAAUGAGAAAUUAGGUUUUUUACAAAGACAAAAAUUGGGGGAUCAGUUGAAAAAAAAAAAGAAAAACAGAUGAAUGAAUGGCUCUCUGGGAAUAGCUUAAAAAGAGAUGUGGUCUAUGCAGGGCAGUCAAAGAAUCAUAUCUACAUAUGCAAUAGCAAAUAUGAUUACAGAUUUUCACCAAUUUUCCAAUGCUGAUAGGAAUUCGUCAUUACAAGGCUUACAGACGUCGAGGAAUUCACGACAAAAUAUAUAAAUAUGAAACCCAGCUAUGUAAGAUACAAGAAAUUAACAUGUCAAACAAUUACUAUAUUUUAAGAUUAAUUGACAUCAGUAAAAGACCAAGGACAAAAUAAAAAUACCUUCAGUGGAUUGACUCGGUGAUCUCUGUCAUAUUGCCUUCGCUUUUCCACAUCUAUCAAAAGCUCAUAAGCUGCUUGAAUUUUGAUAAAGCGAGCUUCAGCGGUUUCACCUUCCUCUAGAGAUCCCCUACCGUUAUACACUGCAGCAGCAGAACAAUCAGCCAAGCAUUAAACCUAUAGGGGGCAUACACCGAAAUAAGAAGAGUUUAAGUUUCUUAUGUUUUCUUUGAAAAAAGAAAACAGAGACAUCUCAGCGAAGGUAUGAGCUGAUGAGGAGAAAAGAUAUAUACAAUAUUACAGAAGAAUCAAGUUAGAAAUUCAAUUGCUUCCCAGUGCUCGAGCAAAACUUUUCAGUAUGCCAUACGAAGGCAUAUUGCCCUUGAAGAAAUUGAUUAGACAGCAUCAAUGUUUAUAUCGGUCUUACGACUGAGUCUUUCAUAACAAAAUCUCAAGAAGAGGCAGUUGGCCCGAAUAGAAACCUGGAAAAGGAUACUACUAGCCAGAAUACUGCACAUGGAAAUUGUAUCAGACAGCUAUGACAAAUAUGACAUUUCUUUCAUUCAUCCCAGUUACAAAUAAUUCCUCAACGCAAUUAUCAUAUGAAGAUAACUAUUAACUUCGUCAACAGCACGAAGCAGAUCAGUGGCUGAAAGAGUAAAAGAUGAUCUCAGAACUUGAAAACACAAUAUAAUAUGCUUCAAAAGAUAUAAUUAGACCAUUUUCACCCCAUCAUAAGAUGCACCAACAACUUAAUUUACACAAAAAAAAAUUGUUCAGGAACAACAACACAAUAGCGAUUCAAAAUACUUUGAUCCUUUUAAAGAAACUACGAGUUUAAUACUACGCUAGAAAUAGAAAUUAAUGAACAAUCCAAUAUGAAAAAUUCUCCAGAUCUGAAGGAUAGAGAUAGAACAAACCAUCAGGGUGAUAAAACUUGGCCAAUCUCCUGUACGCAGAUUUUAUCUUCUCUUCAUCAGCAUCUCUUUCCAGCUCUACACACGGACAAAAAAAAAACUUACUUUUAGCUUCGAAGCAUUUCAAAGCUCGACAAAAAUCAAAAUUUGAUAUGUUGCCCUGCACUAAUUCGCAUAAUUGAGACUGAUAACACAAAAAUCCAUCACUGCAGAGGAUUACCGAGGGUCUCGUAGGGAGAUUUCUCCGAAUUCCAAUUGGAAACCCUCGUGAGAGUCCUCCUUUGGCCGGAUCUGGACGCAGUCGCCGCCCCCGUGAGAUCGAAGUCGAGGACGAAAGCAGAGUGCAGGUAAGAAGACGAGGUAGAGGGGGAGGGGAUCCGGACGUUAGGGUUUCGGGCGGAGGGUGCGAACCCUAGACGGGCGUAGCCGCGGUAGCAGUAGAUGAAGGAGGAGACGGCGCUGUGGGGGCGGGCAAUCGAUCUCAAGGUGCUCAUCCCGAUCGAAGGAGAGGAGGGGGAGAAGCGAGGGUUGCGGGGAAUUAGGGUUAGGGCUAGGAUCGAGGAAGAAGAAGCAGCGUCGGGUCGUGGAGGGAAGAGAUUCCGUGACGCGAGUGGAGAGCGGGGGAGAAUCGCGGGGCUGUUCGAGUGCCGAGCCACGUGGCAGUUGUUCGUUCGCUGGAAACAAGCCGCGGGUCUCGCUCGAAGUUUGGAUUCGGUUUCGGGGAGAGCGAACCCAACCCAAGUUCGGAGGUGAAUCAAAUUGAAUCAAACCGAAUAGAUAAUUGAUUCAGUGCGGUUCACUUGGAUUAAUAUGUAACAAGUUAUUAUUAUUUAUAUAAUAUAAUAAUACGAGUCUGGUUACUAUACUAUUUAUAAUACCAAUUGCUUUGUGUUAUCGAGUUUUUCACUAUUAAUUUCUACCUGUUCAAUAAUACUAUUCAACUAACUAUCUAUUCAAUCAUAGAAGAUCAUUAUUAUUCUAACUGCACAUCUCUUCAUUUAAAGAUUAAAAUCUAAUAUUAUUAAGCAUUUGAUACUAUCGGUAGUAUGAUAGUCUAAUUCUAUAUAAUGUAUAUUUAUAUCGAAUGGAUUAUCCAAUGAAUUGAGUUAGAUAGAUCGCUUUGAGUCUCUUUGAUUCUGAUUUUAAUUUGAUAACACUCCUCUCUUAUUAACAUUCUGGCAAAAUUUGGUUGAGAACGAGAUUUAUUGCGACGAUGCCAAAUUUAUCUAAAAAUUAUAAUUUUAUUUACAAAUGAUCAAUGCAUAUUUUGUAAUCUUAUGUAUAAAAUUUGUGGAGCCAUUACGCCGCUCAUUAACGACAGAAUAAAUUGAAGCUAGUUUUUUCACUCAUUGGGAGCUGUAGAGAAUCGCUCACAAACAAGCAAUACUUUCCAAAAGUAUUUUUUAUUUUUAUUUUUUUCAAAUUUUCAAGUUAAAAUAAAAUAUGUUAUUUGAUUCUAUGUAUACGAGCAAUUAUUAUAAUCACAACCUGGCCCGACGUUUUUCCUGGUCCGGGUCCAGGCGCACGAAUCUCCAGCACAGCUUUAAUAUUUGAUUUGAUCAUCAAAAUUAAAAUAUUUGGUUUCCACGUCAUGGUCUAAUAACGUCAAAAUCGUCGACUUUCGCCUCCGCUCCUCUCUCUCUCUCUCUCUCUCUCUCUACUCCGAUAGUCCGAUCACGAGCACGAACGAACACACAAGCCCUAAUCCCGUUGAUCCUGUACGCCAUGUUCCUCCGCAGAGAGCUGUGGCGGAGGGGCACCCGAUCGGCGGCGGCGGAGGCGGAGCGCCUCAUCCUACGCGGGGAUCUCCGGCGACGAGAUACUCCGCAAGAGGAAGACCUUUCUCGGACCGUCCCUCUUCUACUACUACCAAAACCCG